This 134715-nucleotide long non-coding RNA is filed under the name Gossypium raimondii (Peruvian cotton). RNAcentral's name for it is "long non-coding RNA (GRAI_LNC010254)". Lineage: Eukaryota; Viridiplantae; Streptophyta; Magnoliopsida; Malvales; Malvaceae. The record is from RNAcentral.
AUUACCAUAACAGAUGCAAAAUCUGAUCGGUGAAGAUAAGAAAAUGGAGACCAUGGGAAAUCUUCUAGUCCUGUUUACAGCUUCUUUAUGCCUCUACCUUUUCGUUGCUUUGCUCAAUGUUUUCUACAAGUAUUGGUGGAUACCUCAACGGGUACAGUUCAUCAUGAAUUCGCAAGGAAUAAGAGGAUCUCCUUAUGAAUUUAUCCAUGGAAACAACAAAGAAGCUGCCCCAAUGCUCAUGGAAGCAUCUACCAAACCUAUGACCUUGACGCACGAUAUAUUUCCCAGAGUCAUGCCUCAUGUUUACUCCUGGAUCAACAAAUACGGUGAGAAUAUCUUUUUUUUUCUUUUUUGGGUAGUAUUUUCUGAUUAAUCUCCAGUUUCCAUGAAGAGAAAUCAUUUUCUUUCAGGGAAGACUUAUCUUAGUUGGAAUGGAAUUCGAGGUCAACUGCUAAUUACAGACCCAGAACUGGUCAAAGAGGUCCUUAAAAACAGUGACAAAGCUUUUCGAAAGCCAAAGACUUCAUAUUUCUUCGACAAGCUAAUAGGCGAUGGGCUUGCUUCAACCGAACGUGAGAAAUGGGCAAGGCAAAGGAAACUGGCCAAUUAUGCCUUUCAUGGGGAGAGCUUAAAAGUAAAUCAUCUCUACCUUCUAAUCUAAUUAUUGUAGUGGGACAUUUACAAACUUGAUCAUUUUUUGCAGAAUAUGACUCCAGCAGUAGUUGCUAGCGUUGAAACCAUGCUUGAGAAAUGGAAAAGUAAGGAGGGCAAAGAGAUAGAAGUGUUCCAAGAGUUCAGAUUAUUGACUUCAGAAGUGAUAUCCAGAACCGCCUUUGGUAGCAGUUACUUGGAAGGGGAGAAGAUUUUUGACAUGUUGAUGAAGUUGUCAGUAAUUGCAGGCAGAAAUAUUUUUAAAGCAAAGAUUCCCAUCGUCAGGUAACUUCAUCAAAUCUUUACUUUGUUAAUCAACAUACUUCAGCUUACAAUGGGUUGAUUUAAUCUGGUUGUCCUUUUCAGCAAGUUUUGGAAAUCUGCUGAUGAAAUUGAAUCAGAAAGAAUUGCCAAAAUGAUACAUGAUUCUGUGAUGAGGAUUGUUAAAAAAAGGGAAGAGACAGUAGUGAACGGAGAAGCUGAUAACUUCGGUCGUGAUUUUCUGGGAUUACUUGUAAAUGCUUAUCAUGAGGCGGACCAGAAAAACAGGCUUUCGAUUCAAGAUAUGGUAGAUGAGUGUAAAACUUUUUAUUUUGCUGGGCAAGAAACAGUCAAUUACUUGCUUGCAUGGGCAACUCUGCUUUUAGCAAUACACACCGAUUGGCAAGACAAAGCAAGAGCAGAGGUGAUUGAGGUCUUUGGUAAUCAAAACCCAGAUUCUGAAGGGAUGGCCAAAUUAAAGACGGUAAGCAAACUAUACAAAUUCAAUAGCUUGAAAACUACCACUGACCAUUUAUAUUGCCUUUGUUCAAAGGUGGCAACUGCAGCAGCAACAUGCAAGAAACCAUGCAAAACUCACGUUGCAUGCAUGGAACCAGGAACUCAGCAGAAGCAUGCUAAAGUCCAUGGUGUAAUUUGACAGUAGCUUUGUUUAUUCAGUUGACUUUUUUGUUAGGCUAUGGUGUAAUUAUUAUUUGCUUUGAUCAGCUAAGGUUAAAUGUGUGCUUAGCCGAUUUAGUAGUCAAUUUUAGGUUGUCAUUUUGUUGAUGUAAACCUUUAGUUACUUGCACAAGCAAGCUUUGUUUUCUUUCUAUGUAUUUUGAUCUAUUUAUGUAAGCAACUAUGUUCUUAUUCGGGUAAUGAAAAAAACACUUUGUUCAUUCAUUUUUUCAGCUUGUUUUGCUUCUGUUUUAAGCUUUCAAACACUUAAACAUUUGAUUUGUUCUUUUGAACCUUGUUGCUAAGUUAAAAAACCAACAGCCUUUUGGAUUGUUUUUUUUUCUCCAACAUAUUAUCAUGAUUAUCAAUGAAACUUUACGGCUCUAUCCUCCUAUAAGUGGCGUGAUAAGAGAAGUAGGAAGAGAAGUCCAAUUAGGAAAACUUGUCCUGCCUACUCAUUCAGAGGUCGACAUGCGAAUCAUAGCACUUCACCAUGACCCUUACUUAUGGGGAGAUGAUGUUAAUCUUUUCAAACCCGAGAGGUUUGCUGAAGGGAUAGCGAAAGCUACUAAGUACAAUGCAGCUGCAUUUAUGCCUUUUGGAUUGGGACCUCGAUCUUGCGUUGGCAUGAGCUUUGCAAUCACUGAAGCGAAAACUGCACUUUCCAUGAUUCUGCAACGCUACACUGUCACCGUCUCCCCUACCUAUGUUCACGCACCUGCACAACGUCUUACACUCAAGCCACAACAUGGGAUUCAGUUGUUGUUUCAUUCACUACAUUAUGAUGCUUAAAAUUCUAGGCUGUUGGUCUCCAAUAUAGAAAUAUAUAGUAAAAUGUGGAUGAUACUGUAUUUUGCAACCAUACGAUUAUAUAUGGUUUGGGGAUUUCAUGUUUUGGCAACAAGAUUAUAUGCUUUUUUUUUGUUGUUGAUAUUGUUAGAGGUUAAAAAGGUAUUACAGCAAACAUCGCCACCACUGGAGCAGGCCCUACAGUCCUGUGAAUAACAUAAUCAGCAACAAAAUAGUCCACCAAAGAGAAAUCAAUUCAAACUAGCCAAAAAACUGGAAUGGCAGCAGCAAAUCCAGUCAGCUCCCUGAACAUCAUACAGAAGCAAGAACAUCACAACCCAGUCAUAUACACGCCAUGAAGACAUUGGACUCCACAUUUUGCUAAAGUAUCAGCAAAGCAGUUAGAUUCUCUAUAUACAUUCACAACGGAGACAUUAUGGGAUCUCAUCACACAGCUUGGUAAAUGACCCAUCCAGCAUUUGAGAAAUAGUGAAGAUGUCAAGUCCAGGAGCUCCAAACAAUGCCUCAGCUGGUGGAUCCUUAAUUAGGUGUCUUUCUUCCAUUACUACUGCAGUAGUGAAGUUUUUAUUCCACUUGGUUCCCUUCUUCCAGAAUUUCUGCUUGAAACACUCACUCCUGGAGCCGGCCAUUACAUUGCUUGUUUAGCUUUCAUGGAAGGCUCGAAGCUCAUUAGACCAGAAACAUUGUUCCUUUGCCUAUGUAUCUUUUUGACAUAUUCUCUUCAGGAAGAGCUACUUAUAUCAAGGCUCCAUCUUUCUGAGUUGCAGGGCAAAAGUCCGUUCUCCAUGAAAAACUACCCAUUUCCACUAAAGCAUACUAGCUUUCGCCAUCCCAUCCUCGAAAAAACCUGAAAUGAUACACCAGAAACUCCCUCAAGACAGAGAGCCAAGUCACUUUCUAGCUAAUCCCCAUUGAACCCUCCAAUUAAGCAAAGCCAUUUCAUAUUUCAACCCAAUGGGCACCACAAUUGCCGCACAAAAUUUACAAAUUAAAAUGCAAAAAGUAAUACAGAAAAAUACACAGUCCAAGCUCCAAAAUGCAAGAAAGUCUGAGCCAAAAUUUAGAUUCCAUUUAAAAAACUUGAAUCUAAUUCAUUUUUAAUUUUGUAAUAUAGUACAUGUAAUGGGCCUAUUUUGCCCGGGCCCAAACCAGGCCAGGAAAAUAAACACAAAAAAAUAAAUAAAAAUCCUAAAAAUUAACAGUUUAUCAGUCCCAAAUUACAAAGCCCAAAAAAAAUUAAAAACCCUAAUAGCCCAAAUAGCCCAACACCCCAUGUGCGCCGCACCCAUCUGCUGCCACCCUCGAUCACGCUGCCCGCGCCUCAUCUCGAGGCCCGACACAUUGCUGCCGUCGUUUCACCAAAGAAGCAAGGAGCCACCUGCUCCCCUCCGUUAAUGCAUGCAAACAAGCAAAAAAGAGCAAUAGCAGAAACGAAAGCAAGAACAAUAGCAAAUAGUAGCAAAAAAAUAAUGUAAACUGGCUGUAAAAGCCACCACUACCAGUUUGUAAUUUUUACACACAGACAUUGAUUCUAAAUACAAAAAGAAGUUUGAAACAGAUUCAAAGAAAUCAAGGUGCUUUAUUUAUUUAUUUUUAUUCGAAAUAAACAAACAAAUACAUAAUAUUGAAUAAGUAAAUAAAGGGUGAAAUCUAUUACCUUUAACGCCGCGGUCGGAGGCUUCUCCGGUCUUGAGGGUGGCUGAGUCAGUGGGCUCGCCGAAAACCCCACCGGCGGUGAUUAGGGAAUCCAAAAGGAGUGGGUUUUGGCAUUUCCGGCCACCGUGGAUGGCGGCACAGUCGCCGAUGGUCGAUGGCCGGACUUUAGGGAAAUUUCAGAGAAAGGGAGAGCAAAUUUCUAUUUUUUUUCUAGGAGGGCUGAAAUGAGGAUUAAAAAAAAUUUUUGGCUUAAAUAGCCCAAAUGAAACAGUGCCGUUUCAUUCCUCCCUCAAAUGCCCAAAACGGUGCCGUUUUGAGGGAGCCGACCUGAGAACCGACCCUUACAGAUGGGAUCCGCGUGUUCUUGCGGUGAAUGGGCUAUUUCGUACGCGGUUCUUCUGCGUUUGCGACACUUUGCAAUUUAGUCCACACUUGUUUUUUUUAUUUUUUAAUUUUGCAGUAUAAUUUUAUUUUUGUGUGUAACAGCCCGAAUUUAGGCCUAGUCAGGAUAGUGGUUUCGGGACCACAAAUGUAAUAUUUUCAGAAUUUCUACAGUAAGAUAUUAUCCUUGGUACAGUAAAAUAAGGAAAUGAAGUGAUAAAAAAAAAGAAGGAAUUUUGAGUUAUGGCAACAUUGGGAAGUAUAUUAUAACAUGAUAAUUCAAGAAAGGAUUAAAUCGCAAAAGUGCGAAAAGUUUUGUUGCCCAAGAGUAAAUACUCAAAAUUUGAGGGGUUAAAGUGUAAAUAUAAAAAAGUUCAAGGACCAAAGGUGUAAAUAUUUUAAGGGUGGAAUGAUCUAGAAACUAAGGAAAAUGGAUGGAUUAGGACCAAAUUGAAAAAGGUGAAGAAUUUUGAGGGACUAAAUCACAAUUUUACCAAAUUAAGUGAUGACUCAAGAAUGAAAUUUUAAAAGAUCAUGAAGGGCGAAAUGGUCAAUUAAUAAGUGAGAGAAAUCUAGAAGAUAAUGAUGAUGUUGGAGAUAUUUUAGAUUAAUUAAUUAAAUAUUAGUUUAUUAAUAUUUUAAUUUGAUUUUUAAAUGAUAUUUUAUUAUUUUAUUAUUAUUUUAUUUAGUAUAUAUAUAAGAAAAGGAAGAUGAAGAAUCAUCAUCUUUCCCCAUGCAUUCCAACGUAUGAAGAGAAAAGAAAGAAAGAAACUUUCUUUUCUUUACAAUUUGGUCCUCUAACCAAAAAUCCUCCAUUUUCACUUUGAAAUCAAACAAAUUUCCAUAACCACCAAGAAAGAAAAUUGAUAUGGAGACAAUGGGGAGAUAGAAUAUCAAGUUAGAUUCAAGAAAUAGAAGCUGGAGGAGAGAGAAAAUCAAGUUAAAGAUUGAAAUCAAUAGCACAAUGUAAGAACAUCAAUAUUUCAAUAUAUUUUUAAGUUUGAUAUUAUUGAAAAAGCAUGGAAUUAAUGUUAUAGUAGAGUUUUCUCAUAUAAAUUCUUAUGUUCUUGAUAUAUUAGUGAAGAGAAAUAAGUGAAAGUGAUGAGAAAUAUUAUAGAGAAAGGGAAUAAGGGAGUUAUACACCUAGUAAUCAACAUUUUGCACUAAAACAGUUUUGGACAGCAGCGGUAGGUUAACUUUGAAAAAUCACCAAAAAUUGUGGGAAUUGAAUUAUAGAGUGAAUAAAAUAUAAAAUUAAAUAUUAUUGAGUCUAGUUUCUCAUAGAAUAAAUGGUGUAAGUAAUGGAAUUGUAAAUUAUGAGAUAUAAAAAAUUUUGUGAGACAAUGUCAGAAUGAUUUCGGGUUCCCCUGCUCUGAAUUUGUAAAAUCAUAAAAAAAUGAAGAAAAAUAACUAUGAGUUAUAAUUUAUAUUACUAUAAUAAUUUAUGAGUAUAUUUUCAAAGGAAACAAACGAAAACAUCAUCCUAAUUCUGUACAAUUAGAUAAUUCAUUUUUAGUGAAGAGUGGUCGAAACUGUCAGACAGCAAAAUAGGGGAAACUUUAAAAAAUACUGUACUAUUUGGCUAAACCAGAAAUUCUGAAAAUUUUAUAGUAAGAAGAUAUGUGGGUGUAGUUUCAGAUAAAAUUAACAGAUCUUAAUUUGGAAGUCUAUAUCUCCAGAUAAAAAUAAUUUAGUGACUCUGACUCGGAUAAACAACUUUGAAUAUACAUGUGAGUGAAUAGUGAAAUUAUAGUUAAUGUUGUUUAAGUGUGUUAUACACAUUAAGGAUGUGGAAUAAAGAGGAGGAGGAGGAGGGAAAUAAAUAUAUGAAUAUUAUGCUAGCAUGGGUUUUCAUUACAAAUGGUUAAUUUGCAUGAUUUGGGCUUCGAGACUAAACUGAAUAAAAAUAAAACUUUAGGGGCAAUUUUGGAAAAAAUGUCAAAAAUGACCAAAUUGCAUGAAAUGAGUUGUUUUAUUAAAAGAAAAAUUAAUUUAGAUCAAGAUCGGGUAGAAAAUCGAGAAAAAUGGAAAAUUACCAAAAUGCUCUUAUAUCUUGGUAUUUCUGCAAAUUAGCCUGGUAAGUUCAUAUGGCUAAAAUUUUAAUGAUUAAAUGUCAAUUUAAUGAAUUAUAUAGUAUAUGAUGAUAUAUAUUUGUUGAUGAAAUGAGAAUAAAAUAAAAAUGCGAAAACCUAAUAAAUGAUCAAAUUGAGCGGAACGCCGGAUUUGAGUACUUCUGAUCAGUGACAAGUGAUAAGUAGUAGCUUCAACUACACUUAUCUGAUCAGUGACAAGUGACAAGUGAUAAGUGAUAGCUUUAGCUACAGUUAUCUGAUCAAUGACAAGUGAUAAGUGGUAGCUUUAGCUGCACUUAUCUGAUCAGGGACAUGUGAUAAGUGGUAGCUUUAGCUACACUUAUCUGAUCAGGGACAAGUGAAAAGUGAUAAAUACGAUCCGUGUAAGACCGUGGCAGGGCUACGGCUUCGGAAAGUGAUAAGUGAUCAUACGCAAGACCAUAGUAAUACUAUGGCAAAGUGGAAGUGAAGUACUCAAUUUUCCGUAACUGUUCCCUAAUUUGAUUAAGGAUGGUAAGUGACAAAUGGUCCUAAAAGAAUUAUAGUAAAUGGAUAAGUGGUAGUGAAUUUAUACCGGGAUGAUGAGUUCAAUCGAUGUUGUUAUAUAAGCUAAAAUGAUAUUUUCAUUGCAAAAAUUGAGAACUUCAUAAAUGUAUUAAUGAAUGGUAUAAUCAAUUAAAUAUUGAGUUAAAUGAUAAAUACGCAUUAGUAUUGAACUUAAUGAUUUGAAUUGUGAACAUGAGAAAUUUGUGAAUUGAAUGAAAUGGAAAUGAAGCAUUGAAUUAUUAAGACUUGUGAAUUGCAUGAAUAUGUAUCAGGUCUCAUAUACCCUAUUUAUUAUGAUUAUAAUAUUUUGAGGAUAUAUUAUGAAUGGUUAUAAAAGCAUGUUAAUAAUUUUGAAAGUUUUAAUUUAGAUAAAAUUUUAUAACUCGGUUAAAUACGUUUACAAGUGUAUGUGUUCUAGUAAUACCUCGUACCCUAUUCCGGUGUUGGAUACGGGUAAGGGGUGUUACAUUAUGUCACUUUGGUCCAUAUUGAAACAGUGCGUUCGGAGGACUGGGAAUAAUUUCCCAUCUGGUCCCCGCCCUUUUUCAGCGCGUUUUAGUUGGUCCUUUACUUUUUUCUUUUUUUUGUAAUUUAUGCCUUUAAAUUCCAUUCAAAUUUCGAUCUAGUCCCUUUUAUGUUUAUUCAUCUAUUUUAUUAUAAUUUAGACUCUAAAUUUUAUUUUAAUCUCAAUUUAAUCCUUUAUCCGCUUAAUUUCAAGCUUUUAUUUAUUUAUUUAUUCUUUUUUUGUUCUGUUUUAUUUAUUUAUUCAUAUAUUCAUUCAUUUAUCUAUUUCUUUACUUUUCUUGUACUUAGAAUUUAUAUUGUUAUUUAUUCAUUUAUUUAUACAUUUCAUUAUCAUUAUUGUUUAAUUCACUUUUGUUAUUUUUAGUAUUAGAAUAGUAGUUAAUAUGAUUAUUGUUAUUAUUAUUUGGUGUUAUUAUUAUAAUCACAUCAUUAUUAUUGUAUUAUACAUUACGUUUACAAAAUAUUUGUUCGCUUUCACACGAUGUUCGAAUAAAUUAAACACAUAUCUUAUUAAAUAUUAAAUUAAUUCUUACUCAAAUUCAAAAAAAGAAAAUUUUCAAAAUAAGGCAAUGUUUCGUUUUUGGAGAUUCGAGAAAUCGUACCCUAACUUAUGGGAUUUUGAUUUUCUCGUUGAACCUAAACGACAGAAUAUCCUUUUUUAGAUUAAAAUACAUAAGUUCUAAAUAAAAAUAAAGGCAAGCUCAUUCUCAAAGGUUCAAUGUGUCGUGUCCUAACGUACGGAAUGUGACAUUUUGCUAUCUCGAGACGAGAGGGUCUUUAAUGUUCGUUUCAACUUAUUCAAGCAUUUUUUUUAAAUAACAUUAAUAAAAAAGGGAUCGUAUUUUAAAUUUUCUUUCAAAUUUUCAACAUUCGACACUAAAAACACUAAGCAAUCAACUAGGUAUCGAUUUUGGGCGUAUCGAGGGUGCUAAUCCUUCCUCGUGCUUAACUGACUCCCGAACCCGUUUUCUGGAUUUUGUAGACCAAAAAUUAUUAUUUUAGUAAAUUUUAAACUUUUAUUAAAAUGAUUAAAUUAUGAGGUGAUCCGAUCACACCUAAAUAAAAAGGAUUGGUGGCGACUCCAUUUUCGUUUUUAAAUAAAAAGUCGACCUCUUUUUACAAAAAAAUGAUUUCAACAGUACAUUCACUACAAGAAAAAUAUGAAUUGUCAACAUUAAAAUUUUUUGCUAAAUGUUGUAUUACAGUUACUAAGAUUUUAUUGUAACAGCAAAAAAAUCGUUGUGAGGCCGUUGUGUAUAUCUCCAUCGUAUAAAAUAUGUACAACGAUUUUACAAAUUAAAAAGUCAUUUUAAUUAUAUAUAUUGCAACGACUUUUUUCGUUUUAAAAUGUAUAUAUAUUUUCUGUAACGACUUAAUUUAUUUGUCUAAAAAUGUUUUAGUUAUAAUAAAAUUUGUUAUGUUGACAUUUUUCUAAAAAUGUAUUGGUUAUGUUACAAAAAAAAUUACGUAACAAUAAUAUAUUGGUUAUUUGACAUUUUUCUAAAAAUAAGAUGCUAACAUGGAGUAUAAAAUACAGGGACUUUUCUAAAUUUGAGCAUAGUAGGGACCAAAAUCAUAAUUUGACAUUUUUCUAAAUUUCAGCAUUGCUUAUGUUGACAAUUUUUUUUAGUGUUGGGAGGGAUAAUUUUUUUAAAAAACAAUUAACAUUUGAACUAAUUAAUGAUAUUAUAAACAUAGAUGGAUCAAAUUCUAAAUUUGAGGGACCAAAACUAUAAUUGAACCCCUUUUUUCUUUACUAGCAUUGCUCAAUGUUUGUAAUUUUUGAGCAGUAUUCAAAUAUGAUCCACCAAGCAACACCACAUUUCCUCACAGCGUCUACUUGCUACCUCACUUAAAGAGCUUCCUCAACUGCGACUUAAGAAAAGCUAAGAUGAUUGCCAACCCAACUCAGGGAAGUGGUAAUGGGUUCGAGUUCGUGUUGAAAAAGUGGAAGCCCUACUAUUUUGCUUGCGUUGAACGUAAUGGCUUCCAUUGCAAGGUUGGCCUCAUGAAAUUCGCCGUAGUAUUGUCGCUCCGUCGCCACCAUUGAUGGAUCACUUAAGCCUUCAGGGUAGAUGCAGUGCCUGUAUUUUUUCUUUCACUGCCAUUUUUGUUCACGAUAACAUGUUGAAUGUUGAGCCUAUCUUUUUUAAAUUGUUCAAUAAGUUAGAGGUUUGGGACCUUAGGGUUCAACUCUGGGCCAUGUUAUUUUGUCUUUUUACAGUAAUUUGUGAUUUCUUUUUACAAAGAAAUGCCAUGUUUUGUGUUUUGUUAACAUCUUGUUUUGGUUUCAAUUUAUUUCGUUUGGGAUGUUUCAUUUGUGUCUUGCAACAUUCUUGACUUCACCCUAUGUAUGAACUAACAUUGAUCCAAACGCUUGGAAUUGGGUCUGAUCGAAAAUGUCAAGACCAUCAACACUUAUUUUGAGCAAUGGUUAGAGCUUUCAUCAAGUCUGUAGAUAAUACAGAUUCAAACUCUUCCUCCUUUAAUAUUGGACCAUUUUACCAUCAAAGGCCCAUUUGCAACUUUAUUUACGGAAAUGGGCUAAUUUUUUUAUUAUUUAUUGGAAAGGGCCAAUUUUAGCAAAACACAUCCACGUAGAAGCGUUUUUGGGGAAAAUUUAGGCAAAACGCUUCCCUGGGGAGCGAUUUUACCAUGCAGCGCAAAACGAGCCCAUGUGGACGCACUUUGUUGACGUGGCAAAAUUGCUCCCCUAGGGAUGCGUUUUAGCUAGUGUUUUUUCCCCAAAAUUGCUCCCCCAGGGAUGCGUUUUAGCCAGUGGAUGGGUCCGCACUCACUGGGUCUGUUCAAUCUGCUGAUUGAGGAGCCGUAUGUUACGAUCUUUUGGGUGCAAUUCUGGGUAAUAUUUACUGAAAUCGGAUCGAGAUGGGCUGGUUACAAGACAUAUUCCCGGAGUCGGGGAAUGAUUUGAAUGAAGUAGAAAGAAUACGAUAUGCUCGGGCAUACAUUUUUGAGAUGAUUAAAGGUUAUCUGAUGCCAGACUUGUCACGAAACCUCGUACAUCUGAGGUGGCUGUUGAAACUCGUUGAUUUUAGAGCAGCUAACAAAUUUAGUUGGGGUCUGCCGUGUUGGCAACAUUGUACCGGGAGAUGUGCGGGGCGACGCCACCAACUAAAGCAAAAAUCGGAGGUUGCCUAUCACUACUACAAUCAUGGGUUCGAUUUCGCUUUCCAUUAUUACGUCGUUGAGUGGACCACCCAUAUACAUUCCCACUCAUAAUAAGGUAAAAUUUAUAUUAGAUUUUACAAUUAUUACAUAGAUUUAAAUUAUAAUUGUAUGCUAAAAAUUUAUUUGAUUAGGUGGAACCAUUCGGCGAGUUAGGUGGAACCAUUCGGCGAGUUAUGUUGGAAUAUGUAACACCCCUAACCCGUAUCCGUCGCCAGACUAGGGUUUAGAGGCUUUACCGGACAUAUCGAAACAUUUCAUGAUCACUUUACAAUCAAAAGUCAUACAUCGACCUAUCAUAGUCAAACAUCGACAUAAUUCAUUUUAUAAAUGAGCGUAUAACAUUAUAUCCAUCGAUAUACAUCUAUAUCAUAUCGAAUUAUUGAUCAUACAUUUUAAUAACCUAUAUACAAACACAUACCAAACCAUUUCAUUCCAUAUCAUGAGGCAUUAAUAAUCAUUAUCUUAUAAAAUAUUACUUGACAUUACCACAUAGCCCCAAUGUACUUUUAAUACUACUAAAGUAUGCGAAUCACCAUAAUAUUAAUAGCUAUUACUGAACUCAAUUGCCUAACCAAACAUACCAACUUCAUAGGUAAAACAUCAUUCCAAAAUUACAUAUACUAUUCAAGCCCAUUUAUCUCUCAUUCAGCUAUCAAAAUUAACCACAAAUGUAGUACAAAUUUUCUUUACUCGAUGUUAAACCAAAACCUGUCAUUUCAUUACCAACUAGCCUUACUAAAUAUACACAUUAUACUAGCCCAAUUGUUUAACCAUUCAUCCAUGAGAAAUAUAUAUAUAUUUUUUACCUAUUAUUGCUGAAUAUAAAUAUACUUCACAAAUCAUAAUUCAUCUCACAUAGAGAGUGAAUCAAUUUUUAUCAUUUGUCAAAUAGAUUACAAAACAAUUUAUAUAACCAAAUAUAGAUACAUUUUAAACCACACCAAUAAACAAAUUCUCAUGGCAUUGCAUAAUCAUCAUAUAUCAAAAACAAUCACACUUGACAUUUACAUCACAUAAACCGAAUUAACCAAUGCAUCCUCAAUGAUAUAAUCAUCCCUUUUACUUAAUUAACCAAGCCGAAUCAUAUCAUCAUCUCACACCUAAAAUGACCCACCUAUCACACUUCCAAAUUAUGCCACUUAAUAGACCGAAUAUACCUAGCAUUUUACCUAUUUAAUCAAGCCAAAUCUCAAAACCAUUCCACACAUAAAUUAUACUACAAAUCAUACUUACAAGUUUAGCUAAUACAAGACCGAAAAUCACUAUCAUAGCUUCAUUAGCAAAACACUCAAAACAAAUCCAUCAUCUUUAUACCAAGCUUACAAACAUGAUCUAACCAUAAACCAUAUAUACAUAUAUAUCCUUUCAUCAUACCAAAUUCAUAUACCAAGCAUACCACACAUAUAUACCAUGUCCCAAAAUUACUUAAACAUUAGCAUUAAUAUCAAGCCAUUUACGCAUGGCUAAAUAUCUACAAAUUACAAGACCAACCAAAAUAAACACUAGUCUAUACACGCCAUACGUUCAAAUUUUCAAGCUUUCAAAAUAUCGAAAUAGAGAUUGAUAGUGUGACGGACUUCCUUGACGAUCCUCGAGCUCAUAACUAACCUUUAAAAUCUAAAAACAAUGCAUGAACAAACACACAGUAAGCUUAAAUAGCUUAGUAAGUUAUAAGCAAAUAGUUUAUCAAAGAACAUAUAAUUUAUACAAUUAGAUCGAAUACUCUCAAUCUUGAACACACACACACACAAACACACACACAUAUAUAUAUAUAUAAUCACAUUUAAGCAAUUAGUUCACAUUUUCAUGUUCAACCACAAUACUUACGUUUAUUUCCAAAUUUCAUAAAACUCAAACAUACCUGAUUCAUUUAAAUCGAACUCACAUUUUGUCUUGCCUUACCUUUGCUCGUAGAACCAUUCGGAAUCAAAAAGUAUACGCGGAUAACUCAAAAAGAUCGUACAAUGCCAAUGUCCCUGACGUGGUCUUAUAUGUAAUCAAAUAACGAUGCCACUGUCCCAGACAGGGUCUUACACGUAAUCAUAUACGAUGCUAAUGUCCCAGACAUGGUCUUACACGCAAAUCUCAAAUCGAUGCCAACGUUUCAGACGUGGUCUUACACAAAAUCACAUAUUAGAAUCCUGUGGUUCGAAUGGGCUUUCGAAUGUCGUAAUUCAAUCGUAUCAAACUCGUAAACAAUUCUCCCAUGCAUAAAAUAAUUCGACAUUUACACAUAUGCUCAUUAAAUUUUAAUUUGGCAUUUAUAAUACAUAUAUAUUCAAAUUAAUGAAAUUUAUUUACUUAUGAACUUACCUUAGACAAAGACGAGCGGAUGGAAUUGACUAUUCGACCACUUUCAACUUUCCCCUAUCUAAUUUCGUUUUCUUUUGUUCUUGAUCAAUAUAAAUUCAAAUUUGGCUAUUUAAUAACACAUUUUAUUCAAAUUUAUUCUAAAAACACAUAAAUAGGAAAAUUAAAUUUUAGCCCCUAACAUUUCACAUUUUUUACAAUUUAGUCCUUAAUUCACAAAACACAAAAUAUUCAAAAUUUCACCACACCCAAGCUUGGCCAAAUUCCUAUAGGGUCCCUAGCAGCCUAUUUCUUUCAUUUAUUUCACAUUUGACCCUUAAAUUUACAAAUUUCACAAUUUAAUCCUUAAUACACAUUUUUAUCAAAAAUUACUUAAUUAAACAUAAUAAUCUAUCAACAUAUAUUUAUUUUUCAUCAUCAAAUAAUAAAACAACAAGCUCUCUCCAAUGACAAAUCACAAAAUCCACAUCCAAUUGAAAAAUUUAAGCAUGGGCUAGCUAGUAUUCAAAGCAAUGAUACCAAAAACGUAAAAAUUAUCAAAAAUCGAACAAAGAGCAUACCUAAUUUAAAGCCUCAAAGUGCCGAACCUAAAACACAAGAAUGGCUUCUUUUCUCUUCAAGUUUCGGCAAGAAAAAAGCCAAAUGCAUGGCUAUUUUGUGUUUUAUUUUAUUUAUUACACAUUAAUACAUAAUUUACUAUUUUAAACAUUAUUAAUUCAUUUAAAAUCCACUAACAUAUGUCCGUAAAAGUCCACUCACAAAUCCAUUGGUAUAAUAUCAACAUAAGGACUACACAUUAGAAAAACCAUAGCAAAUAAGCACUUUAACAAUUAGCUAGCCACUUUUGCAUUUUACGCGAUUAAGUCAUUUUUUUAAAAUCAAGCACACAAACGAUAAAAUUUUCACACGAAAUUUUCACACAUAUAAAUUAACAUGCUGUAGAAACCAAAAAUAAUAUUAAAAUAUUUUUUGACUUAGAUUUGUGGUCCUGAAACUACUAUCCGACUAAGGUCUAAACCGGGCUGUUACAGAAUACCUAUCGCUCUUGAAGAUAUACGGCUUCUAUUAGACCAAAGGUCGAAAGCGCAAGUAAGUAUUAAAUAAAAUAUAUAAAAAUAAAAUAGUCGUUUCAUGUUUAGUAUUAGUAUUAUGUAUAUAACAAAUAUUUUUAUCAUGUUCAUAUAGUUUCAAUGGACACCAUAUGAGGAUUCGAAAAUUUGAGCAGUAAUUUCGGGUGAAUUCUUUCAAAAUCUGAACAUUUGGCAUGUGAAGGUCCCAUUGGUCAACUAUGCUACCGUGGAGAUGCAUCAUAUGGAUAGAGUGUUGCGGUAAUUUGGAUUUUUGACAACCGAUUCUCGUGGCACCUGAGGUGCUCAAUGAUAAGCACAAAAUUGACUUACGAUAAACGAAUAAGAAUUGGCUGAUAUUCUAGUUGAAAUAUAUCAAAAUGUGAGAAAAUUGGUAUGAUCAUAUACCUAUUCAGGAACCGAUUAUCGUUCUAGAGUUAGCGUGCGUGCCAGAUUACAUGUCAUGGUUCAGGAUCCAUGGCAAGCCAAAUUUAUUGUCGGAGGAGUAGAGGCGUCAGUAAAUUCGUGUCGAAAGGGAAUGAUACGGCCUUUUAAAUUCAAGGAGAAGGGAUAAGACACGAGCCCAUCAAUAGUGCCCACACAAUCGCCAGGCCCAACGCCUCAACUGACGACACCCACAUCAUAGCCUCUUCAGAUUAUGCCAGGUGCGUAUCGUAGCCCUUAUAUGCAUCUUAAAUUUUAUAUGUUUCUUUUUCCAGUCCUAUACUAGGUUGGAAUGCAUGACCCGGUGCAUCUCAUUUCCCGAUGACUCCAAUUCAACCGAUGAUAUAUAGGCUACCAUCGUAGGAGGGAUCGCAUGAGGGACCGUCAGGGAGCUCUGCUCAUUACCAAUCCCCAUCGCCUUAUAGGAUUCAAAGACCUUCCCCAUGGGUGAUGCAAACACCUCCGCAUUCUCUAUUCUAUCAAUGUGGGUCAUCCUCCCAACACCAACACCAACACCAACAACCAUAACCCUCAACCCCUUCCGGAAGCUGAACCAAGGAGGAAUCCAGCACUUAACUGUCGACGACCCCAUGCAGCACUGAUUUCGACGUGCACCAACAUUAAUUUUUUUAAUAUAUUUGUACAAACAAUUUUUAUAUUAUUUUAUUUAAUAAAAUAAAAUUUGUUUUUAAUAUUUUAAUAGUAAUUUAUUUUUUAUAUUUUUAAUAAAAUAGAAAUAAUGCAACAUAGUUUUAUUACAGUAACUAUCAACUAUUUCGAUUUGGACAUGAUCGAAUUGUAUGACCUAGGUUCCUACACCAUCCGCACAACUUCUGUUAGUUUGUUCUUUCCCAGAUAUCCAUAUUGUUACGUAUUCUACUCGAGCAAGGUCGACCUUUUGGUUUGUGACGUAAUUCUCUAUCCAGUAACAACUUAAACGGAGCAAGCGAUACAAACGACCACUUAUGUUCAUCUAGGUAAUGUGGAAAUACGUGUUUCCACAUAUUAUACAUGUAUUUUAUUUUGUACACUUCGUCGACAUAUCUCAUGGGAUCCAAACAGAGAUUCUGACAAGCUACAAUUGCAUGAGCGCAUUGAUAAUGAAGUGCGUCAACCGUCCCACAGUCGCAAGUCCUAUUUCUCAGGUGUCAUGAUAUUGCCCGCUUGUAAUACCUUGAUUCAGUCUGUCAAACUUCGUCACACGAAACCAUAGGUUGUCGCGACCAUGACAUACUGUGUGCAUAGUGUUGGCCCGCGCCUUCGCCUUGUUAAUUUCUUGCAAUACCUUCCAGUACUAUACAUGGCUUCCUUGCAUUUGGCCUUUAUAACUCACUGCUCGCUUUGAAAAUAGUACCGCUAAAAGAAAAUAUGUCUCUCGCAUAAUCAAGGUUAUCGGUAAAUGACGCAUUUCUUUUAUAAUAGAAUUUAUGCAUCCAGCCAGAUUUAAGGUCCUAUGACCAUGUUGUAGGUCACCGUCGUAUGCUUGUGUCCAUUGUUCAAAAGGUAUGUUACACAGGUAAUCUACGCCUUGUUCGUUAACUGAAUGCAAAAUCGCCAACAUCUUAUGAAAAUGGUCCUUAUUGAUCUCGUACCCUGCCAAUAUAAGUUGAUAGCGAAAAUUACAUACCACUCUUUCAUUCAGAAUAAAUUGAAUACUACAAACAAAAUUGUAUUAAUAGAGAUUAAAUACCCAUGUUGGUCACUUUCCAUCGUUCAGUAGUAGACCAAUAUUUCCCGUAGUAGUUAGAUGCAAUAUACUUUAGACAAUACUGAUGGUGUGUGCGAUCUUAUAGGCUUCUCUGUCACUCAAUUGCUACUAGUAUUCCAGUACCCCGAUUCGAUAUAACGCAUAUAUCAGGUUAAGUGCAGACACACCUCAUUAACCUAGAAAGUAAUAAAUCCCAGUCACCACCUAACUCUCCUGAGGCUAUUGCAAACGUAAUUGGAAGGAUUCUUCCACUGCCAUCCUGUGCCACAGCUAGGAAUAACCAAUAUGUAUAUCUACCAUACAUAAAGGUAUCGUUAAUUUGUACCAAUGGCUUGCAGUACACAAAUGCAUCCUGACAUUGCUUAAAGAUCCAAAACAGACGCUUGAACACUUGGUAUCCACGGAGCAAUCGGUUGUUGUAGUACGUAGGUGUCAUUUCAAGAUUUGUUAGUCAACCUGAGACGUGCCUUUUUAGCACCUGACACCACUGCCACACCUUAUUAUAUGAAAUAUCUCACACACUAUGCAUCUUUUUCUACACCUUCUGCUUAGCUAUCCAAGCUUUGCGGUAAGAGGGUAUGUACCUCAAUUGGCAUGAAUAUUGGCAAUAAAGACCGAUACUGAAGUCCUGGGAUCCGCCUUCACCGUCAGUAGUAUUAAGCUAGCUAACAUAUCUGAAUCCAUCUUGGGAUGAUCUUGUGAAACACCUGUCAACUGAAUAAAUUAAAUAAUGCAACAUUACGUAAUAACAGUAUUAUUCAAAACCCUUAAACACUCAGUGAUACUGUACAAGUAACACAUGUAUGUGGACCUUUAUAUUUUUUUAUCUCCUACAAGCCUAUUUUUUUCCUAACCAAAGUCAUGAUUUUCCAUGAACAUGUACCAUCUUGCACUGUACACUUGGCAUCAAACUUCUCAGAUUUGGAUUUAACCACGUUGUUGUUAAUCUCAUUCAUGAUGCUAUGUUGUUUCAAUGCACCAAGAAAACUAUCCUUACUGGAAAAAUCCUUACUAACUUCUAAUUCACCCGAAUCCAAUGAUGAACUUGUACAGUCACGCCUUCUGUGUGGUAAAUCUUAAAACUUUAACACAUCAUCUGUCGAUAGAUCGACAUUAUGCAUGUGGGCUGAAGGGAGUACGCCCUGAAUCGCGGAUCCUCUUUUUCUUUAUCUAAACCCCUUUUAAAAUCGUUAGGUUCAGUUGGAACAAGCUCCGGUUCAGAAAAUCAUGCAACUUCUCCAUUAUCAAGGCCGGGCUCUCAAGGUGGAUCCACAUUGGACUCAUCACCAUUAUCUGCAACGUACGAGGUCCCCUCGCCGGUCGACGUCGUAGGGAGUACAUCAUCCCUUCUUGUGGACGUUUCUUAACGUCUCCAAUCAGAUGUGGAUUGCCAACCACUAGAAAUUGAUGUCAUUCCCAGUACGUAUUUUCAGCAUCGAACAUCGACCCGUCGAGGUGCAUGUCCCAUCCACUAACCGAGUGUCGUGCAGGAAUUGUGUAUUCCAUACUGCUAUCAAACACGGGCGCUUCCAUGUUUUGCCUACCACUAACAGAGUGUCGGGCAGGCGUCGUGUAUUCCUCUCGUGUAGCAGUAGAUGUUGAAGUCGCAAAUGCUUCAUUUGGAGAUGAUAAUUGUACAUAUAGCUCAAGAUAGGGUGAUCGACUAGCGAGAUGAGUCUGUACCAUCGCCUCCAAGCUACAAUCACAUUUGAUAUCAAAUGAGUCAUAUGUCACGGGAUCAACCGAAGCAUAAAAUUGAUACUUAAUAGACGAAACUCUCAUUGGUGUCGUUCCGAACAUUUUAAGCCUAAUUCUUUUACGAAAUUUCAAAUCUAUGUUCUGGUUAAAAACCAGUCGUGUUGUGUUCUCUUAUAAAAAAAUCAUUGUUCUCGGUGUCGUUGGCCUCAUCGUCAUAGUAAAUAAUAGCACUAAUACGUUCACUCAUCUUCAGUUUCUGUUAUACUUAGCCUCAAUUUUUCUUGCUGUAACUUAUGCAACCUGAGAAUGAAAUUUGAAUCAUUUAUAGUCAAGGGCCAAACAGGAACUACUGUGGAAAAAGAGAGUCCAUGUGGGAGCUUUUCAAUAAUUUUGCUGACAGUGUAUCCUUCUUGAAGCAUUUUUGACACUAUUUGUUCAGAACUGUCUUCUCAAAAAUACUUUUUUAGGAACUACUGUAGAAAAAUAGUGUCCACGUGGGAGCUUUUUUCAGUAAUUUUACUGACAGUGCAUCCUGCUUGGAGCAUUUUUUACAUUAUCUUUUCAGAAUCGUUUUCUCAAAAUUAUGUUUUCAGAACCUAUUGUAGAAAAACAAACAAAAGUUUUUAUAUUGUCAAUAUAAUUUUCCCUAAACCCUAAACACAAAAUUAUUUUAAAAAAUAAAAUCCUAAUUUAAUUUAUUUAUUUAAAACCCAAAAAACCUAUUUUAAUUUAUUAUUUAAAAAACCUUAAACCCUAAACCUACCAAAAACCUAAAAACCCUAAACCAAAAAACCUUAGGGACUAAACAUGCAAAAAGCCCUAACCCUAGAAAAGUACAGGCUAAAACACGCCCUAGGGGAGCGAUUUUGCCACGUCAGCAAAGCGAGUCCACGUGGGCGUGUUUUGUGCUGACAUGGCAAAAUCGUUCCCCCAGGGAUGCAUUUUGCUGAAAUUUCCCCCAAAAAUGCUCCUACGUGGAUGCGUUUUGCUAAAAUCGGCCCUUUCCGAUAAAUAAUGAAAAAAUUGACCCAUUUCCGUAAAUAAAGUUGGAAAUGAGCCAUUAAUGAUAAAAAAUGUUUAAAAUGACUCGCAAAUUUUUCAAGAUUAUAAGUUUGAGUGGAUUAAGGCACCUAAUGUCCUCAGAUAAGUAUAAAUAUAAAUGAUUUAAGAUUUGGGGUUAAGAGUAAGUUAUAAAAUGAGCUUAUAUUGCGAAGUUAGUUCAUCUACUUUAAUUUUUCAGAAUUUGAUUCUUAUACUUUACUUUACGAGAAUUGAACAAUUAGUCCAAUUGGAUGACAUUAUUGAACCUUGCCAUUAAAUGUAACAUAGAAAUCAACAAUUGAAUAAUUUAUAUGCAGCUAAUUACAAAAAUCAACAGUUUAAAUUCAUAUAUUUAUCAACCAUCUAAUUAACUUCUCGUGAAAAGGACAAAUAUUGAGAAAUUAAAGUAAAAGAAAGUAAAUACUAAAACCCAAUGAGAGUCAAAAUUAAGAUAUUUCAAAAAAGAAAAUAGAUUAUUAAAUAUAUUGGUAUUUUUCUAAUAACAAAGUUAUAUACUUUUUUUGGGGGGUCGAAUAUAAUCAAAAAGUACCUAAACCAUGAGCUAAAGAAUGUUGAGAUUCACCUAACUUCUUUAAUUCCCACAUAAAAGCCAAAAGCCAUUCAAUAAAAAAAAAGUUCAACUGGAUUGACGGAUGAAAUUGAUUGAAUGAGAAAUUUUCAAGAUUAUUUCAAUUUAAUGAGAAUUAAUAUAAUAUAAGGUUAUCUUUAUCUUAAUAUAUUAUCUCAGUCUGAACAAUAUUAUAUUCAGAUCGUAAAAUGGUUAAGGAUACUUGUGGUUAUAUAUUCCAAAAAAAUUAUCUUUGGUAAUAAGAUUAUUUAGCACAUUAUUGAAUAUGUAAGAUUAUAUCUGGUUCAUUUGGUUGGAAUGUAAUAAUCGUCCUUGUACUAUACUUUGGAUUGCAUUUUGGUCCCUUCAUCGGAAAAAUGAGCAAAACGGUUCCUAUAUGUUGGAGAAAAAUAGUCCGUCCAUUAAAAUUGUGCUAUCAAAUGCUUAUUUUGUUGUUUUUUGUAUAAGGUAUAAUAACAAAUUUAACUCUUAACAUUUACAUCUUUAUGCAAUUUGCCCCUACUCUUUUUAUUUGAAGCAAUUUGUCCUUCAAUCUUUCAUUUCUGAUGUGACACUAUUUUAUCUAAUAUAUCAUGUUAGAAAUUAUACUUAAAUACAUUACAAAAUAUUUUUAAAAUAAGUUAAAACAUGAAAAUUAGUGUAACAUUUUUGAGGUUUGGAAUUAGUAUCAACCAAAUAUAUUUGUACAUGAAAAAAAAAAUCUAUUUAUCAAUAUUCUUAAUAAUAUUUUCUAAAAAAAUCAAUAUUCUUAAAAAUAUUUCUCAAUUGUACACAAUUGAGUUUUUAUCGCUUGGUUCACCUAUGAUUCAACUAUAUAUCAAUAAUUGAAGUAUAUAUCAGUUGUAUUUAUAUAUAAUAAACGUGUGCUUACCUUUAAAUUGAUUACAUUUUGUAGCAAACCCAUCAUUAAUCAGCUAUAAUUUUAUAGGGUGUGACUCACAUUUAUCGAAAAGUUUGCAAACACUUAAGACAACAAUCAACGAAUAGUAGAAGAAGGAUUAAAAUAGGCCCGGUGUUAUGACGAGCAAGUAGGAUCGUCGAGACAACGUGAUGAAAAGCCCAAACAAAUGCGGCAUUGACGUCAUGACGAGGAGAGUUGGCACGUCACGACAUGCUCUCCUAUUUGGUAACUGCGUUUUAGACUUCAAUCGGGGUUGCUUCUUCUAGCUGGACUCUAAUUAUUCUAGGAAUAUUUUAGUAUGACUAGAAAUUUAACCUAAGUUUAUUUAAAGGGGCCAUUGUAUCCCUGUUUUGACACGUCAAUCAGUAAGGGCUUUUCUUGAGGGAGGUAAUGUAAUGGCCCAAAUUUAAGGUUAUCAAAAUAGUGGUUUCGUAACCACAAAUCUGAUGAGGAAAAUUUUAUUUUUUCUUAUAUUUUUAUGGUCUAUGAUUUCACAAAAUGAUUUCGUGAAAAUUUCGUUUGAAAAUUUCGACGUUUGGGCACUCAAUUUAGUCAAAAAGACUAAAUUGUAAAAACUGCAAAAGUUGAGUUCUACAUGUUAGAGGUGUCCAAUUGUUGUGAAACUUUAAAUUGGAGGUCCUUAUAUGGUAAAUAGACCAUUGGUUAAGUUGGUAGACAAAAAUGGACAUGGGAUAAGUGAAAUAGGAAAUUUUUAAGUUAGGGGCAAUUUGGUAAUCUAGUAAUUAAAUGAAUUAAAAGGGAAAAAGAUGGCAAAAAUCAUCAUCUUUUUCAUUUGGAUGAAAUCAGCAAGGGGGGAAGCCAUGGUUAGGGUUUUCAAGCUUCCAAGCUCCAUAAUCAAGAAGAACGAAACUCGAGGUUAGACAAAGGAAAGAAUAAAUUUGAAGACUAAGUUGGUGAAUUGGGCUAUAAUUGGUACCGAGGUAAGUUUACGGUAAAUAAAUGCAAUAUUUUAAUAAUUAUUAUUAAUGAUGUUAUUUUCCAACAACUAUGAAUUUAUUUCAUGAAUUUAUUUGAUGAUGAUCCAAGCAUGAAAUGAUAGAGAAUUAAAAUUAAAAAGUCCCGUUGAUACAUAAGGAUGGUACUGGAUACGAAUGUCAUGACAUUUGGGUAAAGAGGUCUCAUGUAAGACCAUGUCUUGGACAUGGCAUUGGCACCGAGAUGAGAGGUCCCAUGUAAGACCAUGUCUGGGACAUGGCAUUGGCACCGAGACGAGAGGUCCUAUGUAAGACCAUGUCUGGGACAUGGCGUUGGCACCGAGAUGAGAGGUCCCCUGUAAGACCAUGUCUGGGACAUGGCCUGGGCACCGACAUGAGAACAUCCCAUGUAAGACCAUGUCUGAGACAUGGUUUUGGCAUGUUAUUAUCAGAAGAGACCCGAGUAUCCUUAUUGUUCCAAUGUAGCUCAACGGGCUAAAUAACGAAUCAUGUUCAGGAAAGUUCAGUUAAAAACAUAAAUGGCAAGCUCAGGUAAGUUAUAAGAGUUAAGAACUUAUUAUAUUAUCAAUUGAUAUUCAACGAUACAACAAGAGAAGAGUAAUUUAUGCACACCAAGUAUACUAAGUAAACAAGCAAGAGAACUAGAAUGAGAUUAACUAAAGAGUAAACUAGAGAUAUAGACACUUGAGUUUAAUUAUUUGUGUUUAAUGUUGUUAUUUAUUUGCUAGAAAACUUACUAAGCUUUAUGCUUACUUCUUUUAUUUCUCUUUCUCUUAUAGUAUUGCAAAGCUACUUCAAGGAUCCUAAAGAAGUCGGAGAUCGUCCACACUAUCAACCACAAUUGCUCGGUAUUUUAUGACAAAGCACGUUUGAGUUAUGGCAUGUAUAGGGACUUAGUUAUUUUGCAUGUUUGUAAUUAUGAUUUUGCUAAAGAAUGAUGUAUAAGUAUUUGAUGACGAAUGGUUAUUAAAAUGGUUAAGUAUAAAGGUGUUUGUUGUUAUAAAAGCCCAGGUGAUAAGUUAUGCAUGAAAAUUGUGGAAGGGUAAAAUUUUGCAAAGAAAUAGAAUUCAGGUAGCACAGUGACGUGACUUUAAAAAAUAACCUAGGAUGAUAUAAAAUUAAUUAGAGGAUUUAAAAUAUAUAGAGUGAAAGCUUGUUGAGUAUACUUUCAUGGAAAAAUAACGGUUUAGCAAAAUGAAAUUUAUAUUUUGAGAUAUGUGAAUUUUGGUGAGACAGGGUUAGAACGGUUUUGGAGUCCCCUGUUCUGAGUUUAGAAAAUCAUUAAAAAUUGUACAAAAAUAUUUAUGAGUUCUAAUUUAUAUUUCUAUAUUCCUUAUUGAGUCUGUUUUCUGUAGGAAUAAGUAAGAAUACUAUAUGAAAAUCCUACAAUGAGAAAACUUAUUUUUAGUGGCAAGAGGUCAGGACAGUUGAGUGAUGAAACAAGGGGAGACUUCAACUAAUAAACUGUACUAAUUGGUUGAACCAAAAAUUUUAAAAAUUUUAUGGUAAGUAUAUAUAUGAGUCUAGUUUCAGGGAAAAUUUAAGGAAUUAAAUUUCGAGUUCCGUAGCUCGAGUUAUAAUAAAUUUAGUAACUGCUGCAUGAUUGGACAAAUUUGCUGUAAAUAGCGAAAUUAAUUUUCAAAACAAGUUUUUAUGCUCCGAAUUAGUAAGAUAAGCUAAGUAAUGCCUUUAGAAAAAUUUAAAAAAUUUUAAAAUUUUCUUCUAAGAAGAGAAUUUAUUAGGUGUCCGAUCACACCUUGGAAAAAAGAUCGGUGGCGACUCCUUUUUCAAAUAAAAUCGAGAUUCGAUUUUCAAGUUUUCAAUAAUUACUUCGACUAGUGCCCAUCGCCAAAUUUUUAGGUCGCUACAGCUGGCGACUCCGCUGGGGACCUUUUUUUUUUUAGAGUCGAGUCUGAUAUUAAACGCGUGUUGUCAAAAUUUUUAAAUUUUCUUGUUCAAAUUAAUUUUUAAUCGUGAUCCUUGAAUUUUAUUUUUGAAAAGUCAUGCAUCUGCAUUCGGUUUUUAAAUUAAUAUUUUUCUAACUUGUUUUAUUUUUCUGUUUUGUUUCAGCUCUAAGUUUUACGUAUUUUGGUUUGUUUUUUUUAGUAAAAAUAAAAAAAUAAAAAAAGGUUUGUGAGUUUCUCCCCACACACUGUGCACUUACAUUCUUGCAUAACAUAAGCUCUCUACCCGGGCUCUAUCCUUUUAAGUGGAAUAAACGCUACGCCUUCGUGAGUUAACUCGUCCCUCUGCACAGGCUAGUGAAUUACUUCCGGGUUACAUAUGACUUAUGCUUUCGUGAGUUAACUUGUCUCUCCGCAUAGGCAUAAGUAAAUGUAAUCCCUCGAAUUGAGCUCGCAAGCCCAUGACGGGUGAUAACCGAGGCUCCGUACUAGCCUUAGUAGGUGACAGUAUAGACAAUUUGAGUAUUUUUUUAGAACCAAAACCACAUAUAGUGAACUGUACGAGCCACCCGAUUAGAGCCAUGCCGAGCCUCUGUCCGUUAGAUAAUUACCAAAUAAGUACAUGGGAGAAACGCCUCUUACCUUGUAUUUCUUUUACAUUUACACUUUUUGCAAGGGAAUCAGGUCUGUUUAAUAAAUUUGAUCGGGUAGAUUGAUGAGCAUGUGGGGUAAGUUUAUUUUUGUAAAGCAUGAUAGGGUAAAAAACCAAAAAAAAUGUAGGUCGAUUUGUUAGAUUUUCCAUAGUUUUUCUUUGUUUAUAUUUGUCGUGAUUGCUAACUAAGUUUAUUUGUCUUAAUUUUAUUUUUCAUCAUGCAUCAUGGGCAUCUCAUUAGGAAGGUGUUGAUUAGAUAUUGGUUGCCAAAAAUGGGUUUCUGAUAGAGAAGUCAAUUACGCAAGUAACCGAGAAAAAAUGUUGUAGUCAGAGACUGGUCUUUGAGGACCCAGAAAGCAAAAUGGACAAUUUAAAGGACAGAUAUACCUCUGAUCUUUCCAGGAAGGCGACUUCGAAUGCUCGUCAGAAUAACCCCGAAGAUUUGACUUGGAUCUGGAAACAAUGAGACUCAGGCACUAGAGGCAUCUUUAUUGGCAAAAUAUUUUGUAAUGGACUCUUUUGAUAAAUGAAACACCAAAAUAUGGGGCUAUCUUAAAAUCAACACCAUUUUUGCAUAUUUACACAUGACUAGCAUCCAUUGGUCAUUCAUUCAUUCAUUCAUUGCAUGUACAUAUCACCAUUGCCAUUCACUGAGGCUAAAAUAGUGUAAUUCACAGUUGCGACACAAGUCUAGAAUCACGUCAUCCUUACAGGACACGUCUAAGAACUAGAACUAUGGAUGCUGAACUUAAUAAAAGAAUCGAAAGGAUGGAAAGGGUUCAAAAAGAGUUACAAGAGCAAUUGGCCAAGUUACAACAAGAGGCAAGAGAUAUGAUGGUGAGAUCUCGAGAAGAAUCACUCGAGCAAAGAGAUCAAAUGCCUAAAAUGAUGGAAAUGAUGACAGCUUUGGUUAAAGGAAAGGGACCCGUGCAAAGCCCUGACAUCAUGGAGCCUCAGUCAAGAGCUAAUAAUGAUCAAGAUCCGCUUUACCCCCUAGGAUUCACUCCACCUCACGCUCAUGCAAUGCAAAAAGGAUAUCCUCAAGGGGAAUCUACAGUCCUAGAACAACGUCCUGUACCACCUGCUCAUCUAGGGCAAGGUAUAUUUGUAUCGAACCCUGAGGCUAAUCCAGCAGAUCCAAUUGUUCCAAAUCUGGACGAUCCGGUGGAAAUAGCAAAGUUGAAAGCUAAUGAUUAUGACGCUCAAGAUAGGUAUAAAAUCUUAGAAGAAAGGCUCAAUGCAAUAGAAGGUACUGAAGUCUUCUCUGCCUUGAGUGCUAAAGAACUCAGUUUGGUGCCUAAUCUGGUUCUACCCCCGAAAUUCAAGGUUCCAGAGUUUGAAAAAUAUGAUGGAACGAGAUGUCCAAAGGUAUAUCUUAUCAUGUUUUGUCAAAAGAUGACUGGCUAUGUGAAUGAGGACAAAUUACUGAUACACUGUUUUCAGGACAGUUUGGUUGGAUCGGCUCUUCGGUGGUAUAAUCAGCUUAGUAGAGAAAAAUCCAAUCAUGGAAGGACUUAGCAUCGGCGUUUUGCGAGUAAUACAAGCAUGUAUCAGAUAUGGUACCCGAUCGACUAACCUUGCAGAUGAUGGAAAAAGCCAACGGAGACUUUUAAACAAUAUGCGCAAAGAUGGAGGGAUGUUUCAGCUCAAGUGGAACCCCCGUUGACUAAAACAGAGAUAACAGUCCUCUUCAUCAAUACUCUGAAGGCACCGUUUUAUGAUAAGUUAGUAGGAAGCGCCAUGAAAGACUUUGCAGAUAUUGUAAUAUCUGGGGAGCUUAUAGAGAAUGCCAUUAGGAGCGGGAGGAUGUAAGGCCUUGAAAGUUCAAAAAGGGUAGUACCCGCGAGGAAAAAGGAGGCAGAAACCCAUAUGGUCGGAAAUGCAAGCCACCAUACUUCCAACCCUUACUCAUUUCAACCACGACCUCAUUACCGCCCGCCUUCAAACUUCUACUUUCCUCAUCAAGGUCCUUACUAUCCAACACCUUCUCCUUAUCCUGUAUAUGCCAUGAAUAAUCAAAUACCGUUCGCUAUGUUUCCACCAAACACCAUGCCCACACAAAGCCAACCUAAAAAUGAACAAAGGCCAGCAAGACCUAAUUCUGAAAGACCUUAGCUUACACCAAUUCCUGUGUCAUAUGGAGAAUUAUACCCGAAGCUAUUGGAAAAGCAAUUGAUAUCCCCACAUUACAUGGCACCCUUGAAGCCCCCAUAUCCGAAAUGGUAUGAUCCUAACACUAGUUGCAUGUAUCACACUGGAAAUCAAGGGCAUUCUACAGAAAACUGCCUUGCCUUUAAAAGAAGGGUUCAAGAUCUCAUCGAUGCUAGCAUUCUGCGAUUUGAUGGCAUUAGUAAUCCUCUUCCUAACCAUGCUGAUGUGAAUGUGGUAACAAAUGAAGAUGAGAGGCAAGAUAAUCUAAGAAGUGCUUUGAUUGAAAAGGGUCUUCAGAACAUCAGCAUAAAUGUUGUUGACAGCGGGGGUGAUGCAAUUGAGGAUGUUUUAAUGAUACGCCACUGUCCUCCAAGAUAUGUUUUGAACAACUGGACUGCUGUGGACCUCUUUGUAGCUUCUAAGUCCUCUCCAGAGUAAUGCCCAAUGUUAAUUCUCCAUUAUUUUGUGUGUUCCUAAAUAAUGGGAUUCAUUUUGUAAGAGCUUAUGUUUGCUCUUUAUCAUUUCAAUGAACAUUAAUGAAGAUGCAUUUUGUCAUGGUUUUGUCAUUUCAAUUAGUGUCUCAAUUAUUCCCGCUUCUCAUAGCUUUUUCCUACACAUAUAUCAUAUCAUUCCAUAACAUUGUGUGUGUUGAUUCUAAUACUUUGAUGCUCCUCUAUAGUUUUAUUUCUCAUUCACCUUUCAGGUGCUCAUAUAUCCAUGGUAUGAACAAUCCUGUUAUAAGUCCUGAAAUUGAUUUCGAGAAGGCUAUUUGUUUAGGAGAAUUUGAAGCCGAUGAAGAUGCUGAAGGUUUUGUCUCGUCUCAUGACUUACUGAGAAUGGUAGAACAAGAAGAGAAACAGAUUCUACCCCAUCAAGAAUCUAUUAAGACAGUGAACUUAGGGAGUGAAGAAAAGAAACAAGAAGUGAAGAUUGAGACUUCCAUUUCAGGGAACACCAAACAAAAUUUGAUCGACUUGCUCUAUGAGUACAAAGAUGUAUUUGUCUGGUCGUAUCAGGAUAUGCCAGGGUUGAAUGAGGAUGUGGUGGUCCAUAGGCUUCCAUUAAAACCAGAAUGCAAGCCCGUUCAGCAGAAAUUGAGAAGGAUGAGACCUGAAAUGCUGUUAAAGAUAAAAGAAGAGGUUAAGAAACAAUAUGAUGCUGGCUUUUUACAGGUCUCUAAAUAUCCGGAAUGGGUAGCUAACAUAGUCCCGGUACCGAAAAAAUAUGGCAAGGUACGAAUGUACGUAGAUUAUCGUGAUUUGAAUCGAGCAAGCCCUAAGGAAAACUUUCCUUUGCCACACAUCGAUACGUUGGUAGAUAACACAGCAAAGUAUUCAUUGUUUUCUUUCAUGGAUGGUUUCUCGGGUUAUAAUCAGAUUAAGAUGGCUCCCGAAGAUAUGGAGAAAACUACAUUCGUUACAAUGUCGGGAACGUUCUGCUAUAAAGUGAUGCCGUUCAGAUUGAAGAAUACUGGGGCAACAUAUCAAAGAGCCAUGGUGAUGCUGUUCCAUGACAUGAUGCAUAAAGAAAUAGAAGUAUAUGUCGAUGAUAUGAUUGCCAAGUCUCGGGGAGAAGAAGAGCAUGUUGGGAACCUCAGGAAGCUAUUCGAAAGAUUAAGAAAAUUUCAGUUGAAGCUUAAUCCAGCCAAGUGUACAUUCGGGGCUACCUCGGGAAAAUUGCUAGGUUUUAUUGUCAGCGAGAGAGGUAUUGAAGUUGAUCUAGACAAGAUAAAGGUCAUACAAGAACUGCCACCUCCGCGUACACAAAAAGAAGUUAGAGGAUUUUUAGGAAGGUUGAACUACAUUGCUCGAUUCAUUUCUCAACUUACCAACCAAUGUGAUCCAAUUUUUCGACUCAUUCGAAAACAUAAUCCAGAAGAGUGGAAUGAGGAGUGCCAAGUGGCCUUCGACAAGAUAAAAUAAUAUUUGUCUAAUCCUCCGGUGCUAGUACCGUCGACCUUUGGAAAACCCUUAAUAUUGUACCUGACCGUGUUUGAAAACUCAAUGGGUUGCGUACUGGGGCAGCAUGAUGAGUCAGGAAAAAAAGAAAAAAUGAUUUACUACCUCAGCAAAAAGUUCACAAAAUAUGAGGCAAAGUACCCGUCAAUUGAAAAAUUCUGCUGUGCAUUGGUCUGGGUAGUUCGAAAGCUCAAACAAUACAUGUUGUAUCAUACAACGUGGUUAAUUUCAAAGCUAGAUCCAUUAAAGUACUUGAUGGAAUCACCUGCACUCUCAGGGAGAAUGACACGAUGGCAGAUCCUAUUAUCUAAAUAUGACAUUGUGUAUGUGAGCCAAAAGUCGAUAAAGGGAAGCGCGAUAGCUGACUUCUUGGCAAGUCGAGCAAUGAAGGAAUAUGAGCCGCUGAGAUUUGAUUUUCCAGAUGAAGACUUGAUGGGUAUUUCCGAAGGUGAAUCAUUAAAAGAUCAAUCAUGGAAUAUGAGUUUUGAUGGUGCAUCGAACGCGUUGGGGCACGGGAUAGGAGCAGUCUUAGUGUCACUGGAAGGAAACCAUUACCCGCUCACUGCCAGAUUGAAUUUCUUCUGUACUAAUAACAUAGCAGAAUAUGAAGCUUGCAUCAUGGGACUUCGUGCAGCUAUUGAAUGGAAAAUAGAAAUCUUAGAGGUGUAUGGGGACUUAGCGUUAGUGAUUUAUCAAAUUCGCGGAUAUUGGAAAGUGAGAGAUUCAAAAUUAGUUAAGUAUCGUGAUUUCGUGGCGAAAUUGGUAGAAUUCAAAGACGUGACUUUUCAAUACUUCCCACGAGAGGAAAACCAAUUGGCUGACGCCUUGGCCACCUUGGCUUCAAUGUUCAAAGAAAAUAGAGAAACAGAAAUAAUGCCUCUCCAAAUGAGCAUAUAUGAGGCCCCCGUACAUUGUUUUAGCAUUGAAAAGGAAUCAGAUGGACGACCAUGGUUUCAUGACAUAUUGGAGUACAUUAAGAAUCAAAGGUAUCCCGAGCAAGCAAACGAGAAUGACAAAAGAAUAAUCAGAAGAAUGGCGGCUGGUUUUGUUCUUGAUGGGGAUAUCCUAUACAAAAGAGGAAAUGAUCAAAUGCUCCUGAGAUGCGUGGACAAUGUUGAAGCUAGAAGAAUACUUGAAGAUGUCCACGAAGGAAUUUGUGGAACGCAUGCCAAUGGGUUUACUAUGGCUAGGCAGAUUAUGAGACUUGGUUAUUUUUGGCUGACGGUGGAAAGGGAUUGCAUUAGCUACCACGAAAAUGCCACAAGUGUCAAAUAUAAGGCGAUAAAAUUCAUGCAGCUCCCUCGCCUCUUCAUGUCAUGACUUCGCCAUGGCCUUUUUCUAUGUGGGGCAUGGAUGCCAUAGGGCUAAUCUCCCCGAAGGCCUCCAAUGGGCAUCGAUUCAUUUUUGUGGUUAUAGAUUACUUUACAAAAUGGGUAGAAGCUGAUUCAUUUGCUAAUGUGACGAAGACUGCAGUCUGCAGGUUCCUAAAAAAGGAGAUCAUAUGUCGAUAUAGUUUGCCUGAGAGGAUCAUUUUAGAUAAUGCUUUGAAUUUGAACAACAAAAUGAUGAAAGAAGUGUGUGAGCAAUUUCAGAUAAAGCAUCAUAACUCCUCACCCUAUCGCCCAAAAAUAAACGGAGCUGUCGAAGCGGCCAACAAAAACAUUAAGAGGAUUAUCAGGAAGAUGACUGAGACAUAUAAAGAUUGGCACGAGAAGCUACCAUUUUCUUUGUACGCAUACCGUACCUCUAUACGGACAUCUACAGGAGCAACUCUAUUCUAUUUGGUGUACGGAAUGGAAGCUGUUUUGCCCAUCUAAGUAGAAAUCCCAUCCCUAGUGUCUUGAUGGAGAUAAAGUUAGAAGAAUCAGAGUGGGUUCGAGCUCGAUAUAACCAGCUAAACCUUAUUGAAGGGAAACGCUUGAAGGCAAUUUGUCAUUGACAAAUGUACCAGAAGAGAAUGAUCACGGCCCAUGAUAAAAAGGUGCGGCCAAGAGAAUUUCACGAAGGGGAACUCGUACUAAGAAAGAUCCUGCCGAUACAAAAAGACUUUCGAGGAAAAUGAUCACCAAAUUGGGAAGGGCCAUAUGUUGUAAAAAAGGCAUUCUCGGGAGGGGCUCUGAUUCUCACUGAGAUGGAUGGGAAAGAAUAUGAAUGUGAGGUAUUUCUUUCAUGCCUACUGUGUCAUUUUUCAUGCAUCUCGUGUUUGAUUCAUUUAAAUGAUAAAUAGUAAGAUGACAUACUCUAAACAAAAGGAAUGUUGAGCUUACCUGGAUGAGAAUUUGAUAAAUAUAAGGACCCUGAAGCAAGAACAAAGUUCAACAAGGGGGCAAGAAGGUGGUAUACGAAUAUGUGGAUAACUCACAAAACUUGAGGAUGAGUACAAAACUGGAGAGAAAAGUCAAGAAUUAAGGAAAUAAAAUCGGACCCUCACGAAAAUCAAAAGUGGGGCACGUGACAAACAGCCUAUGGUGCAUGGCAUUAUCAUGUAGACACAAAAGCAUUUAGGACAAACACGUGCAUAUCAUAAUAACAUCAUACAUGACAUAUACAGGUAUACCAGUAGAGUAAGGAAUACUGGGAGAAAGCUGCACAGAAUCAAUGAAGAAGAAGGUUUUUAGUUUCACCUGAUGUUUUUUAAAAAACCCUGUUUCUUUCAAGAAAUAUUUUUCAAUUUCUGUUUUUUUUUUCCAAAAAUCAACUCAUAUUGCAAGAUGUGAGUUGAGCCUCGGACUCACGCCAAGGUAUUUCUUUUAAAUUUCUGUUUUUCAAAAAUCAACUCAUAUUGCGAGAGGUGAGUUGAGCCUCGAGCUACACGCCGAGGUAUUUUUAUUAAUUUCUGUUUUUUCAAAAAAUCAACUCAUACUGCGAGAGGUGAGUUGAGCCUUUGGUCACAUGCCGAGAUAUUUCUUUUAAAUUUCUGUUUUUCAAAAAAAUUAACUCAUAAUACGAGAGGUGAGUUGAGCCUCGGGUCACGCUGAGGUAUUUUAAAUUUCUAUUUUUUGUAAAAUAAACUCAUAUUGCGAGAGGUGAGUUGAGCCUCGGGACACACGCUGAGAUAUUUUUUUUAUUUCUGUUUUUCAAAAAAAUCAACUCAUAAUGCGAGAAGUGAGUUGAGCCUCGGGUCACGCUGAGGUAUUUUCAAUUUCUGUUUUUUUUUAAAAUCAACUUAUAUUGCGAGAGGUGAGUUGAGCCUCGGGUCACACGCCCAGGUAUUUCUUUUAAAUUUCUGUUUUUCAAAAUCAACUCAUAUUGCGAGAGGUGAGUUGAGCCUCGGGCACACGCCGAGAUAUUUUUUUUAAAUUUACUUGUUUUUUCUAAAAAUACAACUCAUNNNNNNNNNNNNNNNNNNNNNNNNNNNNNNNNNNNNNNNNNNNNNNNNNNNNNNNNNNNNNNNNNNNNNNNNNNNNNNNNNNNNNNNNNNNNNNNNNNNNAAGAAGAAGAAGGAAAAAGAAGAAAAAAGAAGAAAAAAAGAGAAAAAAUAAAAUUAUUUUAAAAUAGUCGGGUCAACCCGACCCGACCCGCAACCCGCAACCCAAACCCAACAGUCCAAUCAAAAAAAAAAAAGAAAUUAAGCAAAAAAAAAAGAGAAAAAAGCAACACAAAAAAAAAACCAAAACAGCCCAAACUAAAAGAGAAGGCCCAAAGCAGAAAAAAAGGCCACAACAGGCCAGCCCAAAGAAGCAGCCCAGUAGCGCAGGCCUACCUGCAGACCCAGUCCAGCAGCGCGGCCCAGUGCAGCAGCAAGCCCAGCAGACCCUCAGGCCCAGCGCAAACAGUCCAGCCCAGUCCAAAAAAAAAGAAAAAGAGAAAAAAGAAAAAAAAAGAAAAGAGAAGAAAAGAAAAAAAAGAAAAAAGGAAAAAGAAGGGAAAAAAAGGAAAAAAGAAAAAAAAGGGGCCCAAGUUGUGUAACGCAUUCGACCAAACUCGUAUUUUUGGACAUUUUUUUGUAAUUUCGUUUAUUUCACUUUUAAUUUAAUGCAUGUAUUUUUAUGCCAUUUCGUUUUAAUAUUAUUGGUAUUUUUAUGCAUUUUUAUAUUUUUGUAUUUAUGUUUUUAAUUUAUUUAAUGUAAUUUUAUUUUAAAUAAUUUUAAUAAAUAAGGCAACGAAUCGAUUUAACAUUAAAUCGUGGAUUUCAUCGCUAUGUUAGGUGAAUAUUACCGGUUUGCGUUAAUACGAUACGCCCUUUUAAAAUUUUCGAAAAAAAAAUUUUCUCGUGUCUUAAAAAAAAUAUUCGCGUUUUCAAAAAAUAAGGCAACGAAUCGGUUUGACACUAAUUCGUUGAUUUCAUUGCUAUGUUGAGUGAAUAUCACCGGUUCGUGUUAAAUAUGAUACGUGCUUAAUAAAAAAUCGGAAAAUUUGUGUAAAAAAAUCCUCGUGUUUUAAAAAAUUCCGGUGUUUCAAAAAUUCGUGUUUUCAAAAUUCCAGUGAUUCAAAAAAAUUUCAUGUUUUCUAAAAAUUUCUCUGUUUCAAAAAAAUUUUCGUGUUUACAAAAAUUUUCAUAUUUUCAAAAAUUUUCGUGUUUUCAACAAUUCUCGUGUUUCACAAAUUUUCGUGUUUUAAAAAAAUUUUGUGUUUUAAAAAAAAAUUAUUGUGUUUCAAAAAUUGUCGUGUUUCAAAAAUCUUAGUGUUUUCAAAAAUUUUCGGUUUUUCAAAAAUUCUCGUGAUUCAAAAACUUCCGUGUUUUUUUUUAAAAAAUCGUGUUUCAAAAUUCUCGUGUUUUUUUUUAAAUUCUCAUAUUUCAAUCGGAUCACGAGUAAAUAUUAAAUUGAAUUCAUAUUUUUUGAAAAUUAAGACAACAUGCGUUUAACGAGAUACCAAUUUUGGGCGUCGCAAGGGUGCUAAUACCUUCCUCGCGCGUAACCGACCCCCGAACUCUAAUCUUCUCUGGAUUUUCACGUAGACCUAAAAUUACCUCUUUUUUAGAAAAAUUUAAAAAUAAAAUUUUCUUCUAAAAAGAGAAUUUAUUAGGUGCCCGAUCACAGCUAGGAAAAAAAUCGGUGGCGACUCCUUUUUCAAAUAAAAUCGAGAUUCGGUUUUCAAGUUUUUAAUAAUUACUUCGACUAGUGCCCAUCGCCAAAUUUUUAGGUCGCUACAGAUGUUUUAAUUAGUUGUGUACUAAUUGCGCAACAAUAUAAAAAUUUAUUUAAACAACCAUAAAAUGUGGUUGCCAAAUACUUUACGCAACAACAACAAUAAUAAUAUGGUUGUUAAUGCUUUUACAUAACAAUUUUUACUUAGUUAUGAAAUAUUAAUUUACAAUGACAUAAUAUUUGGCCACGUCAUAUAUUACAUGAUAUUUAAAUAUUAUGCAAAGUUAAUUUUAACAACCAUAAUAUUUGGUUGCAAAAUUUUUAUAUGUAACCAUAUUAUUAUGUUCGUUGAAUUUUAUUUUGCACCAAAAUUUUAUCUAAUCGAUAAUAAAAAGAAGUAAUUACAAAUAUUAAAGAAACUAGUUAUUUGUUUAAAAACAAUAUUAUCAAAAUUUUAAGCUUGUUUGUUAGAGUCUGGCUUGAGAAGUGGGUCUAAAAUUUUUCUCAAGCCCAGCCCAGAUAAAAAUGCUAAACUCGGUCUGACCAGGUCAUAUUAAUUUUUUUUUAUAAUUUUUUUAAAAAAUAUAAUACAUAAAAAUACUAAAAAUAUUAAAAUAAAUAUUUCCCAACAAAUUGAAAAUAAAUUAAAAACAGUAUGUAUAGUUAAAUAAUACUAAGAUAAGGUGUAACUUAACAAGCAAAUGCCUCUAAAAUAGCAACAAAAUUAACAAAACAACAGUUAUACAAUAUCCAAAAUAGUAACAACAUAAUAGUGAAAUGGUAGCAAAAUAGUGAAAAACAAUAAGAAAAUAGCAUCAAAAUAGUAAAAAAAGAAAGAAAACAACAAUUUUUUUUUUUGCAUAUUUAGGUCGGGCCGGGCUUAAGCAAAAAAAGCCUUAGCUGAAGCUCGGCCUGUUUUCUAAAUGGGCAUUAUUUUUUUGUUCAAACAUAUUUUUCGAGUCUAAUUUUUACCCAAACCCUUCCAUUUUUCGGGCGGGCCAUCCGGCCCGACUCAUAGACAAGACUAAUUUAAUUGCAAUUAAAAUAAAAUAAAAAUCUAACAAAAUUAAAUAGAUAUAUAUAAUAAUCUAAUAAAAAUAAUUUUGAAACUAAAAUUGAAAUAACCCAUAAAAUUUAAAGUCUAAAAAUUAAAAAUUUAUAUGUACUGUAUGGUAAUAAAAAAAUAAUUAAAGUUUAGAUAUAUUCUCCCUUUUCACUUUUAACACUUUUUUCAGGUGAAUUGUAGUGGAGAAGGUAAAACACAUUUCAAUAAAAAAAAUCACAUUACUUUUCCAUUAAUUUUUAAUCCAUUCGGGUGAUUAAUUAAAAUAUUUUUACAAAAUUCAUUUUAAUUCAAAAAUUUUAAUAAAAUAUUCAAAUUUUAAAUUAAAUAAUUUGAGUUAUUCGUGUUAAUCGAGUUAUUCGGAUUAACUCGAAUAAAAAAAUUAAAAUUUUCAGUUUAACUCGAAUAUGAAUUAUACAAUUCAAGUUAUCUGAAAAUCCGAAUAAGAAAAUAUAAAACUACGUUUUUUGAUAAAUAUUUAAAAUAUCUAAAUUUGAAGCCAAAACCAUUAAGUUAAAAAACAAAACAGUUUUAUUGUUUAUGUAGUUAUAUAAUCUUGUAUUUCAUCUAUUAGUUAAAUAAUCGUUUAUGUAAAUACAACAUUGAGUAUAAAUAAUAAGAUUUGUUAACUCGAAUCGACUUGACAUGAAAUUUUUGACUCGAUUCGAUUCGAAAAAUUUUAAAAUUGAGUUUGGUUGCUAAAAUAGGAUUUGUCAACUCAGGUAACUCGAAAUUUUUUUACUCGAUCGAAUAUUCACCCCUAUUUCUAAACUAUAACAGUUAAUGUAAACUCGUUAAGUCAUAAAAAAAUUCAAGUAAAUGUUUUAAACUUGAGUUUUAUGAAUACAAAAAAUAAUUUUAAAAGCUAUUUUAAAUUAUAAAAUUUAUUUGAUAUAAAUUAAAAUUGUAUACAAAAUAUAAUUAGAUUAUUUGAUAAAAUAUAAUUUUUUAAAAAUUUAAGGUGGGGAAUUUGAAGGAUUUAAAAGAGAUAAAAUAAGAAUAAUUGAAACAAAUUCUACAUUAAGAUAUAAAUAGUUAUUUAUCUAAUUUUCAUUUUCCACAUCUUUUCGUAGAAAAAUCCAAUCAUUAAUUUGUUUUUUUAUUAUGAAUCAUCAUAAUUCAAAAGAAGGUAUUUUUUUAUUUUUUUUUUGCUUUUUUUAUACGUUAUAUAUAUAGUUUUUAAAUAUAAAAGAAAAAUAAAAAUAAAGAAUACAAACAGUUUCGAAAGAAAGAAAAAAUAAAGAGAAAAAUAAAAAUAAAAAGGAAAAUAGAACUUGUACCAAAAAAGUUUUUUUGAAUCUCUUUUCUUUGCCUUUUUUAUUUCUUGAAAUAGUGAAAAAAAAAGAGGAGGUGGCCGAACCCCCUUACAAUGGUUUUGAAUGGCCUUUUAUAGCCAUUUUUACAGCAAGUGGGCUGCGGCAGUGGCAGUGGCGUGCGUCACUUGCACUGAUGGAGGCGGCUUUGAAAAUUUUGUUCUUUUGUGUUGUGGUUUGGGAUUUUGGGCUAGGGUUAGGUUAGUGGGCCAUUCGGGUUUUGGGCUUGGUUUGCAUUUGGGUUAGGCUGUUGGGCCUGGUUUGAUUUUGUGAGGCCCGGGCUAAAUUUGGGUUGUACAGCUACCCCUCUUUGCUUCGUUGUCGUGUAACGGGAAUGAAGCAAAGACUAAGAAAGACCAAAUUUGCCCGGUCUCGCCGAGUCUUGACUUCUCUUGACGCUUCUCUUCAAGUAGCUUUGUUUCAAUCCACUGCGGCUUGUUACUUUAAUCUACUCCACUGCACUUGAGAGAGAUGCGUCUUGUAGCUUCAAUCCAUUCUGCUGCAACUUCAGGGGGACGAGAUUUGUGGUUUUAGUCUGCUCCACAUCUUUGAUCUGCUCCACUACUAUUAGCAUAGUUUAUUUGACUUACUAAUUUAGCCUAUAAAUAGGCUCUUUUACAACCUUAGAAAGAUACAUCCAUUAGAUAAGAACUCAUAACACAUUUGAGAAUUUUGUGUUUACGUUUUUUGGCUUCUUUGUUUUUUGGGUUUUCGGAGUUUAGUUUUUAUCUCCAUCUUUUGUACUCUUCGUUCUUUUACCAUUAUAGUAAAAUUAUCUUUGCCCGUGAUUUUUUAUCCUCUUUGGAGGGGUUUUUCCACGUUAAAUUUUGUGUUCAUCUUCUCAAUUUCUUCUGUUAUUUUUACUUGUUCGUUGCUUAAUCGGGACGAUCCUAACAAGUGGUAUCAAAGCUAGUUUAAUUUUCAUAGAUCAGCCCGUUCAAAGAUGGCAGCAACAAGCUUUGAAAUUGAGAAGUUCGAUGGUGAGACAAAUUUCAAUCUUUGGCAAGUUCGGAUGAUGACAAUUCUAGUUCAAAACAGCUUGAAAAAGGUUGUUACAGGGAAAAAACCUGAGAAUCUAAAUCAAACAGAAUUGGAAGAGCUUGAUGAAAAAGUCUUGUCUGCAAUCCAAUUGUGCCUCGUGAAUACAGUAUUGCAGGAGGAAUUGAUGGAGAAGACCUCAUUUGCCUUGUGGAAAAGGUUAGAAACUCUUUAUGCGACUAAGUCUCUGGCUAACCAUUUAGUGUUGAAACAUCGUCUAUUUACGUUUCGUAUGAAUGAAUGUGAGCUUCUUAGAGAUCACAUCAAUCAAUUCAUUACUCUUUUAAAUGAUUUAAAGAACGUUGAUGUUCAUAUUGACGAUGAAGAUCAAGCUAUGCUAUUAUUGUACUCUUUACCCUCUUCAUACAAGUCUUUCAGGAAGACCUUGAUUUAUGGUAGAGACAAACUCUCAUUCGAAAAUGUGAAGGGUCAUUUGUUGAGUAGAGACAAACUCGACAAUGAGUUUGGUUAGGAUAGCAAGACAGAUAAGUAAGCUUCCGUUUUGGUAGCAUCAAAGAAACGAGACAAAAGGUGUCGCUAUUGUAAAAAUUUAGGUUACGUCAAAGCAGAUUGUUAUAAAUUAUGAAAUAAAAGAGCUGCUGAGAGUAACGAGGAAGAUGUAGCUGGUGCUAAUUUGGUCGAUGAAGGCUGUGAUGAUUUCUUUUUAGUGUCAAGGAGCGAUAACUCCAAGCUUACGUCUGAGUGGAUCCUAGAUUCAGGAUGUUCUUUCCACAUGUGUCCCAAUAGAGAAUGGUUCUCCACAUAUAGUUCAGUUGAAGGUGGAGUUGUGCACAUGAGAAACGAUUCAUCUAGUAAGAUAAUCGGCAUUGGUACUGUUAAAAUUAGGAUACACGAUGGGAUGAUUAAGACACUCUCAAAUGUCAGGUAUGUACCUGAUUUACGAAAGAAUCUCAUCUCCUUGAGUAUUUUAGACUUGAAAGGAUGAAGAAUCAACAUCGAGUCGAGCGGUAUUAAAGUAUCUCGUGGAGCUCUUGUUUUGUUAAAAGGUAAAAGAACUGGCAGUCUUUAUAUUCUGAAAGGUUCUACAGUGACCGGUGAAUCGGACGUCCUUCGUCCAUUACGGAGUCAAAGUCAACUCGUUUGGAGCGGAGGCAACUUGGUCAUAGGACGGAAAAAGGUAUGACCGUUUCGUUGAAGAGAGGUUCUCUUUUGGAUGGAGGUUUUGAAAAGUUAGGGCAUUGUGUUCUUGAAAAUCAGACCUGGGUUAGUUUUGAUUUUGCAGUGCACAAGUCAAAGGCCAGAACUCUUCCAGCUUCUAAGUACAUAUCCGACUCAGUUAAUUCCCUACAUAGUUCAAGAUAGGCCCGUGGCGGGUUUUGGCAAAGAUGGCGUUAAAAGAAUUCGUGUCAAGGUGGAGAUUGUUAGAGUUGUGUGACCCAAAUUCUAAGAGAUUGCUUGCAAGUCAAGGUAAACAAAAAUAUUUUUUUUUCUAGAAGAUUUAGUAUUUAUUAGUAUAAUAUAUUUAGCAUUUAUUAGCAUAGUUUAUUUGACUUACUAAUUUAGCCUAUAAAUAGGCUCUUUUACAACAUUAGAAAGAUACACCCAUUAGAUUAAAACUCAUAACACAUUUAGAGAAUUUUGUGUUUAUGUUUUGAGGGUUCUUUGUUUUUCAGGUUUUCGGGGUUUAGUUUUUUUCUCCAUCUUUUGUACUCUUUGUUCUUUUGCCAUUAUAGUAAAAUUAUCUUUACCCGUGGUUUUUUAUCCUUCUUGGAGGGGUUUUUCCACGUUAAAUUUUGUGUUCAUCUUCUUAAUUUCUUCUGCUAUUUUUUACUUGUUCGUUGCUUAUUCAGGACGAUCCUAACAAAGGUUAAAGGGGUAUUACAGCAAACAUCACCAUAGCAGGAGCAGGCCCUACAGUCCUGUGAAUAAAAUAAUUAAAAACAAAAUAGUCCACCAAAGAGAAAUCAAUUCAAACUACCCCAAAACACUGGAACGGUUGCAGCAAAUCCAAUCAGCUCCCUGAACAUCAUACAAAAACAAGAACAUCACAACCCAAUCAUAUACAGGCCAUGAAGACAUUGGACUCAACAUUUUGCUAAAGUAUUAGCAAAGUAGUUAGAUUUUCUAUACACAUUCACAACGGAGACAUUAUGGGAUCUCAUCACACAGCUUGGUAUAUGACCCAUCCAACAUUUGAGAAAUAGUGAAGAUGUCAAGUCCAGGAGCUCCAAACAAUGCCUCAGCUGGUGGAUCCUAUAAUUAGGUGUCUUUCUUCUGUUACUACUGCAGUAGUGAAGUUUUUAUUCCACUUGGUUCCCUUCUUCCAGAGUUUCUGCUUGAAACACUCACUCUUGAAGUUGGCCAUUUCAUUGCUUGUUUAGCUUUCAUGGAAGGCUCGAAGCUCAUUAGACCAGAAACAUUGUUCCUUUGCCUAUGUAUCUUUUUGACAUAUUCUCUUAAGGAAGAGCUACUUAUAUGAAGGCUCCAUCUUUCUGAGUUGCAGGGCAAAAUUCCAUUCUCCAUGAAAAACUACCCAUUUCCACUAAAGCACACUAGCUUUCGCCAUCCCAUCCGCGAAAAACCUGAAAUGAUACACCAGAAACUCCCCCAAGAUAGACAGAGCCAAGUCACUAUCUCGCUAAUCCCCAUUAAACCCUCCAAUUAAGCAAAGCCAUUUCAUAUUUCAACCUAAUGGCCACCACAAUUGCCAUACAAAAUUUACAAAUUAAAAUGCAAAAAUUAAUACAGAAAAAUACGCAGCCGAAGCUCCAAAAUGUCAAAAUAUGAGCCAAAUUUAGAUUCCAAUUUAAAAACUUGAAUCUAAUUGGUUUUUAAUUUUGUAAUAUAGUAUAUUCACUACAAAAUAUGAAUUGUCAACAUUAAAAUUUAUUGCUAAAUGUUGUAUUACCGUUACUAAGAUUUUAUUGUAACAGCAAAAAAAUCGUUGCGAGGUCAUUGUGUAUACCUCCAUUGUAUAAAAUAUGCACAACGAUUUUACAAAUUGAAAAGUCAUUUUAAUUAUAUAUAUCGCAAUGACUUUUUUUGUUUUAAAAAAUAUUUUUUGUAACCACUUAAUUUAUUUGUCUAAAAAUGUUUUAGUUAUAAUAAAAUUUGUUAUAAUAUCUUUUUACACAACCAUAAUACUUUAGUUACAAAAACUAUUAUGUAACAAUAAUAUAUUGGUUGUAAUAUAAAAUUUGCAACAACUGUAAACUAAAAUGCUAAGUUUUGCACGUAACAAUAACAAUAUUGAUAUGUCAUUGUAUUACACUACUCAAUGAUUAUAUGUCAUUGCCAAAAAAAUAUUUUAAUAACCAUAAAAUGUGGUUGCCAAAUCAUUUACUUAAGAACAAUACUACUGAUUACUAAAUAUUGUUCUACAACUAUUUUAAUUUGUUGUGUACUACAUUGCGCAACAACGAUAUUAUUUUUAAUCAAAGGGCUAUAUAUAACUUAAUAAAAUUUAAAAAAUAUUCUUAAUAAAAUUAAAAAAAAAGUUUCUUCAUCCUCUAACUUAAUAAAAUUAAAAAAAUUCUUCAUGUUAGAUUGAACUGACAUUGAGGUUAUAUAUUGUCAUCGAUCAAGCCAAAGAGAAUAGCUCUACCAAAAUAAAAAAAUUAUUUUUUAUUAAUUUUUAAAAAAAAUUUAAUUGCAGCAUAGUGGUCACGUCAUUUUCUCUAUGACUCUAUCAAAUAAAAUAAUAAUUUUAAUUUCAAAUUAAAAAUAAAAAUUACUUUUAAAAAAUUGACAUAAUAAAAGUGGUGUGACCAAUUUAUUUGGCUCCCGAAAUAUUAUUAUUUAUUUUCUAGUUCCCAAAAUAUUUAAAAAUAUUGGUGUUAGAGUGGUAUUUAUACGGGUGAAGCCAAAUAAAUUAACUUUACCUACAAAAAUUAAUUUUUGUUAUAAAAUAAAGAGAGAUAGAGAGAAUGAAGAACAAAGAAAAUAUGAAAGCAAUAGAGAAUAUACUUUAUUGAUCAAAUGGAUGAUUAUAAUGCUUCAUCGGAGUCUCUAUUUAUAGGCAUAAGAAGUAUAAAAAGAAGUAGAGAUCUAAUUCUAAUAACUAUUAGAAUUUAAGGUAUAUCAAAGCUUUAUCUUGAUCAUGAUGGACAUCCACUAAAUAAGAUAUUUAUAACGCUCCCCCUUGGAUGUCCAUUGGUAGAUAAUGUGCCUCGUUAAAACCUUAUUAGGAAAAAUCCUGUGGGAUAAAAACCUAAUGAAGGAAAAAGAGUACACAAUAUUCUAUUACAAGUUGUCUCAUUAAAAACCUUUACCAGGAAAACCCAAUGGGACAAUAUCUUGGUUAAAGGAAAAGAGUACAACUUAUUUUAGACUCCCCCUAAUGGCAACAUUACAUUACAUCUUUGAGUUGACGCAUUUCAAUCUUGUGUAGUAGUCUUUCAAAUGUGAUAGCCCGAAAUAGGGCCUAAUCGGAAUAGUAGUUUCGUAACCACAAAUCCAAAGUGAAAUAGUUUAAUUUUAUAAAUUUUUAUUAGUUACUGAUUGAUUGAAUUGUGUGAAAAUAUGAAUAAAAAUUUUUAAUGAUUUAGUGCCUAAUUGAAUUUUUAGGACUAAAUUGAGAAAAAUGCAAAGUGUGUCUAAUUAGUGAUUAAAUGACUUAAUUGAAUUAUUGCAUGAAAUUGGAAGUGUUUAUGUGGCAAUUAGACCAUAAAUUAGUGAUAUGGACACAAAAGGGUAAUUCUAGAAAAAUAUCUACGUAAUGGGUCAAGGGCAUUUUUGUCCAAAUUUAGAAAAAGACUAAAUAAAGUGAAAAUAAGUGUCUAUCUUCUUCAAAAUUGAAGAGCUUGCUGCCGAAACUUUCAUGCUUCAAUAGUUAGGGUUUUUGAUUUUUCUAAGCUCAAUUGUAAGUGAUUUCUUGCCCCGUUUUUAAUUAUUUUCGUAUUUUUAUGCUCAUUGAAGCUUGAAUUUCAUGUUUCUACUAUUUAAUUUAAAUGAAAUUAAAGUUUAAAAAUUGACCCAUUCAUGAUAUAAUUGUAAAUUGAUUAGUGAUGUUAGAUAAUGAAUGUUUGAAGUGUUAAUUACAAGUUUUACUAGAUGAAUUUUGAUGAAAAUGUUGAAAAAGGGCUAAAUUGUAAAAGAUGGUAAAGUGUGCAUAAAGUUGUGAUUUUGUGAAAUUGAGGGCUGUUAUGACUAUAAAAUAUGAUUUAGUGAAGUUUGAAAUUUAAGAAUUUAGUGAAUUUUAUUUUUACGAGCUUAGGGACAAAAGUGGAAUUUUUGAAAAGUUUUGGGGAAAAAUGUAAAUUUGCCAAAAUGUUGUGUAUGAAUUGUAUUUGAAUGAAAUGUUGAUAAAAUGUAUUAAAUUGUGUUAAUAUAGAUCAAGAAAGAAGAAAUAGUGGAAGUGAUCGGGGAAAAGAGAAAGUUAUCGACUAAAUUACAAAAAUANNNNNNNNNNNNNNNNNNNNNNNNNNNNNNNNNNNNNNNNNNNNNNNNNNNNNNNNNNNNNNNNNNNNNNNNNNNNNNNNNNNNNNNNNNNNNNNNNNNNGAGGUAAGUUACGUGUAAAUAAUAGUUAUAUUUUUCUAAAUUGUGAAUUAUAUUUGAUAUGUGAAUUAAUAUUGAAUGUGGAAGGAAAAUUGUUCAUGAAUUAUUCAAGUGUUAAAGUGUUGAAAAUAAAGUGUUAAGUGUAAAUUCCCGGUUGAACUUAGGAAUAGAAGUGGAUACAAGUGACAUGUCACUAGAGAUUAGUGUUACAGUGUUACAAUGAGUCCCGGGUGCUGGGUGAUCUAGCAUGUGUUGCAGACACCUGACAGCUUGUGUGAGCAGGCCCGUGGACAUUUCCAGUGUUAUUGAUCAGUGGUAGCUUCAGCUACGUUUCAGUGGUAGCUUCGGCUACAUUUCAGUGGUAGCUUCGGCUACAUAACAGUGGUAGCUUCGGCUACAUAUCAGUGUUGCACUUAUGUGCUAAAUCUCUACGUAUCUGUGUCUAUUCCGAGUGUUCAACGGGAUUAAUGAUGGGUUAAAGUGAAUAUGAAAUGAAGUGUGUAUGCAGGUACAAUUGAAAGAAUUGAGCAUAUGUGAUAAAUGUUAAGUGUGAAAAUGUAUAUGCAAGUGAAUUGGUAAGAUUGUGCAUGUGUAAGUGAUUGAAAUUGCUAAGAAAUGUUUUGAUUAGUUAUAUGUUAAAAGUGUUAAUUAUUAAAUGAGUAAUUAUUGUUUACAUGUAACUUACUAAGCUAUUUAUAGCUUACACCUUUCUUUCUUUCCUUUGUUUUAUAGUGAUUUGAACUUGAUCGAAUUGGGGAUCGUCGGAGCUCGUAUCACACUAUCAUAAUCAUCUCGGUAUUAUGUGCUUUUCAAAAUGUUUAAACUAUGACAUGUAUAGAGUCUUAAUCAUUUUGAGUGUGUUCAUAUGAUAUGGCUAAGAUUAGCUAUUGAAAUGGUUAGUAAAGAUUAUGUUUUGGUGUUAUGUAUGUGUAAAUGGUAGCUAAUACAAAGAAGCAGUUUCUUUGACAGCAGUAGUGAUGUGAAUGUGAAAAAUCACCAUAAAUAGUAGAAACGUAAUUAGAGAGUGAAUUAUAUAUGGAAUUAAAGCUUAUCAAGUCUAUUUUUAUAUGAAAGAAAUGGUGUAGGCAAAGGAAUUCUGUAUUUUGAGAUAUUUGAAUUUUAGUGAGACAGGGUCAGAAUGUUUUUUGAAGUCCCCUGUUCUGAAUUUGGAAAAUCAUUAUAAAUUGUACAGAAAGAAUUAUGGGUCAUAAUUUAAAUGUAUAGAUUUAUUAGUGAGUAUAUUUUCAAAAGAAACAAACUAUAACCUUAUAUGAAUUAUGUGCAAUGAGAUAAUUUAUUUUUAGUGCCAAGAGGUCAGACCUGUCGAGCUGUGAAAUAGGGGAUACUUUAAUGAAUAAACUGUACUAAUUGGCUUAGUAAAAAAUUCUGAAAAUUUUAUGGUAAGUAGGAAUAUCAGUCUAGUUUCAGGGAAAAUUUACGGAUUUAAAUUUUGAGUUUCGUAACUUGAGUUAUAAGUAAAUUAGUGACAGUUGCGCAGGUGGAUAGUUUUGUUAUGAACAGUAAAUUUAAUUUUAAAAGCAAAUUUUUAUGCUCCGAAUUGGUAAGUUAGAUUGGAUAAAUUCUCGUACUCGAUUCCGGUGACGGUCUCGGGUAAGGGGUGUUACAUCAAAUGUUCAAGUUGGCAAUGCCUUAGUAAAAAUAUAUGCUAAAUUAUCACUAGAAUGAAUUUGUUGAACAUUUAUAUCACCUCUUUUCUGAAGAUCAUGGGUGAAGAAUAAUUUUGGUGAAAUAUGUUUCGUUCUAUCACCUUUGAUGUAACCACUCUUCAAUUAAGCUAUACAUGUUGCAUUAUCUUCAUAUAAGAUAGUUGGCAUCUUUUCCUAUAAAGGUAAAUUACAUAUCUUUUGGAUAUGUUGGGUCAAUAACCUUAGUCAAACACACUCUCGAUUGGCCCCAUUCAUUGCAAUUAUUUCUACAUGAUUUGAAGAAGCAACAACUAAUGUUUGCUUUGUCGAACGUCAUGAUAUGGUAGUACCCCCCUCACAUGUAAAUAAAUAUCCUGUUUGAGAUCGACCUUUAUGUGGAUCUGGUAAGUAUCCAGCAUUAGCAUAGCCAACUAAUAGGUAUUUUGAAUCAUCUGAAUAAAAUAACCUCAUAUCAAUGGUCCCUCUGAAAUAUAUAAAUACAUGUUUAAUUCCAUUCCAAUGCCUACAUGUUGGAGAAGAACUAAAUCUUACUAACAAGUUUACAGUGAAAGUUAUAUCAGGUCUUAUGCUGUUUGUAAGAUACAUCAAUGUCUCCAUGGCACUUAGAUAUGGUACUUCAAGACCAAGAAACUCUUCAUCAUUCUCACAAGGAUGAAAUUGAUCUUUAUUCACAUCUAACAAUCGUACAACCAUCGGAGUAGUUAAUGGGUGUGUUUUAUCUAUGUAAAAUUUCUUUAAUAUCUUUUUCAUAUAAGUUGAUUAAUGAACAUGAAUUUUAUCUUUUAAAUGCUUGAUUUUUAAUCCAAGAUAAAACUUUGUUUUUCCAAGAUUUUUCUCAAAUUCUUUCUUUAAAUAAUUUAUUGUAUUUUGAAGCUCUUCAGGAGUUUCCAAUAAUAUUUAGGUAAUCAACAUAAACAACAAUUAUUACAAAAUCUUAUCCAAACCUUUUUAUAAAGACACAUGGAAAAAUUGGAUCAUUUUUGUAACCUUACUUUAACAAGUGUUCACUAAUACGAACGAUUGUACCACAUACGUCCAGAUUGUUUUUAUCCAUAUAAACUUUUCUUUAAUUUGAUUGAGUAAUUUUCUCAAGAAACUCUAUAUCUUUUUGGGAUUUUAAAUCCUUCGAGGAUUUUCAUAUAAAUUUCACUAUCAAGUGUACCAUAUAAAUAAGAUGUAACAACAUCCAUUAAAUGCAUGUCAAGUUUUUCUCGUACUGCCAAACUAAUAAGAUGUCUCUUCAUAAUCAAUGUCGGGCCUUUGCGAAAAUCCUUGUGCUACAAGGCGAGCUUUAUAUCUUAUGACUUCAUCAAUUUCAUUUCGUUUUCACACAAAUAUUAAUUUAUAUCCUACCGACUUUACUCCUUUAGGUGUUUUGGACUAUAGGUCCAAAAACUUCACGUUUAGAAAGUGAAUUCAAUUCUGCUUGAAUUGCACCUUGCCAUUUUGACCAAUCUUUUCUAUUUUUACAUUCCUUAGUAGAUUUAGGCUCAGGAUCCUUAUUUUCUUUUGUUAUUUCAAUAGCAACAUUAUAAGCAAAAUUGUUGUCGACAACUUAAUUUUUUUUCCGGUUCCAUCUUUUUCUCGUAUUGACAUAAUAUUUGGGCAUGCACCACAUAUGUGACCAUUAAUCUUCAUAUCACAUUGAUAACAUAAGUUAUAUUUACCCUUUGAAAAGUUAUCUUGAGAGCUCUCAUUGUUCUCUUAUUUAUUACUAUAUUCCCACUUUUAGUGGUCCAUGAGUAUAUCUUUUAUUUUCUUUAUGUUUACAUUCAUUUCAGGGAAUGCAACAAAUCUAGUAGGAUAGACUUAUAAACAUCCCAAUAGAUUCUUUAUUUCAUAAUCACCAUCGCAAACAUGCGUGAGAUUUAAAUCAAAAUUUAUCUAUUCAUAUUGUCAUGAUUAGUCUCCAAUUAUAAUAAACAUGAUAUAACACAUAAAACAUGAUAAAAUAUACCUGAAGAUCUUUAACAUCAUCGUCAUCAUAUUGACUAUUAUCACGAGCACUAUUACAAGUAAUAAAAUAACUUUGUUUUCGUAAUAACAUUUACAAUCUAAUAAUAAAAAUCAUUUAAUAAAUAAUCAAAAUUGUUGUGUAUCAAAAUUUUCAUGUACGAUGCUUGAAAUUUAUCUGAUACACAUUGUAUCAAAUUUCAAUACCACAUAUAUGUUAUAAAAUCUUAUCUUGCUCUAAUAAAAUAUUUAUAAGUUUAAUUUAAAAGAUAUCAUACAAUUAUUCAAUAUUAGAAAGUUAAUAAGACUAAAUAGAUCCUAUCAAAUUUCCUUUUAAUCCACAAUGGUAGGUUAAUAAGACUUUCCACCAUACUUUUAAUAAAAUUUCAAGAAUAAGUAACAAGAAAAAAAAUUUAAAACACAAAAAUAUUAUGCAUAAUAUAAUUUAAUUAAAAAAACUUUAAAAAAUAGAAAAAAAGAACAUACCAUAUUAAUAGCAAACAUAUCUAAUCAAUAAUUAUGUCUUUUAAGUAAAAAAAAUUUACCCUAAAAAAGCAAAAAUCAAAUACUAUCAGAAUGUGAAAUUUAUGUCAAAUAAAAAUUAGUAGUAGUUAUACCUUAAUUGAAAAAGAAAAUAUGGCCGAAAUAUAAAAGUUUCUUACCAAAUCUAUACUUUACCCAUACUUUUACAAUAAAUCAAAGAUCGAGAAUAAGAAUCACAAUCCAUUCUGAGAUUGAAUUUUUCAACAUCCUAAAAAUGAAGUUGUAAGGGAGAAAGUUUAAGGUGAAAAGGAAUUUGAUUUGUGGGACGACUUCUAAAGAUUUUGAAAAAAAUAAAGACUCAUCGUGCUGAUAACGUGUUAUAAAAUAAAGAGAGAUGGAUAGAAUAAAGAAUAAAGAAAACAUGAAAGCAAUAAAAAAUAUAUUUUAUUGAUCAAAGAGAUUAUUACAAUGUUUUAUCAGAGUCUAUUUAUAAGCAUAUAUAAGAAGUAUAAAAAAAAUAGAGAUCUAACUAUUAAGACCCAGAUUACCAUAACAGAUGCAAUAUCUGAUCGGUGAAGUUAAAGAAAAUGGAGACCAUGGGAAAUCUUCUAAUCCUUUUUCCAGCUUCUUUAUGCCUCUUCCUUUUCGUUGCUUUGCUCAAUGUUUUCUACAAGUAUUGGUGGAUACCUCAUCGUGUACAGUUCAUCAUGAAUUCACAAGGAAUCAGAGGACCUCCUUAUGAAUUUAUCCAUGGAAACAAUAAAGAAGCUGCCCAAAUGCUCAUGGAAGCAUCUACCAAACCUAUGGCCUUGACACACGAUAUAUUUCCCAGAGUCAUGCCUCAUGUUUACUCCUGGAUCAACAAAUACGGUAAGAAUUUUUUUUUUUCUUUUUGGGGUUGCAUUUUCUGAUUAACCUCCACUUUUCAAGAAGAGAAAUCAUUUUCUUUCAGGGAAGACUUAUCUUAGCUGGAAUGGAAUUCGAGCUCUACUGCUAAUUACAGACACAGAUCUGGUCAACGAGGUCCUUAAAAACAGUGAAAAGGCUUUUCCAAAGCCAAAGGCUUCAUAUUUCUUCGACAAGCUACUAGGCGACGGCCUUGGUUCAACCGAAAGUGAGAAAUGGGCAAGGCUAAGGAAACUGGCCCAUUAUACCUUUCAUGGGGAGAGCUUAAAAGUAAAUCAUCGCCACCUUCUACUCUAAUUAUUGUAGUGGAACAUUUACAAACAUGAUACUUUUUUGCAGAAUAUGAUUCCAGCAGUAGUUGCUAGCGUUGAAACCAUGCUUGAGAAAUGGAAAAGUAAGGAGGGCAAAGAGAUAGAAGUGUUCCAAGAGUUCAGAUUAUUGACUUCAGAAGUGAUAUCCAGAACCGCCUUUGGUAGCAGUUACUUGGAAGGGGAGAAGAUUUUUGACAUGUUGAUGAAAUUGUCAGUAAUUGCAGGCAGAAAUAUUUUAAAAGCAAAGAUUCCCAUCAUCAGGUAACUUCAUCAAAUCUUUACUUUGUUAAUCAACAUACUUCAGCUGCCAAUGGGUUGAUUUAGGGUGGGUUUGGAUGGGCGAUUGGGUACGGUGCGUUUAGUCUACUUUUUGUCUCACGCUAUAGUAUUGCUACAGUAUCUAAUCUCACCGCCACCGCCCAUCCAAAUUCACCCUGGUUUUCCUUUUCAGCAAGUUUUGGAAAUCUGCUGAUGAAAUUGAAUCAGAUAAAAUUGCCAAAAUGAUACAUGAUUCUGUGAUGAAGAUUGUUAAAAAAAGGGAAGCCAAAGUAGGGACCGGAGAAGCUGAUAACUUCGGUCGUGAUUUUCUGGGAUUACUGCUUAUUAUGAGGCGGACGAGAAAAAUAGGCUUCCGAUACAAGAUUUGGUAGAUGAGUGUAAAACUUUCUAUUUUUCUGGGCAAGAAACAGUCAAUUCCUUGCUUGCAUGGGCAACCCUGCUUUUAGCAGUACACACCAAUUGGCAAGAUAAAGCAAGAGCAGAGGUGAUUGAGGUCUCUGGUAAUCAAAACCCAGAUUCUGAAGGGAUGGCCAAAUUAAAGACGGUAAGCAAACUAUACAAAUUCAAUAGCUUGAAAACUAACAGUGAACAUUUAUAUUGCCCUUUGGAUUUCUUUUUCUCCAACAGAUUACCAUGAUUAUCAAUGAAACUUUACGGCUUUAUCCUCCUAUAAGUGGCGUGAUAAGAAAAGUAGGAAGAGAAGUCCGAUUAGGAACACUUGUCCUGCCUACUCAUUCACAGGUCGACAUGCGAAUCAUAGCACUUCACCAUGAUCCUGACUUAUGGGGAGAUGAUGUUGAUCUUUCCAAACCAGAGAGGUUUGCUGAAGGGAUAGCCGAAGCUACUAAGUAAAAUGCAGCUGCAUUUAUGCCCUUUGGAUUGGGACCUCGAUCUUGCGUAGGCAUGAGCUUUACAAUCAUUCAAGCGAAAAUUGCACUUUCCAUGAUUCUGCAACGCUACACUAUCAACCUCUCCCCUAGCUAUGUUCAUGCACCUUUACAACGUCUUACACUCAGGCCACAACAUGGGAUUCAGUUGUUGUUUCAUUCACUACGUUAUGAUGCUUAAAAUUCUAGUCUGUUGGUCUCCAAUAUAGUAAUAUAUAAUAAAAUGUGGAUAAUACUGUAUUUUGCAACCAUAUGAUAAUAUAUGGUUUUGGGAUUUCACGUUUUGGUGACAAGAUUAUAUGCUCUUUUUUUUUUGUUGAUAUUGUUAAAGGUUAAAAAGGUAUUACAGCAAACGCCGCCACCACAGGAGCAGGCCCUACAGUCCUGUACAUAACAUAAUCAACAACAAAAUAGUCCACCAAAGAGAAAUCAAUUCAAACUACCCCAAAAAGCUGGAACGGCAGCAGCAAAUCCAGUCAGCUCCCUGAGCAUCAUACAGCAACACAGCAACAAGAACAUCACAACCCAGUCAUAUACACGCCAUGAAGACAUUGGACUCCACAUUUUGCUAAAGUAUCAGCAAAGCAGUUAGAUUCUCUAUACACAUUCACAAAGGAGACAUUAUGGGAUCUCAUCACACAGCUUGGAAUAUGACCCAUCCAGCAUUUGUGAAACAGUGAAGAUGUCAAGUCCAGGAGCUCCAAACAAUGCCUCAGCCGGUGGAUCCUAUAAUUAGGUGUCUUUCUUCCAUUGCUACUGCAGUAGUGAAGUUUUUAUUCCACUUGGUUCCCUUCUUCCAGAGUUUCUGCUUGAAACACUCACUCCUCGAGCCGGCCAUUGCUUGUUUUCAUUUUUAAUUUUGUAAUAUAAUAUAUUACAAAAUAUGAAUGGUCAACAUUAAAAUGUAUUGCUAAAUGUUGUAUUACCAUUGCUAAAAUUUUAUUUUAACAAAAAAAAUCGUUGCGAGUUCAUCAUGUAUACCUCCUUUGUAUAAAAUAUGUAUAGAAAUUGAAAAGUCAUUUUUAAUUAUAUAUACUGUAACAUUUUUUUUUUGUUUUAAAAUAUAACUUUUUUCGUAACGAUAUAAUUUGUUUAUCUAAAAGUGUUUUAGCUAUAAUAAAAUUUGUUACAAUAUCACAAUGGUAAUAGUUACAAAUACUAUUACGUAACCAUAGUAUAUUGGUUGCAAAAUAAAAUUUGCAACAAUGUAAAAUUAAAUUUGCUAAGUUUUUUACGUAACAAUAAUAAUAUUGAUUACCAAAUAUUAUUUUGUAAGGAUAUUUUAUUUGGUUGUGUAUUAUAUUGUGCAAUGAUUAUAUUUCAUUGCCAAAAAAAUAUUUUAACAACCAUUAAGCGUGGUUGUCAAAUUAUUUAUUUAACAAUAAUACUAUUGGUUGCUAAAUAUUAUUCUGCAAUAAUGUUUUAAUUGGUUGUGUACUAAUUACGCAACAACUAUAAAAAUUUAUUUAAACAACCAUAAAAUGUGGUUGCCAAAUAUUUUUUGCAACAACAACAAUAAUAAUAUAUUUGUUAAUGCUUUUACAUAACAAUUUUUACUUAGUUAUGAAAUAUUAAUUUACAAUGGCAUAAUAUUUGGCCAUGUCUUAUAUUACACGAUAUUUAAAUAUUGUGCAAAGUUAAUUUUAACAACCUUAAUAUUUUGUUGCAAAAUUUUUAUAUGUAACCAUAUUAUUAUGUUCGUUGAAAUUUAUUUUGCACCAAAAUAUUAUAUAAUUGAUAAUAAAAAGAAGUAAUUACAAAUAUUAAAGAAACUAGUUAUUUGUUUAAAAACAAUAUUACCAAAAUUUUAAGCCCGUUUAUUAGAGUCCGGUUUGAAAAAUGUGCCUAAAAUUUAUCCCAAGCCCAACCCAAAUAAAAAUGCUAAACUCGGUCCGACCCGCUCAUAUUAUUUUUUAUAUAAUUUUUUUAAAAAUAUAAUACAUAAAAAUACUAAAAAUAUUAAAAUAAAUACUUCCCAAUAAAUUGAAAAUAAAUUAAAAAACAAUAUGUAUACUUAAAUAAUACUAAGAUAGGGUGCAACUUAACAAGCAAAUGCCUCUAAAAUAGUAACAAAAUUAACAAUAAAAUAACAGUUAUGCAAUAUCCAAACAAUAACGGCUAAUUUACCAAAAAAAGCCCAUUUUUUUUAAAAAUUACCGAAAUAAGCGGUUUUUUAAUUAUUUACCGGAAUGGGCCAUUUUUCGCGAAAUCGCGUCCACGUGGACGCGAUGUCAUGCCACGUAGCGCGGUACCGGAAACGCGAUUUUGACUCUGAUUUUACGUUUGGGUUUUCUGGCUUUUACGGUUUAGGGUGCAGGCUUUUUAGGGGUUAGGGGUCCCGGAAAAAUUGUUUUCGAGUUGAUGUAUCUGGUCAAAUAGUGGGAAAUCGCUUUUACCAGGAUGCUAUUUGAGAAGAAAUUGUGAAAUCGUGGCCUCGUGGACGCGAUUUCGCUACAGUGGUCAUGUAAGAAAUAAUUUUUUUUGACGUUUUCUAAGCAAAUAGUAUAAAAUCGCUGAUACCAGGAUGCUAUAUGAGAAGAAAUUGUGAAAUCGCGCCCUCGUGGACGCGAUUUCGCUACAGUUGGUCAUGUAGGAAAUAAAUUUUUUUUGACGUUUCUGAGUAAAUAGUGUCAAAUCGCGCCCUCGUGGACGCGAUUUUGCUACAGUAGCAAGUUUGGGCUGAAGCUAUAAAUUAGGCAGAAAAUGUUCUUAGAAUGCAUAACUCACAGAAAAAACAUUUUAGAAAGGCUAAGAAACUUAGAGUUUCAAAAUGAGUGAACGUAUUACUGCUGUUAUUUACUACGAUAGUGAGGUUUGCCACACCGAGAAUGGUGUUGUUUUUUUGUCGGAGAAUACGGUGCGACUGUCAUUUAGCCAAAACAUAGAUUUGACGGAACUCCGUAAAAGAAUUAGGCGUAAAAUCUUCGGAACAACGCCAAUGAAAGUUCUGUCAAUGACGUAUCGAUUUUGUUCUUCUUUUGAUCCGGUGACAUAUGACUCCUUCGACAUAAAAGGUGCUCGUAGCUUGGAGGCAAUGGUGCAGACUCAUCUUGCUAGCGGAGCAACUUAUAUUGAGUUAUAUGUACAAUUUACGUCGCCAACUGAUGUACUUCCGUCUGGUGUUCGAGAUGUAUACAUACCCCUGGCCGACACUCUGUUAGCGUGUUACAAAAUACGGAACAGCCCAUGUUCGGUAGCGGUGUCGAAUGCAUAUCCCCCCUAGACACUCUGUCGGUGGAUGGGACAUGUACAUCGGUGGCUCGACAUUUGACGCUGGAAAUACGAGCUGGGGAACUGCAUCAAGUUCUACUGGAUGGCAAUCUACAUCCAAUUGGGGACGUUAUCAAAUGCCCAGAAGAAGGGAUGACGUACUACCUACAACAUCAACCGGUGAGGGGACGUCGUACGCUGCAGAUGAUUGUGGGUUAGAAGGUGACUCCGAUGUGGAUCCACCUCGAGAGCCCGGGCCGGAAUGUGCAGAGGUGGGAUUAUUUUCUGAACCGGAGCCUAUUCCAACAGAAGGUGAAGAUAGUGAUAGGAGUGCAGAUGAUGAAGAAAAUCCACGAUUCAGAGCAUACUCACCUCCAGCCCACAUGCAUAAUGUGGAUCUGUCAAAUGAUGAUGCGUUAGAGUUUCCAGAUCUACCACACCGGGUGCGCGAUCGUACAAGUUCGGGGGUAGAUCUCGGUGAACUUGAAGUUGGUAAUCAGUUUACCAAUAAGGAUAGUUUUAUUGGUGCUUUGAAACAGCAUAGCGUCAAAAACGGCGUUAAUUACCACGUCGUUAAAUCAAAAUCUGAUAAGUUUGAGGCGAAGUGUGCGGUGCAAGACGGNNNNNNNNNNNNNNNNNNNNNNNNNNNNNNNNNNNNNNNNNNNNNNNNNNNNNNNNNNNNNNNNNNNNNNNNNNNNNNNNNNNNNNNNNNNNNNNNNNNNCUCGUUAAGGAAGAGGACAGGGUUGUGGGAGAUCAAAAAGUACAAAGGUCCACAUACAUAUGCUGCAGGUACAGGAUUGAAUGUGUCUGAAUAAUAUUUUUAUUUUCCAAUGUUGCAUUAUUUAAUGUACUCCCUCCCUUUGUAGGCGUUUCAGAAGAUCAUCCGAAAAUGGAUUCAGCUAUGUUGGCUAGCUUGAUACUGCCCACGAUAAAAGCAGAUCAUCGGACUUCAGUGCCGGUGAUAAUUGCCAAUAUCCGUAGCCAAAUGGGGUAUACGCCCUCUUACCGCAAGGCUUGGAUAGCUAAGCAAAAGGCAUUGGAGAAGAUGCAUAGUGGUGGGUCGCCUCAUAUAAUGAAAUAUGGCAAUGGUGUCAGGUGGUAGAGAGAUACGUCCCAGGUGCCAUCACAGACCUUGAAACGGAACAUGCGUACUACAAUGACCGAUUGCUACGUGGAUGCCAAGUGUUCAAACGCCUAUUUUGGACCUUUAAGCAAUGCCGAGACGCAUUUCCCUACUGCAAGCCAUUGGUACAAAUUGACGGUACCUUCAUGUUCGGUAGGUACACUCAUCGGCUAUUGGUUACAGUGGCACAGGACGGCGGUGGGAGAAUUCUUCCAAUUGCAUAUGCAAUAACACCGGGGGAGUCGUCUGAUGACUGGGAUUUUUUUCUCUCUAGGUUAAGGAGGCAUGUCUGCCCCCAACCUGAUAUCUGUGUUAUUUCAAAUCGGGGCACCGGUAUACUAGCUGCAUUUGAUCGAGAGGGAAGCUUGUGGCAGCGUACACACCAUAGGUAUUGCCUGAGACACGUUGCUUCGAACUACUACAGGUAAUAUCCAUCUAAGACGGAACGACGACAAGUGACCAACAUGGGUAUUUACUGUAUAAUUGUAUUAUUUCGUUUGUCAAAUUGAAUUAGUUUUAUUGGUAGACGCGGUAUAAAAUAUUCACUAUGUUCUUAUAUUGGUAGGGUAUGAAAUGAAUAAAGAUCGUUUUCACGAGAUGUUGGCAAUCUUGCGAUCCCAAAACGAAGAAGGGGCGGACUACCUUUGCAACAUACGUUUCGAACAGUGGGCACAAGCAUACGACGGAGGCCUACGAUAUGACCAUAUGACGUCGAACCUGGCAGAAUGCAUAAAUUUUGUUCUUAAAGGAACGCGCCAUCUACCGAUACCAGCGGUUGUGCGAAAGACAUAUUUCCAUUUGGCGGCGCUAUUUCCAAAGCGAGCAGCAGGUUAUGCAGGCCAGAUGUAGGGUGGGCAUGUAUGGUGCAGUAAGGUAGUUCAAGAAAUUAACAAGGCGAAGGCGAGGGCAAACGUCAUGCACGCUAUGUGUCACGAUCGAGACAAUUUAUGGUUUCGCGUGACGGAGUUCGACAUACCACACCAAGGUGUUGUUGGCGGGCAAUAUCUUGUACACUUGCGAAACAGGACUUGUGACUGUGGGAAGUUCGAUGCACUUCGUUAUCCAUGCGCUCAUGUUAUUGCAGCCUGUCAGAAACUCCGUCUGGAUCCGCUGAGUUAUGUGGACGAAGUGUACAAAUUAGAAAACAUGUACAACGUAUGGAGACACAUUUUCCCACCGGUCCCAGAUGAACGUAAGUGGCCGCCCGUAUCUCUUGCUCCUUUUAAACUGUUACCGAAUAGAGAAUUACGUCGCAAGCCGAAGGGUCACCUUCCUCCACUAGAAUACGGAACAAUAUGGAUAUCCGAGAAACAGCCAGUCAACAGAAGUUGUGCGGAUGGUGUAGGAACCCAGGCCAUACAAGUUGAUCGUGCCCUAAUCGCAAUAGUUAAAUGUAAUUAUAGAAAUAAUUACCUUUUAUUCAAUUAUUAAUUAAUAAUUGUAUUAAUUGUUAGUAAAAUUAUCAAAUUACUACAAUUUCUUAAAUGUUAGUACCAGUCAAAACAUUUUACGAAAUCCAACAUUAUGUAAAACUAUAAUUUCUUAAAUGGUUACUAAGAUUAUCAAAUCCGCUGAGUUAUGUUAGGGUUUUUACAUUAAUUAAAUUAGGUUAGGUUAGGGUUUUUAAUUAAAUUAGGUUAGGUUAGGGUUUUUAAUUAAAUUAAAUUAGGUUAGGGUUUUUAAUUAAAUUAAAUUAUGUUAGGGUUUUUAAUUAAGUUAAGUUAGGGUUUUUAAUUAUAUUAAGUUAGGUUAGGGUUUUUAAUCAAAUAAUGUCAAAAUAACUCAGAAAAAUUUCUAUGUGUAUUACAUCGUCAUAAACUUCUAUUUCAUUACAUCAAAUGAUAAAUUUUAAUACGGUAAUCAAUGUCUAUGACCGGGGGAUUCGGUUCCACAUGGCGGCCGUCGACGGUUACGCGCUGGAUUCCUCCUUCCUCUAGCUUCCGGCGGCCGUUGUUCUUCCUCGGGUGGUGAUUGUUGUUCUUCCGGUUCGGCAUCUGCUUGUCGGACUUGGGACGAUGAUCCACCUUCAAAGAAUACUGUAUGUGGAGGUGUUUGCAUCAUGAACGGCGACGGAGUUUGAAAGCCAUGCGUUGCUGGCGAUUGGUAAAAAGGAGAGCUCCCCGACGGCCCCCCUUACGACCCCUCCUGCGCCGAUGGCCUAGUUAUCGGUGGUCCGCUCGGCAUUACAGGAAAUGGAACUGAUCCGGGCAUUUGGCUCCAAGCUGCCAUAUGCUGUUGAAAAGGAUACAUGUACGGGUUAGGGUACAUAUAAGGGCUAGGAAACAUACCUGGCAUCAUAGGGAAAGGCGAUUGCGUGGGUAUCAUCUAUUGAAUUGCUGCGUCAGGUGACUGCGCCGGUGCUCUCGUUGGGGACUGUGAUUGCAUUGCCGCUGAUGAUGGGCCGGGUGAAUGUCUGGGCCUCGUUGAUGGGCUGCCCUCGUAGUCUUGUCCCCUUGGAUUUAGAGGCCCGCGCAUUUCCCUUCCGACACGUAUUUACCGCUGCCUCUCCUCUGGCGUAAGUAAAUACGGCUUCCCAUGGAUCCUAAACCAUGGCAUGUAUUCUAUAACGCACGCUAACUCGGGAACGAUGAUUUGUUCCCGAGUAGGUAGAUAUUCAUACCGAUUUUCCCACAUUUCUGUGUACUCUGACCAGUAUCUAGGCCAAUCCGUACCUAAUAGCCGAAGGUCGAUUUUGUGGUGCUCGUCAAACACCUUAGGGUCCGCAGGGAUCGGUUGUCUACAUCCAAACUGUCGUAGGACUCUGUCUGUCUGGUGGGGCUCCACAGUUGCAUAGUUGAUCAACACCACUUUCACGUGCCAAGCGUUGGGAUUUUGUAAAAACUCUUCCGGGAUUACUGCCCGGAUUGCCGGAUCCUCGUAUGGUGUCCAUUGAAACUACAUGAACAUGAUAGAAAUAUUACUUAUAUACAUAAUACUAAAUAGUAAAUACUAAAUAUCAAUCCACUAGUGAAUGUAUGGAAAUAUCUAUUUGCAAUAAUACUUACUUCUGCUUCCGACCGUUGGUCCAAUAGAAGCUGUAUAUCUUCAAGUUCAGACGGUAAUCCACGAUAACUCGCCGGAUGGUUCCACCUAAUUAAAUAAAUUUUUAGCAUACUUUUAUUCUUACAAAAUCUACAUAACAAUUUCAAAAUGUAAUGAAGAAAAUUUACCUCGUUACGAGUGGGAAUAUAUAUGGGUGGUUCACUCGAGGACGUAGAAAUGGAAAGCGAAACCGUGCCCAUGAUUGCAGUAGUGACAGGCAUCCUCCGAUUUUUGCUCUCCUCGGUUUGGUCGCCCCGCACAUCUCCCGAUAUAAAGUUUCCAAGACGGUAGACCCCCAACUAAAUUCACCGACUGCUCUAAAAUCAACGAGUUUUAGCAGCCACCUUAGAUGUACACAGCUCCGUGACGUGUCGGCCAUGAGAUAGCCUCCAAUUAUUUGAAGAAUGUAUGAUCGAGCAUAUCGGAUUCGUUCAAAUUCGGUUGAAUUUUCAUUCAGACCGGGGAAGGUGGCACGUAACCAGCUCAUCUCCACCUUACCUCCAUCCAUUUUAUCCGGAACGGCGCCCAAAAGCUCGUAGCACACCGCCUCCCAAUUGCUAGAUUGGGCAGACCCAGUGACUGGGUGCCCGUCCACCGGUAAUCCCAAAUGCAGAUGGACAUCUUCUAGAGUGAUAGUGCACUCUCCACAUGGAAGAUGAAAUGUGUGCGUCUCAGGUCUCGACCUCUCGAUCAACGCACUGAUCAGUUUCGUCUCCAACUUGCAUCCCCGGCCUACCGUUGCCACGUGCCAAAAUCUCGCUUCCUGCAGGUAGUUCUCUACUAACGGUGAUGGAGGAGCAUGCAUAUUCCGAAUAUUGCAUUCCAAUACCCGAUCUUCAGCCUUUUAUAAGAAAAAAUAAAUUAAUAAAUAUCUAAAAAUACAUAAAAAAAUAUCUUAAAUAAAUUUUAAAUUUUAAAUUUAAUACUUACCAUUUUCAAUUGCUCCACCGAGAUGUGAUUCCUAUCAAGACGAAUCAAUGAUCCGGCCAUUGUUGAAAAUAUUAAAAAUUUUAAAAUUAUUUUAAAAAUAAAAAUUUUAAAAUUUUCUUAAAAUAAUGAAAUUUAAUGAAAAAAGAAAUUUAAUAUGGAUUUGGAGAUUUUUUGAAGGAAAUUGAGAGGAUUUUAGAAGGAAUUUGAGAGAAUUUUGAAAGGAAUUUGAGAGAAUUUUUGAACGGAAUUGAGAGAAUUUUUGAAGGAUAUUGAUAUUGAAUUUUUUUGAGAAAAUAAAGGGGUGGGGGUUUAUAUAAGUAAAAAAAAAAUUACGUGGGGGGGGACAACGGUCAAUUUUUUGACCGUUGGGCACUGUUCACGCGCGCGGCCACAUCGCGUCCACGUCAGCAGGUCGCGCUGACGUGGACGCGAUGUCCUGUCACGUACCCUGACAUCGCGCUGACGUGGACGUGAUUUCGCGGAAAAUAGCCCAUUCCGGUAAAUAAUUAAAAAACCGGCCCAUUUCGGUAAUUUUUUAAAAAAACUUUUUUUAGUAAAUUAGCCAACAAUAACAACAAAAUAGUAACAAUAUAAUAGUGAAAUUGUGGCACAAUAGUGAAAAAAAAAUUAAGAAAAUAGCAUCAAAACAAUAAAAGAAAAUAAAAGAAAACAACAUGUUUUCUUUUUCUUUUUUGCAUAUUCAGGUCGGGCCGGACUCAAGCAAAAAAAACCUUGACUGAGGCUCGGCUUGUUUUUUAAAUCGGCCUCAUUUUUUGUCCAAACACAUUUUUUGAGCCUAAUUUUUACCCAAAUCCUCCCACUUUUCGGGCGAACCAUUCGGCCCGACCCAUAGACAGGUCUAUUUCAAUUACAAUUAAAUUAAAAUAAAAAUCUAACAAAAUUAAAUAGAUAUAUAUAAUAAACUAAUAAAAAUAAUUUUAAAACUAAAAUUGAAAUAACCCAUGAAAUUUAAAGUCUAAAAAUUAAAAAUUUAUAUGUACUGUAUGGUAAUAAAUACAAAAUUAAAGUUUAGAUAUAUUCUCCCUGUUCACUUUUAAAAAUCUUUUUCAGGUGAAUUGUAGUGGAGAAGGUAAAACACAUUUCAAGCAAAAAAAAUCACAUUACUUUUCCAUUAAUUUUUAAUCCAUUCGGGUAAUUAAUUAAAAUCUUUUUACAAAAUUCUCUACCAACCACACCUCGUCUUCUCGAAUGAGGGUUAGCAAAAUUCGAUUUAAUUCAAAAAAUUUAAUAAAAUAUUCAAAUUUUAAAUUAAAAAGUUCGAGUUAUUCGAGUUAAUCCGAUAAUUCGAUUAACUCGAAUAAAAAAAUCAAAAUUUUCAGUUUAACUCGAAUAUGAAUUACACAAUUCGAGUUAUCUGAAAAUCGGAAUAAGAAAAUAUAAAACUACGUUGUUUUGAUAAAUAUUUAGAUUUUCUAAAGUUGAAGCCAAAACCGUUUAUUUAAAAAACAAAACAAUUAUAUUGUUUAUGUAGUUAUAUAAUCUUGUAUUUCGUCUACUAGUUAAAUAAUCGGUUCAUGUAAAUGCAAAAUUGAGUAUAAAUAAUAGGAUUUGUUAACUCGAAUCGACUUGACUCAAUUCGAUUUGAAAAUUUUUUAAAUUGAGUUCGGUUGCUAAAAUAGGAUUUGUCAACUCGACUAAUUCGAAUUUUUUUUACUCGAUCGAAUAUUCACCAUUAUUUCUAAACUAUAACAGUUAAUGGAAACUCGUUAAGUCAUAAAAAAUUCAAGUAAAUGUUUUAAACUUGAGUCUUAUGAAUACAAAAAAUAAUUUUAAAAGAUAUUUUAAAUUAUAAAAUUUAAUUGGUAUAAAUAGGGGUGAGCAUUCGAUCGAAUCGAAUCGAAUCGAAAAUUUUCAAGUUAAUCGAGUUUUCGAAUCUCAUUUUAUCAUCCUAACUUCAUUUGAAGUUUUCUCGAAUCGAGUCGAGUGAGAUGGAAUUCGAAUCGAAUCGAAUCGAAUCGAAUAUAUUUGUUCCAGUUAAAUUUUAAAAAAUAAUUUUGGAUCCUUGUAACCACUGUCACCCAUCGUAAUAAAAUUUGUCCACCUUAAUCAGUUUUUUUUAUUAACUUUCAUCACCUCAUAAUUUAUUUAUUAAUUUUUUAUAUACUGGUUAGCUUCUUUGCUUGCUUAGUUGUUUCAAUUAUCUUCAGAUUCUUGUCACUAUGUAUUUUGGAAUUAAAAAAUAUAUUAAAUGUAAAAAUAUGAUUUUUUAAUAAAUGUUAUUUUAAAAAUAAAAUGUGAAAUUGAUACCAAUAUAAAAUUUUAACACGAAUAUUUUAUGGCACAAUUAAUAAUUCAAUUUUAAUAUAAAUAUUCAAUAUGACUAAACAAUUCAAUAAUAUAAAUAAUAUAAAAUGUGAAAUUUAAUUUAAUUUAAUAAUAUAAAUAGUAUAUAUAAAUAAAAUUAUUGCUAUUUAUGUUUAGUAAUUUUUUUUGGAUAAUUUUGAUUUUUUAUUUGAGAGUAAAUGGUGAGAAGUAAAAGUUUAAGGGGGAAAUAAAAAGUUUGGGGGAAUAAAAGUUUGAGGGAAAGUAAAUAGGGGGAGUAAAAUUUUGGAGGGAAAAUAUUAAAAAAAAUUUGGAGGGGGGAGGGUUUGGGGUAGAUGAGGUGGGAUGAGAAGGGAAUAAAAGUUUUAGGGAAAAAGUGAGAGGGAGUAAAAAUUUUGGGGGAAAGUAAAAAGUUUUGAGGGUUUUUGGAGUAAAAUUUUGAGAAAAAGUAAAUGGGAGAGUAAAAUUUUAGUGGGAAAUGAAUUUUGGAUAGAUUGGGGGGUUGGGAGGGGAGGGGAGGGGAGUAAAAGUUUUGGGGGGAAAGUGGGAAAGAGUAAAAGUUUUGAGGAAAAAGUAAAAAGGUUUGGGAGUUUGGGGUAAAAAUGUAAAAUAUUAUAGUUUGAUAUUCGAGUUAUUCGAAUUCGAAAACUCAACUCGAAAUUUGAAAAAAAAUUCGAGUUGAUUCGAAUAACUCGAUUCGUUUAACUCGAAAUUCGAAUUUUUUUUCGAUAUUUUCGAGUCGAAUCGAAUUUUGCUCACCCCUAGGUAUAAAUUAAAAUUAAAUAAAAAAUAUAAUUAGAUUGUUUGAUAAAAUAUAAUUUUUUUAAAAAUUUAAAGGUGGGGUAUUUGAAGGAAUUAAAAGAGAUAAAAUAAAAAUAAUUGAAACAAAUUCUACAUUAAGAUAUAAAAAGUUAUUUAAUCUACUUUUCAUUUUCCAAAUCUUUUCGUAGAAAAAUCCAAUCAUUUGUUUUUUAUUAUGAAUCAUCAAACUUGCUUAAAAACAUAAAUUAUUAGUUGAUUUAAUUUUUUUUAAUUGAUUAUCAAACAAGUCCUUGGUUAAUGUUCUCCAAGUUCAAGUGCCAUUUAGGUCAAAAAAAAAGUUUAAGUAAUAGUAACAUAAACAUUCAUUUUAUAACAAUAAAGUUAAAGCCAUGAAUAUUUUCAAAAAAAUAUUCAAUUAAGCCCUUGAAUGUUAAAAUAUUAAUCGAUUAAGUUCUUUGAUAGUUAAAGUUAACAGUCAAUUGUUAUAGUUAAAAUUUCAAUCAAUUAAGGCACGGUGUAGCGUUUGUUUACCUCAUCCUUUAACCAUGUGGUUGAGGGUUCGAUCCCCACUUAUGGAAAUGAAGCACAUUUCAUAAUCAGUCAUUUACCUAUUUGGAGAGCACUCAUAGUGAGGAGAUUAACUACUGUUGUUGUUGGUGGAUACCCUGAUUAUGACAAAUAAAAAAUAACAACUGCCAUUUUUUUGGAUUAUUUUUGCCACAUGACAUGCUAAGAUUGUGCCACGUGGUAUAAAAUUAUAAAAAUCAUAAAAAAAUUAUACAAGAAUUAUAAAAAUGAAUAAAAUUAGAAAAAAUAUAUAAAAAAUCUAUUUUUAAAAGGUUAAUAAAUUUUAUAUUUUAUUAUUUUUAAAAGGAUAAUAAAUUUUUAAAAUAUUUUUUUUUAUUCUUAUAUUUUUACGAGCUAUUUAAAUUUAAUUUCAAAAUAGGGCAUGCCUAAUAUAUAAAUAGACAUUUAAUUAGUGUCCAAGAGUAAUGGCGUCACUCCUAUUUUUCAUCUAGUUUAAAAAUGAUAAUUGCUUCAUCAGGUGUCUGAACAUUCUAUAUAAUUAUUCUUCAGUUCGAUGUCACCAAUAGCAACGACGACACCCAAAAAAUUUAUUACUUUUUUAAAACUAGAGGUGGUGACACCAAUGACAAUGGCGUCACCGACAUUUACUGUUCAAAAUGGGUCAUUUACGUACAUAAUUUUCAAAAUAAGUCAUUCUUAUAAAUAAUUAAAAGUUUUGGGUAUUUUUAAUAAAAAAGCUUAAGUUUGAUGUGUAAUACCCAAUUUUCGCCCGGCCCAUAUACCUUAUAAAAAACCCAAAUAAUUAAAAAAAGACAAAUAAAAUGAAAGUCCAAUCGCAGACUCAACAUCAGUCCAUUGGCCCAAUAAACAGAAACCCUAAAAUCUAAUAGCUUCCAGCACAGCCCCAACCGCCACACUUCCACGUAUACCGCCUGCAAGAAUCCAAUAGCAACAAAAACACAGUGUAAAAAUAGAGAAAAAUAGAAAAUAAGUUGUAUUUCUAAGCUAUAAAAAGAGCCAGAUUUUCUGUUUUAAAGAAAAAAAAGGGGGUAUUCAUAAAAAAUGGAGGAAGUCAGUGUAAAGGGGGAAAAUCAGUGUAAAGGGAGGAAAAAAGAAAUCAAAAAGUUUUAAAGAAGGUGAUUUUUUCACUUUUUCUUCUAUAUUUUUUGGUUACGUUUUUACUUUUCUAUUUUUUUUUUAUCAAUCUUAUAUGAAAAAGAAAAGAAGAGUUAGGAGAUGAGAAAUCUACCUGGCUUUGCCUACUCCGUUGCAAUUGGAGUCGGGCAGAGUUUCAGAUCGCUGAAGUGGCAGAGGGCAGAGAGGGUUUAGUUUUUUUCCUGAUAGUUAAUGUAAAUAAAAAGUGUUCUGAUUUUAGGGUUUUAAGUGGCUUUUAUAUUGUGCAUAAAACGGCACCGUUUAGGGCCUGUUUCAGUGGCUCUAAAAUGGUGCCGUAUUGGCCGUUUAGCCUCAGUAACCCACGUGGUGACCUGACCCGGGGAAGGAUCCACGCUUUUUGUAACGCUUCGAAAAAUUGCGCAAACAGUCCCUUUUCUUUUGUAGGGUAUUUCAAAUCGAUUCUUUUAUUUCAUUUAAAUUUGGCCACGCUUUUUAGGUUUCUUUCCAAUCUGAUUCAUGUCAAUAUGCUGCGCUUUGAGGGAAGGGAAUAUUUCCCAUUCGGUCCCCAUGUUAUCCGCGCGUCAUAUUUGGGCCCUCAUAUUUGUUUUAUCCUCAUUUUUUUCCUUUUAAUUUUGCUUUAAAUUUCAAUUUAAUCCUCAUUAGUUUGAUUUGAUUUGCUUGUGUUUUAUUUAUUUAAGUAUCGAUUAUUAUGCUAUCUUUUAAAAAAUUUUAAAUCUGAUAUUAUUUGAAUGUUUAUACUUAUUAUUAUUAAAUUAAUCAUUAAUAUUAUCUAAGUGUAUUGUAUAUUAUUAUUUUAGAUUUAUCAUGUUUUAUUAUUUUUAAUUUAUCAAUAUUAUUAUUUUAAAUUCAUCGUUAACAUUAUUUUAAAUCUAUCAUGUAUAUCUAUUUCAAAUUUAUCAUUAAUAUUUUUAAAUUUAUUGUCGAAACCAUUUUUUAAAUUAGAAAAAAGGGGGAUCGACUUUGAAAAUAUAAUGGGAGUCGCCAUCGAUCUUUUUUGAGAUGCGAUCGGAUCACCUUGAAAAUGAUUUUAGGUCUGCGAAUUUUGAGAAAACAAGUUCGAAAGUCGGUUACGCACGAGGAAGGGUUAGCACCCUCUUGAUGCCCAAAAUUGGUACCGAAUUGUUUAAUGCCUUAGUAUCGAAAACUUGAAAAGAUUUUAAAGUACGAUCCCUUGAAUGAAAUGAAUUGGAUGAUGAGACUCAUUUAUUUUGAAGACAUAGAUUGUCACACCCAGUAAGUUAGAGUGUAACAUUUUAAAUCCGCGAAAUUAAGUUUACUCUUAAAUUUUAAAACUUAUGCAUUUUGAGAAGGAUAUCUGAUUAUUUGAGUCAAAUGAGAGAAUCGAAACCCAGUAAGUUAGGGUUCGAUUUCACAAAAUCCCUAAAUAUCGAACAUUGCCUUUAUUUUCAUUUGUUAGAAAUCCUCGUCUCGAGAAAACAACAUGUCAUAUCCAAUGAGUUAGGACACAACGUAUUGAAUUCUCAAGAAUGAGCUUUUUUUGUAUGUUAAUUAAAAGAUAUUCGGUUUCUUAGAUCCCGAGGAAGAUUGGAAUCCAGUGAGUUAGGAGACAAUCUUUUCGAGGAUCACAAAUUCCGAGUGUCGCGUUGUUUUGGAGGCUUUUUGAAUAAAAGUGUUUUUGAUAUUUAAAUAAUAAACGUAACCUUUUAAGCAGAUAUAAGGCAAUAAAACGUUAAUGUACAACGCGAAUCGAUUAUUCGUAAAUUUAAAUAUACACCAAUGAAUACAAACAAUCAAUAGAUAAAUACAAAUAAACAAAGUAACAAUAGCCUCCAUUAUGCCAAUGUCAACAUCAACAUUCAAAAUAAAUAGUAUAUAAAAAAUCAAUCAAAAUACAUUAAAUCAUAUACAUAUAUUAAUUCAAAUAAAUAAUACAUGUGGGAGGAAAAUUUUAAUAAUAAUAUAAAUGAUAACGUAUACAUAAUAAUAUACAAAAAGGUUGAAACAAGCGAAAUAUAUAAAGUAGGGUUUUUAAAAGAAAAUAAUUAUAUGUAUAUAUAGGAAUAAGUAAAAAUAUAUAAUAAUAUAUACAAAAGUUGAAAUAAACAAAAUGAAUUAAAAUAGGGUCCUAAAAAAAUAAAUUAUAUAUAUGUAUAGAUAAAUAAAAAGAUAUAAUAAUGUAUUAUAUACUCGUAUAUCUUUUAAUAAAAUGAUUUAAUAUAAAUUGUGUAUAGAUAUAAAAUAGUAUUGUAUAAAAAUGUUAAAAACCUAAAAUAAUAUUACAUAAUAACAUAAAAUAAUUUAUAUACGUAAAUAAUGGCAAUUAAAUAUACAAACUAAUAUAAUAACAAUAUCAAUAAUAAUAUCAGUAGUAAUAACGGUGAUAAUAAUAAUAAUAAUAAAUUGAUAAUAAUAAUAGAUUAAUAAUAACAUUACUGAAUAGUAAAAAAAAACAAAAGGGACUAAACUGCAAGCAGAACAAAAUUAACAGGCCACAAAUAUGAUUUAAAAGAAAUGGAGGGUCAAACUGUAAUUCGCGAAUUACGGGGGGAGCCAAAUGGGAACUAUCCCGCUUUCCCAAAACGCAGCGCAGUGACAUGGACCAAAAUGUAGCAAAAGCAAAAUGAAGCAUGAAAUUCAUAAAUAAGAAAAAAACUGAUAUGAAAACACCACGAAGAAAAGAGGACCUUAUACGCUAAUAGACCAAACGACCAAAAUGCGCGGAUCCUUCCCCGGAUCGGGUCACCACGCGGGUCGUUGUGGGCAAAUGGCGCAGUUUCUUUCGUGGUUAAAAAACAAAAACCUAAGCUAUUAAACAUUUUCCUAAUCUAACAAAAAACCUAAAGAAAUGAGAGAAAAACUCUCUUUGCGCCGUUCGACGAUGAACAUCUGGAGGCGCCUAAACCACCGCUUGAUUUUGACUGCGACGAAACAAGCGACAGUCCAGCAAGCCAGGUAAACUCUCUUCCUUAAACCUCUCUUUUUAUGUUGUUUAAUGUUUCCUAAACAAAGAAACCAAAAAAAAAAAGAAAAAGAACAGUGAAGAAAAACGAAAAAAGGAAAAAACGAAUAUACCUCUCAAAUCCCUUUUUUGUAUUCAAUCUCUCUGUGUAUUGAUAUUGUGUGUAGAGGAAAAAGAACCCCUUUUACAGAUUCAAAAACGGCUUUAUAUAGCCGGAUCCAAAUAAAAAUUAAAAAUACAAUCAUAAAAUUCCAAUUUAUCCUUGCUGUUAUUUUCCUUUUUUGCGUGGUUGUUUCUGUCUCUGUUUGUUUGUGUCUGCUGCAGGUACGGCCGUACGGAGGUGUGGGCGUGGAGGCAUGCAUGGCAGUGUAUGUGAGGCUACUGUUGUGGUGGCUCACGCUGGGGCUGAGGGAGUUGCGGCACUUGGUCCAUUCCAGAAACCCUAGGGUUUUUUGGAAGCUGUUUAGGCCUAUCAGGGUUUGGGUUUGUUGGGCCUGUAACACGAUUGGGCUAAGGAUUGUAUUUGGGUUUAGGUUAGCUGUUUAAUGGACUGUUAAUGGACUUUGAAUUAUUUUUAUUAUUUGGUUUUUAUAUUUGUAUCGAGCCGGGCAAAAUUUGGGUAUUACAGCUGCCCCUCUUUGCUUGUUGUCGUGUAACAGGAACGGAGCAAAGACUCCAAAAAUGACCAAUUUUGCCCAGUCGUGCUGGACCUUGGUGCUCAUCUUCUUUGAAUUGCCUCAUUCCAUCCUACCGCAACAUCGGGGAGAUAAGAUUUGUGGCUUCAAUCAACUCCACUGUAAUCUCGGGGAGGUAAAAUCUGCCAUCUUCAGUCUGCCCCACUGCAUCUUUAGGGGAUAAGACCUGCUUACUCAGUCUGCUCCAUUAUAACCUCAGGGAGGUAAGAUUGGUUUCUUCUGUCUGACUGCAAUGUCGGGGAAACAAGAUUCACCGUUGUGGCUUUAAUCUACUUCAUUGUACCGCCAGGGAAGUAAGAUUCACUGUUGUAGCUUUAAUCUUUUUAACUGCAAUGUCGGGGAAGCAAGAUUCACCGAUGUGGCUUUAAUCUGUUCCACUAUAUCGCCUGGGGAGUAAGAUUCACUGUUGUAGCUUUAAUCUUUUUAACUGCAAUGUCGGGGAAGCAAGAUUCACCGAUGUGGCUUUAAUCUGUUCUGCUGCAUCGCUUGGGGAGUAAGAUUCGCUGUUGUAGCUUUAAUCUUUUUAACUGCAAUGUCGAGGAAUCAAGAUUUAUUGAUGUGGCUUUAAUCUGUUCCACUGCAUCGCCUAGGGAGUAAGAUUCGCUGUUGUAGCUUUAAUCUUUUUAACUGUAAUGUCGGGGAAGCAAGAUUCACCGAUGUGGCUUUAAUCUGUUCCACUGCAUCACCUGGGAAGUAAAACUGGUAUUUUCGAUCUGCUUCAUUGUCGAUGCAGGAAGACAAGGUCUGCUAUCUUCACUGAUCUGUUCUCUGGGGAACUUGACCUGUAUAAUAAACCUAAUUAUGCCUAAAGAUUAAGAUGGCAUGAUCAAAAUGAAUCCAAUGCUCCUAACUAGACAUGUGAAUAAUGUUUGCAUGAAUGCAUAGUUUUAUUUUGCCGAGAAUGAUCCCGCUUAGGUUGUCAUUACUCCAAGUUUAUUAAGGCUUUGUGACUGACGUGCUACAACGCCUUCUCGCUUGACUGGCUUUUUUGAAGAAACAUUUAGCCAGGUUGCCCCCCACUGUAAACCUAAAAGUUUAAUCCAUUAGGGCGCACAAUUUGUGCCAUCAUUCUUCCACUGCAAUUCAAGGGUAGAAAUAUGUGGCUUUUCCUCAAUCCUCUCUUAUCACAAUUCAAGGAUACAGGAUCUAAAUCGUUCUAGUUUCUCACACCAUUCUCAAGCUGUCGUACCCAAGGCUCAUACACAACUGAAGGCUUUCUUCUCUGAGGAAACCUCUUCCUGUUGCCUGGUGAUCAUUACUUGCUUGUUUAUUCAAGCUUUGUUAUCAAUAUGACAUUCUUGUCAUUUUGUUCAAUCAUGUUUUUGACAACAAAAUCCAAAGAGAAAGUCCAAAUUUAGACUCUUCCUUCUCAAAUUUCCAACCUUUAAAUUUGGUGUGCUCUAAACAAUAGUCCUGUUUCAGGUUCCUAUAUUAUUUAGAAAUGUUUCAGAGUAAUAUGCAAAACUUCCUUUGUGAAAGUUUUAUUAGUCCAUUAAUCAUUAUUCCAAUACAACAUUCUUUCAAAAAGGGUCAUAACAAUGGAUAAGAAUAAAAUUGGUUCUGGGCAUAGCUCAAAAUGAAUAAAUUAUCACAAAUAGUAAAGAAGGAUAAUAAAGAAAUUGAUUGGAAAUGUAUAUCUUCGAAAAGAAAAAAGUAUUCCAAGAACAACAAAUUCAAUAUAAAUAAUAUGAGAAUUGGGUGCCCCAGAUAUCGCAGCUUGAACUUCUCUGUACAAACUUCUGAAAACCAUUUUGAGUUUGACAUGUGUUUAGGAGAUCUACAGUGCUUUGUCGAUGCCCCAAGAUGUCGCCUACCAUUUCCUGUUGAUUCAGGUAUAACAAGAUUACUACAUGCCUGAAGAUUCAAGUUGCUCUGAUCGCUUCAUGCCCCAUUCUGAUCAAUAUUUGAGCCGCCCUUUUUCAGGUUUUCAACUCAAAUCCCCUUUGGCCUAAGGUGCCAUUUGCGGGUUUUCCCUUUAGCCUCUCCAUUUUUACUUUUUCAUUUUUUCAUUUUUCAUUUUCAUUUUUUCAUUUUUCAUAUAUAUAUAUUUUUUGACUUAGAGUGCCCUUUGCGGGUUUUCACAUUGGUCCUUUCUUCUUCUUUAAACGAAGUGUUUCUUGACUGGAUCCGAGUUUAUAGGAUUAGCCAUCUCACUCAAGAUUAAUGCUCCUCUGAAAAAGGUCUUCUUUAGAACACAGGGACAUCCCUGGCUUAGCAUUCAUGUCCUUCUAGAAUCCUUUAGUUGAGGAAGGAUAUUUUUCAACAUCCAGCCCUCUCGUGGAAUUCUCUGAGACGACAUUGUUUAUUAUGGGCUCGUAUCAUCUGGUACAUCUGACCCUAAUGAAUAGCUUUUAACCAUUUUCCUAGGUCCAACUGAUCACAUCGCAAUUGGAUCCAUUCUGCUUCAUCCAAUUCUAGCUCAAUUAAUACCCGGAGAGAGGGGAUUUCAAUCUUGUAAACCAAAGAGAGAGGUGUUGCCCCAGUAUAGAUGUUUGACAAGAAAGAAGGGCAAAUGGUAAUUUCUCAUGCCGGUCAUUGCAAGUCUCAGUCAUUUUUUCAUAAUUCAAUACAGUGAUGAACUACGGUAUCUGAUUUUGAAUUGAUCACAGACCUUAGCUAUCAUACUAACAUUCAUGAUAUCGUAUUCUCUCUAAUUCUAUACCGGCAUAUAAUGACAUUGACGCAUGAAGCAGCCUCUACCUGUUUGACAAGGUAACUAAUGAUCUCAAAUAUGAAGCAAUGCCCAUUAGAAAAUUUCGAUGAUGAUAACGACCAUGCCCCAUUUUGCUCAAAAUUUGCCCUUUUCGGGUUUUCAACUCAAAACCACCUUUGGUUACAAAGCGCCCUUUGCGGGUUUUCACUUUAGCCUCUCAUUUACUCUUUCAUUUUUCCUUUUUCUUCUCUCUUUUUUCAUUUUCAUUUUGACUUUGAUUUUGGUUUUUAUUUCUCUUCUUUUUGUUUUUGAUUUUGAUCUUGAUUUUUUUUUGAAUUGGAUCUGAACUCAUAGGAUUUGGUAAGUCCUUGUUAUCCCUUUUGACCAUAAAAUCUCCCACAUAAGAUCUUCCACUUUCAUCUUGUAUGUGAAAAAAACCUCUUUGGUAUCGGAUUUCUUUCAUAGAGCCUUUUGGGGUGUAACUAUGGCAGAAAACUUUGGAUCUUCCUCUUCAAUCAAAGUAAACUCCAACAACAUCUUGAAGGGAUGGAAACUUGACUUCAAAUGGGCAAAGCUAUGUUGAGUCAACGAGAGAGGCAUUGCCCCGGUAAAGAAUUGCAUCAUUCAUACUACAAAUUUUGACAUCGUGCUGUUGUGUAGAUUUCAUUAUCAGUGCUUAACCCGAGCAUAUCCUGGUAUGACCAUACAAAGACAUCCUUGAACUCUAGAAUAAUUUAAUGAGGUCUCACUUCAUCUUUGUGGUCAUGUCAAUUUCAAUCUUCACCCAGCUCACAAUUUCUAAUGGUUCAUCGCGAGGUAGGAUCUAUAUGUCCUCUUGUUCUACCAUCGUCAACAAGUACGGCGAUAAGCUACGAUCUAUGUCAAUUUCAAAGUCAUGAGAUCCCUCUAAGACAUGCCUCGCCCAAAAGGAAAAUCUGAGUCUGUAGCAGCGUCAUUCAUGUAGUUGAUAUCUGGGGACCCAUAGUAAGUACCGAAGAAUAUACAAAAGAAUGUAUAAAUUCAUGAAUAAUUAUUCGUACCAGAUGAUUAUGAAUGAAUGAAUAAUAAUUUGGAAGAAAUGCCAAAAGAAUGAAAGAAUCUGGAAUUAUUUGUAAAGAAUGAAAAUAUUAGCUCAGCAAUAAUUGCAAAGAUGUAUUUCAUUAAAAUAAACGUUCAGACAUGAGCCUAUUUCACAAAGGAAUUUCUAUCAUUUUUAGGCUAAAAACAACAAAGUGUUCUGAACAUUACUCUAAAUAAGCUCUAAAAACUACAGGGAUUUCUUCCGUAAUCUAAUUACUUAGAACACUCCCAGGGCUAUAAGGGCGGAUAUCUAACAAGGUCCCUUCUUUAGUUGCUUUUCGUCAAUGUGAACAUUUCCCACUCUUCUUCAUGCAUUGCAUUCACCCCAUUAUCAAUUAUGAUUGGGUAAUGGAUUUUCUGCACUGGAGUCAUCAAACUUGACAACACCCAUGUUAAUGAGCCUUUUAACAAGCUUUUUAAAGACGGUGUAAUUUUCUAUCGAAUGUCCCCCAAUUCUUGCAUGAUAAUCACACUGUGCACUCGCAUCAUACCAUUUGGGGUACAGAGGUUGUAGGGGUUUAGAGUAGAAAGAGGCAAUAAUGUGCACAUCGAAUAAGCAUUGAUACAGCUCCUUAUACGACAUCGAAAUUGGUGUGAACUGGAGAUUCUCAGUACUUGGUUUCACUCCAGAUUCUUAUCUCAAUGAACCUUGUUGACUAGUGACCCAUUUACUUGGAUGACUUACUGACCUUGAGUAACCUAUGUUAUUCAUCUCAUCUUCUUUUCUCCUUGCGACUGAUUUUUUGUUACUCUCUCCACCCUCUAUUCUUCCAUUUCUGAUGGUGUUUUCAAUAAUUUCACCAUUCAUAAUUAUAUCUGAGAAACUCUUUAAAGUACUUCCUAAUAUGUGCGUGAUGAACGGGGCCUUCAAUGUGUUGAUAAAGAGCAUAGUAGUUUCUCUUUCUAGGAGCAGCGGCUGGACUUGAUAGUGACUUCCCUCCAUCUUUGUGCGUACUGCCUGAAACUCUCACUCGGUUUCUUCUCCAUGUUUUGUAAAGUGAUCCUAUCGGGAACCAUAUCUGUCACAUGACUGUAUUGCCUCAUGAAUGCUUGAGCUAGGUCCCUCCUUGAACCAAUCUUGGUAUGGCUCAAUUGAUUGUACCAUUUGGACGCUGCCCCUACCAAACUGUCUUGGAAGCAGUGUAUUAGCAGCUGACCGUUGUUAAUGUAGCCAGUCAUCCUUCUACAGAACAUAGUGAUAUGAGCUUCGGGGCAGCUAGUUCCAUUAUAUUUUUCAAAUUCAGGCAUUUUGAAUUUGGGAGGAAGUACUAAGUCUGGGACUAAGCUUAGAUCUUUAGCAUCAAUUCCCUGAUUACUAUCAGUGCUUUCCAAGGCUUUAAAUUUUUCGUCCAACCAUUUAUACCUAUCUUCCCAUUGUUUUGACAAUUCCGCGUUCGCCUUUCCUUCUUCAGCUGUUUCAUCAAAAUCUGGGACGGUAAGAUUAACUUGAUUAUCACCAGGGUUAGGACCUGAUCCGGCCAAAAAUUUUAUCGGUAUUGAAACAUCGGUUUAAAACCGCUGAGGCCCAAUUGAAACAGAGGAUCUGCGCAGAGGUACCUCGGUCUUAACUUGCGUAUGCAGAGGCGUAAAGCCUGGAGGAUAGAUAGGUCUAUCCUUGUCUUCUUCUUCAUCAUUUACCAUAGGACCUUUCCCCUUAUUUACUCCUUUAGUCAGUAGAUGGGUCAAUUCAGCCAUCGCAUCUUUUUGAGCCUUGAUCAAAUUUUCCAUCAUGUCUUCUAGGAUUUUAUCUAGCCGCCAUUGCAUUUGUACUUGUAACUGUUCUUGCAUAUCCUGUUGCAUUUGCUUCAAUUUCUCUAAUCUUUGAUCCAUUUCCUUAGUUUUGCGACGAGUACCGUAAGGAUGUUUGGUUGGUUGGUUGGUUUUCCAGAUUAGCUGAAAUAAAUUUACUCUAUUAGACUCUUUCAAUGAAUUUUAAUGCAUAUCAUGCAGAUGUAUGAAAUGCAUGCCUAAAGAGACGUUGAUUCUGAUUCAAUUACAUUUAGGAAAAUUUUCUAGAAGACAAAUUUCUUUACAUAAAGCGGAUAUAUAUACGGCCUCGCCCUUAUAUUCCAAGAGACAACAUCGAUCCCCUCCUAUAUGUUAAAUCUUGCUAGUUUCCAAUGAAUGUCUCUUAUUGCUCCUUUUCUUGAUCCUGGUCGCGAUCCAUCAUCUGCCCAUCUUCAUAGAGCUCGUUAGCUUCUUCAAGGGAGUUGAAACGUUGAAGGCCCUUGGACAAUCGUCUCGAACCUUUAGGCCACAAAGCAGAGGUCACGAACUCUUUUAUCACCCUUCUUGUGUUUCUCAGAAUAUAUUCAAACAGCCAUAUUAUUUUCCACUUUAUCGAGGAAUCCGUAUUACAUGACAAGCUUUCUAAGUUAGUAACCAAACUUGAAUCAAUAUCUAUUUCCUAAGAUGCAAAUGCAAUGCAAUCAUAAUCAAAACAAAACAAGAUGGGUUAGUACAAAACAGAAGCAAACAAGGAAAACAAAAAUACCUAGUCAGGUGACCACUAGGGGUUUGGAAUGGCUCUACCUAGGAUGGGUUCCUAAGGUCUUCUAUAUGCGGUUUGGCUCUAAAGUUAAGGUACCCGAACCAGCAGAUUCCUCGAUCUUCACCCAUUAUAGACUCAUACAGAUCGAGUUCGGUUCAGGGGAAUACAUUUCCCUAUGGCUGCACGGAGAUAAAAAUCUCACGAAGACAUAGGUACAGAUGUAUCUCGAAAGUGAUCCACUAUCCUGCACGGAGGUGAAAACCUCACGAAGGAGUAGCUUCUCACUCCCACUUAAAAGGGGAAGACAAAACAGUCUUUAUGCAAUAUGAUGCCAAGAUAUAGAGCUCAAUUUACAGUAAUCAUGCAAACAAAUGCAAAGAGAAUAUCGUAAUUUUUCAAAAUCAAAUUUUUAAUUUUCAACAAUAAGACAAAAGACAAUCAAUUUUGCGGCUUGACUCUUGAAUUCCCCAGUGGAGUCGCCAAGCUGUCGAAACCAUUUUUUAAAUUAGAAAAAAGGGGGAUCAACUUUGAAAAUAUAAUGGGAGUCGCCACCGAUCUUUUUUGAUAUGCGAUCGGAUCACCUUGAAAAUGAUUUUAGGUCUGCAAAUUUUGAUAAAACAGGUUCGGAAGUCGGUUACGCACGAGGAAGGGUUAGCACCCUCGUGACGUCCAAAAUUGGUACCGAAUUGAUUGUUUAAUGUCUUAGUAUCGAAAACUUGAAAAGAUUUUAAAGUACGAUCCCUUGAAUGAAAUGAAUUGGAUGAUGAGACUCAUUUAUUUCAAAGACAUAGAUUGUCACACCCAGUAAGUUAGAGUGUAACAUUUUAAAUCCGCGAAAUUAAGUUUAUCUCUUAACUUUUAAAACUUAUGCAUUUUGAGAAGGAUAUCUGAUUAUUUGGGUCAAAUGAGAGAAUCGAAACCCAGUAAGUUAGGGUUCGAUUUCACAAAAUCCCUAAAUAUCGAACAUUGCCUUUAUUUUCAUUUGUUAGAAAUCCUCGUCUCGAGAAAACAACAUGUCAUAUCCAAUGCGUUAGGACACAACGUAUUGAAUUCUCGAGAAUGAGCUUUUUAUUUGUAUGUUAAUUAAAAGAUAUUCGGAAUUUGUGAUCCUCGAAAAGAUUGUGUCCUAACUCACUAGAUUUCAAUCUUCCUCGGGAUCUAAGAAACCGAAUAUCUUUUAAUUAACAUACAAAUAAAAAGCUCAUUCUCGAGAAUUCAAUACGUUGUGUCCUAACGCAUUGGAUAUGACAUGUUGUUUUCUCGAGACGAGGAUUUCUAACAAAUGAAAAUAAAGGCAAUGUUCGAUAUUUAGGGAUUUUGUGAAAUCAAACCCUAACUUACUGGGUUUCGAUUCUCUCAUUUGACCCAAAUAACCAGAUAUCCUUCUCAAAAUGCAUAAGUUUUAAAAGUUAAGAGAUAAACUUAAUUUCGCGGAUUUAAAAUGUUACACUCUAACUUACUGGGUGUGACAAUCUAUGUCUUCGAAAUAAAUGAGUCUCAUCAUCCAAUUCAUUUCAUUCAAGGGAUCGUACUUUAAAAUCUUUUCAAGUUUUCGAUACUAAGACACUAAACAAUCAAUUCGGUACCAAUUUUGGGCGUCACGAGGGUGCUAACCCUUCCUCGUGCGUAACCGACUUCCGAACCUGUUUUCUCAAAAUUCGCAGACCUAAAAUCAUUUUCAAGGUGAUCCGAUCGCAUCUCAAAAAAGAUCGGUGGCGACUCCCAUUAUAUUUUCAAAGUCGAUCCCCCUUUUUUCUAAUUUAAAAAAUGGUUUUUACAUUUAUUAUAUACUAUUAUUUUGGAUUUAUCACGUAUGAUUAUUCUAGAAUUAUCAUCAAAAUUUUUAAAUUUUAUAUGUAUUAUUAUUUCAAAUUUAUUAUAUAUUAUUUAUUGUAAAUUAUCCAAUUCAUUUCAAAUUGUAGAUAUUAUUUGUAUUAAAUUGUACAUUCAUAUAUAUUAUUUGUUUUAAUUCAUGUAUUGUUUUAAACUUCGUUCAUAUACGUACUAUUUAUUUUGAAUUAUACAUAUUACUUAUUUUUUAUAUUACUUUUCUAUAUAAUGUAUAUUCUAAUUUUUCUUCAUACUUCAUUUGCUUAAAUAUUUUUGUAUAUUGUGUUUUAUUAGUUGUUUUAAACAAUUUAUUAAAUGAUUUAUUUCAAUUCAUUUCACGUAUUCAUUUUAUCUUAAAUUGAUUUGCAUAAUAGAUUUUUUUAGCCUAUAACUUCAUGUUGUUUUAUUUAUGUACCCUUUCUUUGGAAUUAAGUUUGUUUUAUAUAUUAUUUCGAGUUCGAUAAUUAUUCUACCCAUGUAUAUUAUUCCAUGUUCAGACAUUUACUUUUCAGUUCCGAACAUUACAUCAUAGUUAAAAUUUUCGAUUUAUUUGCCAAAAUUUGAUUAUUUCAUUUCUUUUCAUCUCAAAUAAAUCAAGUUUAUAUCAUUGUUAAUAUUGCAUUAAACCUUCGCUUUGAUCCAAUUUCGUAAAAAAGGGAAAAUGAAGUUUGCAAUAUGUCGUCUUUGGAACGAUGAGAAAUCGUGCUCUAACUUACGGGGUUUCGAUUUUCUCAUUGAACUAAAACGACUAAACAUUUUAGUUUUCAAAUGCACAAAGUUUCAAUAAAGAUUUUUUAAAAGGUUAGCUUAUGCUCGGGAAUUCAAACGUUGCAUCUUAACUUACGGGAUACGACAUCUUGUUGCCUCGGGAUGAGAAAUCCUUUUACAUUCGUUCAAAUCUAUCCAAACAUUGUUUUAAAAUAUGGCAUUAAUAAAAGGGGAAUCGUUUCUAAUCUUUUCAAAUUUUUUAUGUUAGACUUUAAGACAUUAAUAAAUCAAUUCGGUACCAAUUUUAGGCGUUACGAGGGUGCUAACCCUUCCUUGUGCGUAACCGACUCCCGAACCUAUUUUCUCAAAAUUCGCAGACCUAAAAUCGUUUUUAAGGUGAUCCGAUCACACUUCAAUUAAAUAUCGGUGGCAAGUCGACCCUGUUUUUUCAAAAUAAAAAUGGUUUCGACAUGAUGAAUGGCGUAAGCCAUUAUCUAGGUCUACUUAAUACGACGGCUUGGUUUUGUCGGCCGAAAGGAAAUUACCUUAUGGGUUUUGCUUCGCCCAAAUGCUAGCAAAGUCUUUGUACGCAUUUGUUUGAUUGGAAAAGUGAGAAAUAGAUGAACAUGGUAAGCACAAAUUCUAGACAUUACCAUAUCACCUAUAAAAUUUAGUUAUCUUUUUAAUUUCUUUUGGCGUAUUAUGAAAAAAAAAAAAAAAAGUAAAUUUCUAACAACGCCGUGAUUAACACGACUAUUGGCUGUAAUUUUCAAAGGACAUGAACCUUGAAGAGGGACAAGUGUAGUCUCUUGAUGAUAAAUGUGUUGACUGUCAACUUGCAAAACCCAGAUUACCAUAACAGAUGCAAAAUCUGAUCGGUGAACAUAAGAAAAUGGAGACCAUGGGAAAACUUCUAAUCCUGCUUACAGCUUUUUUAUGCCUCUACCUCUUCGUUGCUUUGCUCAAUGUUUUCUACAAGUAUUGGUGGAUACCUCAACGGGUACAGUUCAUCAUGAAUUCACAAGGAAUCAGAGGACCUCCUUAUGAAUUUAUCCAUGGAAACAACAAAGAAGCUGCCCAAAUGUCCAUGGAAGCAUCUACCAAACCUAUGGCCUUGACGCACGAUAUAUUUCCCAGAGUCGUGCCUCAUGUUUACUCCUGGAUCAACAAAUACGGUUAGAAUAUUUUUUUCUUUUUUCUUUUUUGGGUAGUAUUUUCUAACUAACCUCCACUUUCCAUGAAGAGAAAUCGUUUUCUUUCAGGGAAGACUUAUCUUAGUUGGAAUGGAAUUCGAGGUCAACUGCUAAUUUCAGACCCAGAUCUAGUCAAAGAGGUCCUUAAAAACAGUGACAAAGCUUUUCGAAAGCCAAAGAUUUCAUAUUUCUUCGACAAGCUAAUAGGCGAUGGGCUUGCUUCAACCGAACGUGAGAAAUGGGCAAGGCAAAGGAAACUGGCCAAUUAUGCCUUUCAUGGGGAGAGCUUAGAAGUAAAUCAUCUCUACCUUCUAAUCUAAUUAUUGUAGUGGGACAUUUACAAACUUGAUAAUUUUUUGCAGAAUAUGACUCCAGCAGUAGUUGCUAGCGUUGAAACCAUGCUUGAGAAAUGGAAAAGUAAGGAGGGCAAAGAGAUAGAAGUGUUCCAAGAGUUCAGAUUAUUGACUUCAGAAGUGAUAUCCAGAACCGCCUUUGGUAGCAGUUACUUGGAAGGGGAGAAGAUUUUUGACAUGCUGAUGAAGUUGACAGUAAUUGCGGGCAGAAAUAUUUUAAAAGCAAAGAUUCCCAUCAUCAGGUAACUUCAUCAAAUCUUUACUUUGUUAAUCAACAUACUUCAGCUUACAAUGGGUUGAUUUAAUCUGGUUGUCCUUUUCAGCAAGUUUUGGAAAUCUGCUGAUGAAAUUGAAUCAGAAAGAAUUGCCAAAAUGAUACAUGAUUCUGUGAUGAGGAUUGUUAAAAAAAGGGAAGAGAGAGUAGUGAACGGAGAAGCUGAUAACUUCGGUCGUGAUUUUCUGGGAUUACUUGUAAAUGCUUAUCAUGAGGCGGACCAGAAAAACAGGCUUUCGAUUCAAGAUAUGGUAGAUGAGUGCAAAACUUUUUAUUUUGCUGGGCAAGAAACAGUCAAUUCCUUGCUUGCAUGGGCAACUCUGCUUUUAGCAAUACACACCGAUUGGCAAGACAAAGCAAGAGCAGAGGUGAUUGAGGUCUUUGGUAAUCAAAAGCCAGAUUCUGAAGGGAUGGCCAAAUUAAAGACGGUAAGCAAACUAUACAAAUUCAAUAGCUUGAAAACUAGCACUGACCAUUUAUAUUGCCUUUUGGAUUUCUUUUUCUCCAACAGAUGACCAUGAUUAUCAAUGAAACUUUACGGCUCUAUCCUCCUUUAAAUCGCGUGAUAAGAGAAGUAGGAAGAGAAGUCCAAUUAGGAAAACUUGUCCUGCCUACUCAUUUAGAGGUCGACAUGCGAAUCAUAGCACUUCACCAUGACCCUGACUUAUGGGGAGAUGAUGUUAAUCUUUUCAAACCAGAGAGGUUUGCUGAAGGGAUAGCAAAAGCUACUAAGUACAAUGCAGCUGCAUUUAUGCCUUUUGGAUUGGGAUCUCGAUCUUGCGUUGGCAUGAGCUUUGCAAUCACUGAAGCGAAAACUGCACUUUCCAUGAUUCUGCAACGCUACACUGUCACCGUCUCCCCUACCUACGUUCACGCUCCUGUACCAAGUCUUACACUCAAGCCACAACAUGGGAUGCAGUUGUUGUUUCAUUCACUACAUUAUGAUGCUUAAAAUUCUAGGCUGUUGGUCUCCAAUAUAGUAAUAUAUAAUAAAAUGUGGAUGAUACUGUAUUUUGCAACCAUACGAUGAUAUAUGGUUUGGGGAUUUCAUGUUUUGGCAACAGGAUUAUAUGCUUUUUUUUUUUUUUGUUGAUAUUGUUAAAGGUUAAAAGGGUAUUACAGCAAACAUCGCCACCGCAGGAGCAGGCCCUACAGUCCUGUGAAUAACAUAAUUAGGUGUCUUUCUUCCAUUACUACUGCAGUAGUGAGGUUUUUAUUCCACUUAGUUCCAUUCUUCCGGAGUGUCUGCUUGAAACACACACUCCUGGAGCCGGCCAUUACAUUGCUUGUUUAGCUUUCAUGGAAGGCUCGAAGCUCAUUAGACCAGAAACAUUGUUCCUUUGCCUAUGUAUCUUUUUGACAUAUUCUCUUAAGGAAGAGCUACUUAUAUCAAGGCUCCAUCUUUCUGAGUUGCAAGGCAAAAGUCCGUUCUCCAUGAAAAACCUACCCAUUUCCACUAAGUCCCCGUUCUCCUUUGCUUCUCAGAUGACUUUUGCAAUAAAAAGUCCUUUUCCCUUAAAAGCAAUGGAGAAUAGACACCAUUUUAGAAUAAUUUUUAGCUUAAAAAAAGUAUUUUUUGGUAGAUGGAGAAGUUGAAAAUUUUAACUUUUCUUCAGCCAAAAGUGAUUUUGGGUGAUAAUUUCCUUUUUUAACCUAUCUUCUCCCAAAAAAGUUUUUUUCUCUGGUUCUUUGGAGCUAAACCUAUACCCAUUUUUUUCACAUUUUCUCUUUCAAAGUUCUUUCUUCUGGUUCUUUAUUCCUCUUCUGCCGGUGAGUUUCUUUUCUUCUUCUUCUUCUCUUUAAUUAUUCAUUAUACUUUAGUUUUUAGUUGUUUUCUGAUUGUUUGAUUUUUAUAGAAAUUUUACAGAAAUUAAUUGACUGAUUUUACAGAAAUUCUAUCUCCUUAAAAUCAUUUUAGAAAGUUUCAGAAGAUUACAGGAAACAAAGAAGCAAAAGAAACACAAAGCAAAAUAUUAUUAUUAGUAAUGCAUGCGAUUAGAAUCAUGAAAAGUAACUCUUCCAAAAGAAAAAAAAAGAGGGAAAAUUCUGGCUUAGUUGUAUGGUCAAAGCAAAAAAAAAAAAAAAAAUCCCCCAAAACUUCAAAGGAGUGUCAAACAUGAACUCUGAGAUGUGUAGGCCCUACCAUUUAAAAGUUCAAACAGGAAUCUUUGUUGACUUGGUUGGGACUUAAACAAACUAAAAGAUUCAAGUUAUGUUGCUUACAUUGAUUCUUUGAGUCAUUGUAAGCAUGGAGAUAAUCACUGAUCAAAUAAGGAGGCAUAAAUAGCACUUACGGUGUCAUUGUUGCCUCUUUUGCUUUACUGCUUUGCUCUGUUUUGUGCCUCUGCUGCUUUGCUCUGCUUUGCUUUACUGAUUGUUAGAUACCCAGGAGUGUUUAGAGUUAAACCUACAGGCCCAAACUAUUUUAGUUGAUGAAAAUAAAAGAAAUAUAGACUAAAUAUUUGAAUAUUUAAUAGAUUAAAUACUGAUUGUUUUACUGAUUAAAUACUAUUUUAGAGUUUACUGAUUACUUUACUGAUUGCUAGAUCCCCAAGAGUGCAUAUCAAUUUGGUUGCCGAUACAUAUUACGCUCUAUUCACUUCUAUAUGAUAGAUUGAAUAUUUAAAGGAGAGAAUAAUACUAAACUUAACUAUAGACUUUAAGUGCAUAUUGAGAGGAGACUGCUAUAAACAUGCAUUAGAGGUUGAUUAGAAAAAUAGAGCAAUUUUGAGUAAUGGAGAUCUAAGUCACAUAGAGAAUUCAAUUAAUAAUAGAUGAAGAGAGUUAUGGACCUGCUAAACUGUUAGGAUUGUCUUCAGAUCACUGAACCACCAAGCAAUUCUUAUUGAUCUUAUACCUGAAAAGACAUUAAUGAGUUCCAACCUGUCUCUACAGGCACAAGUAUGAACAAAUACAAAAAAAAAAAGGAAAAAAAAAAGGAAUUUUAAUUUAUACCAAUGCAUGCUGGGAAAUAUAUGCCUUCAUUCAAUAUAAGAGCUAAUAUACACAACCACUGCCUACAACUAUAUGCAUGGUCAAGCAAAUACUUUAUCAGUAUACAUACAUAGGCCCUAACAAUUUGAAGGCCAUACAUGCUAUAACCCACAUGCAGAGUGUUGUUCAUCACAAAAAGGAAUGCAAAUAGUAAAGUUUAAUACCAAUUUUUAACCCUUUGAAAUGUCGGUAACAUAUCAACAAAAGUGAACCUUCAACAAAAAAGAUGCCACUAACCUCUCCACAAAAUAGGAUGCAAUAGAACCAGUAACAGCAUGUGCAGGAGCUAGCUUUCCAAGCUUUUCCUCCAAACCUGGAGUUGUAGCCUGUAAUAGAAUUAAAGUUCAACAAUACCAUUAUUCAUUGAUUAACAUCGAAAAUAACAACCUUAACAUAAGAAAAAUCAAUGAAAAAAUUCAAAGAUUGAUAAAUAAACUACAAACCUCCACUGCAGCUUUAGACCAAGCCCUUUGCUUUAUAUCCAUCAAGUUCAUCCCUACACCAUCAGUUGUAUCAAUACAAGCAUAAGCCCCUAAGAAUAGACAUGCCAUGAAAGAGCUAACAAGAGAGAUCCUCUCAGUGUCCUCAUAAGUUUCUUGUUGUGUCUCAAAUAUCUUCCGAAUUUGUGGUCCUGUAUAUCUCUCAUAAGCAUGAGAACCAGUAAUUUUAGACAACUCCAAUGCACCACUGACAGCUUUCUUUAUUUCUAUACACUGAGCAGUUGUGCUGCAGUCCAUCCAUAUCGGUGAUUCCUUCGGUUGCUUAUAGGCUUUAUAGGCUUACAAGAGUUAGUGUCUUAUAUGCUUAUUGUUGUCUUAACAUACCAAGGAGUUACUCUUCCUACAUUAAAAUGCCUGUAAAUCACAAGGAAAUGUUGUUGAUUGAUAAGUCAUUCAUUAUGCCUCUCGUUUGUUGUUACACUGCUAAUUUUUUAUGCUUUUGUUUUCUGUAAUGUGUAAGCUAUUAAAACUACAAUAAUAACGAACGCAAAAUGAUUGAAUGAAAUACUGUAAAUCACAGUAUGCUUUUUUUUUAUGCUUUAUCCUUAAGUUGUUUCCAUGCACUGCCCUGCUUUGUUUCCUUUCUACCAAUUGAUUUCAUGACAUAAAUGUACUAUAAAAAUUAGUAUAUAUGAGUGAACUCAUUUGAUUUAUUUAUUUGACGUUUCCAAUUUUCCAUAAAUAUCAGUAGUUGCAUUUGUCUCCAAGUACACUUUAGGUUUUUUCAAUUAUAAAUUCUUUAUUCUAUGGAUGAGAAUGGAUUUUUGAGUGAAUUUAUUGAUAAAAUCAGUAGUUAGUACAAUAUCUUUUGUAAAUGAUUGAUUUGGUUUAAUUUAUUUCCCCUUGACCUUUUUGUGAUUCAAGUGAUAGCUUUGCUCCUGCAGUUCUGUCUUUGGUUCUAAGGUUUCAUUUGUGAAUGUUAUUUGAAUCAAUUUAAUAUAGUAGUAUGGUAUUUUUGUGUUCUGUUGCAGGUUCUUUUCACCUACAAUAAACUACUUGACUUCAAAAGGGCACAAUCUUUACCUACCCUUGGUUCUUGGACUUGACAAAGUAAAUCCCAGGUUUGUGAGCUUAUUACGUUUCUUUCAUUGCUUCUGCCUUGGAUUCUGAAUAGUUGGAUAUAGUUAAUAUUUUGAUACACAUGUAAACAAAUAUACUUAUGUGACAUUUGAUUUUCUUGACUGCUUAACUGGCUGAAACGGAUCUAUUCGUAUACACAAUAGAUGAGUACUUCGGCAGUUGAAGUUAGUGGUGAAAAAGUAAAAGCAAUGUGGGAUAAGAGAUUGACAGAAAUAUUUUGUGAUAUUUGUAUUAAAGAGAUACUAAAAGACAAUAGGCCUGGUACUCAUUUCACAAAAGAUGGAUGGUUGAAAAUAAUGACCAACUUUGAGAAAGAAACGGGCAAGUGUUUUUCACAAAGACAACUUAAAAAUAGGUGAGAUGCCCUAAAAAAAGAAUGGAAAGCUUGGAAGAAACUUAAAGGCGACGAUAAUGGUCUAGGGUGGAAUCCUAUAAAAAGAACCGUUGAUGCAUAAGAUGAUUGGUGGGAGAGUAGGAUACAAGUACAUUGAUAAUUCUAAAUAUUUUUUGUUUUUUUUUCUUAUUUAUGAGGUUAUUGAUAAUUACUGUUAUUAAACUAUCAUUUUAUAUGUAGGUUGUGCCUGAAGCUCAAAAAUUUAGAACAUCGGGCAUUGAUCCUGAAUUCAAAGGGAAGUUGGACCAAAUGUUAAUGGGGAUAGUUGCAACAUGUGGUAAAGCAUGGGCACCAGGUGAUAAAGUAUGGGCACCUUCUUCUGGUACACUCCGUAGUGAUUUUUUUGAGGAUGUUAACAACGAAAUACCUAAAGAGAAUGAAGAAGAAAAUAUCAGAAAUGAUGUUCACAUUUUAAAUGAUGUUCACAUUUCAAAUGAUGUUCAAUUUGAUGGAAACGAUCAAAAAAGAAAAAAUCCUGAGAUAUCAAUGUUGACACCAUUUUUUUGAUAAAACGGGAUCGACUUAGGUUUUAGAAACGAAAACGAAAACGGAAGUCUCCACCAAUCCUUUUUGAUGAGGUGUGAUCGGGUCACCUCGUAAAGUGGUUGUUUUUAAUAAACAAUUUGAUUUUUAUGAAAAACAACGAUUUUGGUCCACGAAAUUCAGAAAAAUGGGUUUGGGAGUCGAUUACGUACGAGGAAGGAUUAGCACCCUCGUAACGCCCAAAAUUGGUACCUAGUUGAUUAAUUAAUGUCUUAGUGUCGAAGAUUGAAAAUUUUAAAGAAAUUUAAAAUACGAUCUUUUAUUGAAAUGUUGAAAAUUUUCGGGAAAGGCAUAUUUCACGUUAAUCGAGAAAGAGAAUUAUAUCCAAUAAGUUAGGACAUAAUGUCUUGAAUUUCUGAUACGCGAAUGAAUACCAAAAAUCUGCUUAUUUAAAAGAUAUUUAGCUAUCUCGGUUUCAAAAAAGAGAUCAUGCCCAGUAAGUUAAGACAAGAUCUUUUCUUAAUUCCCGAGAUCAUUUAAAACUUUGUUUGAAAUGAUUCGCGUAUUUAGAUUUAUCGAGAAAAUUGAAACCCCGUAAGUUAGGGUAUAAUUUUUCGAAUAUCAAAAUACGAAAAAUAAUUUUUGAUAUAUCGAGUAAAGUAAAACACGAUGUCGUAAAAAAUGCGAAAACAAAUUAUAUAGGAUACGCAUACGAAACAAUAAUGAAUAUGAAAGUGUAACAUAAUACGAAUGAUAGUGACAAAAACAUGAUAAAAAGGACGAAUCAAUAGCAUGCCAAAUAACUAGUGUAUAAGCAAAAUAAAAGUGAAAUAUUUUUAAAAUAAUAAUGAAAGCGUGAAUAAAUAGAUAAUAAUUGAAUUAUAAUUAUAAAAAAAAAGCAAUAGGAUAUAUGUAUAUGUAUAUGUAUAUGUAUAUGUAUAUGUAUAUGUAUAUGUAUAUAAAGUAUAAGAUAUAAUAAGGAAUAUGCAAGCAUGUAUAUAUAUAUAUGAAAAUUAAAAAUAUGUAUAUAAAGAUAUAUAGAUAAAUAAGAUAUAAAGUAUAUAGAUGUGAAAAUGAAAAAAUACGUAUAUAAAGAUAUAUAUAUAUAUAUAUAUAUAUAGUAUAGAAUAUAAUAAGUAUAUANNNNNNNNNNNNNNNNNNNNNNNNNNNNNNNNNNNNNNNNNNNNNNNNNNNNNNNNNNNNNNNNNNNNNNNNNNNNNNNNNNNNNNNNNNNNNNNNNNNNCAAAAGUAAAGAAUAUUCAAUUGAAAACACAGUGAAAAGCGGAAGGAAUAGGGUAGCAAUUAUACCCUAGUCACAAAACACGCGGAUCCUUCAGGUAAUGGGUCGGGUCACGCGUGGGUCGCGCGAAACGGCGCCGUUUUGGCGCUGAGGCCCCCAUGUGAAACAACGACGUUUUUCAUUUGGUAUAAAUGUUUAAAAAAACCCUAAAAAAUUAGAUUCAUCCCCUUUUUUUAAAAAAAAAAAUCAGAGAGCCAAAGCUCUCUCUCAAACCCCAAAUCUGUCCACAGUUGCCGGCUGUCCGUCCAUCGGACUGGCGCCGUGGCCGGUGGCCGACGACGGACCAAAUGUGCUUUUGAGCCCCGUUUUCGACGAUUUGAAGGCCAAUCCUUCUCAACCAAGAAGAAAACCGAAAGAAAAGACCCUCACCCCCUUUUAAGGCCGAUUUUGACGACGGAGAGAGGAUCCCCGACAACGUGGCCGCGGGACAUCUCAGGUGAGCCUUUAUUUUUCCUUUUUAUCUUUGUAGGUAGAAAUAAAAAUAAAUAAACAAAAAAAAAGUCAAGAACAAAAUAAAUAGAAAUAACAACCGAAAAUCACCUUUGAAGUUUUGUUUUUUUUAUUUAUUUUCUAAUAUGUCUGUAGUAAAAAAAAUACAUUGACUUGGUGAUGGCUUUUUCUAGCCGAAAUUGAUACAACAUUUUUUCUUUGUUUGUUGCUUGCGUUUUUGUUCUUUUCUUGCAGGUGAUUGACGGGCGCAAGUGGCAGAGGCGAUGAAGUGACCGUGGCGGUGGCGGCAGGUCAAGUGUGAGAAGACCCUAGGUGCGGCGCACCUAGGGUUAGGGUUUCCAGACCCUUUUUCUUGCUUUGGGCCGUGGGAAAUUGUGUUGGGUUGUAUUUGGGUCCGUUUGGGUUAGGGGUAGAUUUGGGCUUACUUUUGGUUUGGGUUAUUUUGUGUUUUAUUUGUUUGUAAUGGCCCCGGGUGAAAUUGGGCUUCUACAGCUGCCCCUCUUUGCUCGUUGUCGUGUAACAAGAACAGAGCAAAGACUAAGAAAGACCAAUUUCGCCCGGUCUCGUUAAUGCUCUAGUGCUUCUCUUCUUCAAGUAGCCUCCUUCUAAUCCACUGUGUCUUGUUGCUUUGAUCUACUCCACUGCACUUCAGAGAGAUACGACUUGCAGCUUCAAUCCACUCUGCUGCAACUUCAGGGGGACGAGAUUCGUGGUUUUAGUCUGCCCUACUGCAACGUCAGGGAGAUAAGACUUGAUGUUUCAACCUGCUCCACUGUGACUCUAGGGAGAUAAGGUCUUAAUAUGAUAAGAUCCAUUAUCAACAGUCUGCUCCACUACGACUUUAGGGAGAUAAGACUUGUAGUCGGUCUUCAAUUUGCUCCACUACUUCUUCAUGGAAAUAAGACUUAUAUCUUCAACCUGCUCCACCGCAACUUCGGGGAGAUAAGGUUUGCUAUCUUCAGUCUGCUCCACUGUAACUUCAAGGAGAUAAGACUCGUAAUGUCAACCUGCCCAACUGCAACUUCAGGGAGAUGAAGUUUGAUAUGAUCUACUCUACUAUAACUUCAGAGAGAUACGAUCAGUAAUUUAUAACUUCAAUCUGUUCCACUGCAACUUUAGGGAGAUAAGAUUCGUAAUUUCAACCUGCCUCACUGCAACUUCAGGGAGAUGAUGUUUGAUAUGAUCUGCUGUACUAUAAUUUUAGAGAGAUAAGAUAUGUAGUUUAUAGCUUCAAUCUGUUCCACUGCAACUUCAGGGAAAUAAGACUCGCUAUCUUUAGUCUGUUCCACUGCAACUUCAGGAAGAUAAGACUCGUAAUUUCUAAUAAAGUCCGAUGUGAUCCGUUCUACUGCAACUUCAGAGAGAUAAGAUUCAUCAUUUUGACCCGCUCCACUGCAACUUCAGGGAGAUAGGACUUAUAUCUUCUACUUGCCCUACUGGAACUUUAGGGGGAUAAUGUUAGUAACUUCAACCUGCUCUACUGCAAUUUUAGAGAGAUAAGGUUUGUUAUUUCAAUCUACUCUACUGCAACUUCAGAGAGACAGGGUUUGUAAUUUAUAGCUUCCAUCUAUUUCACUACAACUUCAAUGGAAUAAGACUUGCUAUCUUCAGUCUACUCUACUGCAUCCUCAGCAAGAUAGAACUUGUGGCUCCAAUAAAGUCUGAUGCGAUCUGUUCUACUACAACUUCAGAGAGAUAAGAUCCAUCAUUUUAACCUGCUCCACUGCAACUUCAGGGAGAUAAGGUUUGUUAUCUUCAACCUACUCCGCUACUACUCAGGGAGAUAAGACUAGUGAUUUCGAUCUGCUUCACUGUCAGUACAGGAAGACAAGAUCUACAACCUUCGACCUACUUCACUGCUACUCAGGGAGAUAAGACUAGUGGCUUAAAUUUGCUUCCCUACUACCUUGGGAAGAUAAGAUUCGCCGUCUUCGAUCUGCUCCACUACUGCUUAGGGAGAUAGGAUCUGUAAUUUUCAACCUACUCUGCUACUGCUUAGGGAGAUAAGGCUAGUGCUUUCGAUCUGCUUCACUGCCAGUACAGAAAGACGAGAUCUGCUACUCUUAGUCUACUCCGCUGCAAACUCAGAGAGGUCAGGCUUGUGUCUUCGAUCUGCUUCACUGCCAGUACAGGAAGACGAGAUCUGCUGCUUUUAGUCUGCUCCGCUGCAAACUCAGGAAGGUUAGGCUUGUGUCUUCAAUCUGCUUCGCUGCCAGUACAGGAAGAUGAGAUCUACUGCUUUUAGUUUGUUCUGCUGCAAACUCAGGGAGGUCAGGCUUGUGUUUUCGAUCUGCUUCGCUGUCGGUACAGAAAGACGAGAUCUGCUGCUUUUAGUCCAUUCCUCUGUAAUUUCUGAGAGAUAGGACUUGAUAUGACGACUUCAAUUCAUCUCACUGCAACUUCAGGGGUAUGGGAAACUUCAUUAAUAUGUUCUUUGGGGAACAUGACCUGUAAAGUCCAUUUUAUAAACCUAUUUAUGCCUAAUGAUUAGGAUGUUAUGAUCAGAACGAAUCAGAUUCUCCUAACUAGGUGUGUGUGAAUUAUAUUUGCAUGAAUGCAGAAUGUUAUGAGAAUGAUCCCUUUUUUAAUGUUAGGGUUGUCAUUGCUCGUUAUUCAUUAAGGCUCCAUUACCAACACGUCAGAAUGCCAUCUUGUUUGGCUGGUAGCACUCAUCUCUUACUUAAACGGAUUGCCCCCACUAUAAUCUUCAAAGUUCAAUCUGUUGUAAUCUUCAAGGCUAAGUCCACGGUAAUUUUUGGACAUAAAAUUUGAGCCAUCUUCCUUCCACUGAGUAAAAGAUCUGGCUCUUUCUCAAUCCUCUCCCACUGUAAUUCAGGGAUACAGGAUCUGAAUCUCUUUGGUCUCUUACACCAUUCUUAGGGUGUCGUACCAAAUAUUUAUGCACAAUUGUAGAACUUUCUCUUCUAAUAAACCUCUUUUUAUCACUCUGUGAUCAUUACUCAUUUGUUCAUUGAAGUUUUGUCACCAGCACGACAUUUUUCGUUUUGUUCAAUCUAUGCUUAGACAACAAAAUCCGAAGGGAUAGUCUUAAUUUAGACUUUUCCUUCUUAGACAUUUCACCCUUUAAACUUGGUGUACUCUAAACAAUAGUCAUGUUUCAGGUUCCUGUAUUGUUUAGAAGCUUUCAGAGUAAUAUGCAAAACUUCUUUUGCUUGAAUAUUAACAGCCCAUUAAUCUUUAUUUCAAUGGAAAAUGCUUGAAAAGAUUAUCACAAUGGGAAAGAUGAAAUUUUAUUGAGAGUAGAGCUCUAAACAAAUAAAUUAAUCAGGAUAGAAAAUUUUGCUAAGAUUCAAAAUGAAUAAGAUGAAAAGGAUUAUUACAAUGGAUAAGAUGGAAUUUUAUUGAGAACAAAGCUCGAAAUAAAUAAAUAAUCAAGAUAGCAAAUUUUUCUAAGAUACGAAAUGAAUAAGAUGAAAACAGGUGCCCCAGAUAUCACAGUAUGAGCUUUUCUGCAUAAGCUUCUUGAGGACCAUUUUGAACUUGAUAUGUGUCUAGAAGUCCUAAAAGACUUUGUUGAUGUCCCAAGAUGUAGCGUCUCACCUUCUUGCUAAUUUAGAGAGGACAAGGCCACCGCAUGUCCCACCUUUGAUCAAAAUUUAAACUGCCCAUUCCUGGGUUUUCAAUUCAAAACCCCUUUGGUCUCAAGGUGCCCUUUGUGGGUUUUCACCUUGGCCUCUCAUUCUUCUUUUCUUUUCUUUUUCCUUUCUUUUUUCUUUUCUUUUUUUUAACAUUCUUUGAUUGAAUUCGCCCUCGUAGGAUCAGGUAAGUCAUUGCUAUCCUUUCUAGUCGAAAUCAACACUUCUCCAGAUAAAGCCUUCAACAUAAGGUUCUUUUCAGUUUGAUAUCCUCUUUCUUCUAAAGUUCUUUUUGUAUGGAGAGGAUUUUCUUCGAUAUUAGGUCUCCUUCAUAGAAUUCUCUAGGGCGAACCUUCUUUGGUGAGCUCACGUCUUUUUUUUGUGGAUUUGACCAAGAUAGAUAACUUUGAACACUUCUCUUCAAUCGAGAUCUGAUCCAACACUCGAAGAGAAGGAAUCUUGACCUCAAUGAGCAAAACUACGAUGAGCCAAUGUGUUGCCCCGGCAGUAGUUUUUCCUCUCAUUUUUGUUUUGUUUUGUUUUUUAUUUUUGUUUUUUUUACUCCCACUGCGCCGUGCAUUUUGGGGCAAAAUGUGUUAAUCUUGAACAGACUGUAAACUUAUGACAUUGUGCUGUUGUUCAAUUUUAGUGCAUUGUUAGAUGUGCUUCUUUUUGGCAUUUCAAAUUGACACGUGAUUUUUCAAAAAUUCGCAGACUGUUGACCUUGCGACAUUGGCAUAUGAAGCAGCUUUUGCCUACUUAGUGAGGUAAUUGAUGACCAAAAAGAUAACCGUCAAAAACCUUAGGUAAGAUCAGCCUUAUGACAUUUGUGUCCCACGUAGAGAAAGGGCAUGGCUUCUAUUGAUUCUGUGUAAAAUAGAAUCUUGUUAUCUCGUUUUUAACAAAUCAGGAGAUAAGUUACAAUCUCAGUUAUCUCCAAAGGCUUGAGGUUUAAUCUGGACACAUAUCUUGCUCAAAAGGAGGUUCUGAAUCAAUAGUAGUGUUGCUCAUAUCAUUGAUAUUUAGAGACCUGUUAUAGGACGAAAGUAGAUCCAAAGAAUAAAAGAAUCUAAAAAUAUUUAUCUGUAUCGUAUGAUUAUGAAAUGGAAAAAAUAAAAGAAUAUUUGCCCGAAGUGAGAAACAAAGAUGCAUUUUAUUGAAAUAAAGAUGUUGGACAUAAGCCUAUCUCACAAAAGGAUUCUUAUUACCCCUAGGCUUAGAGAAAUAAGUGUGUUUUGGACAUUACUCCGAAUUAGGUCUAAAAUAUACAGGGAUCUCUUUCACAGUCCCACUAUUCAAAACACUUCCAAGUCUGUUCUUUUCACCAACCCCCUUCUUGGAUAUGAUGUUAAUGCUUUGAUAGCCGGCGAUUAUGACCCUCGGUUGGCCCACAGUGACCAAUUUGGGAUAUCUUUCAUUAUAUAUACUCAAGUUGCUUACUUCAUUUUCUUUGUUCUUUAGGGUUGAUCCUCUGACGCUUUCUCCCGUAUCUAUCUUCCCACUUCUUAUGGCAUUUUCACUCAUCUUGCCAGACAUUACCAUAUCUGAUAAGCUCAUGGUAGCGCUUCCCAACAUGUGGUUAAUGAAUGGGGCUUUCAAAGUGUUGACGAAAAGCAUCGUGGUUUCUUUUUCUAGAAAAGGUGGUUGGACUUAUGUCGCUACCUCUCUCCAUCUUUGGGCAUAUUGCCUGAAGCUCUCACUUUGCUUCUUUUCCAAGUUCUGUAGUGUAAUUCUGUCAGGUGCCAUGUCUGUCACGUAACCAUACUGCUUCAUGAAAGCUCGUGCCAAGUCUUUCCAUGAGUGGAUAUUGGCACGGCUCAACUGGUUGUACCAUUUUACAGCUGACCCGAUCAGACUAUCUUGGAAGUAAUGAAUUAACAGUUGAUCGUUAUCAAUGUAUCCUAUCAUUUUUCGACAGAACAUCGUGAUGUGAGCUUCGAGACAACUGGUCCCAUUAUACUUUUCAAAUUCUAAAGUCUUGAAUUUCGGUGGGAGUACUAAAUCUGGGACCAAACUUAAAUCCUUGGCAUCAACCCCGCAAUGGUAAUCAACAUUCUCCAUUGCUUUUAGUUUUUCUUCCAACCACCUAUACCGAUCUUCGAGUUGCUUUGGUAGUUCUACCCUUACUUCUGCCAUUUCGUCUAACUCAGGAAUAACAAGAUUGGUUGGAUCAUUCUUUGGAUUAGAACCUGAGCCUGUCGGAUAGUUCAUUAGCGCCGAGGUACCGGCCUGAUAUCGUUGGGGUCUGUUAGUAGUGGGUGCCCCUUGUAGAUGCGCGUCGGGUUGGGCCUGGACGCCUAUUGGGGUGAAACCUGGGAGAUAGGCAGGGUCUUCAUAUUUAUCCCCAGAAUUGGCUACAGGGUUUUUCUUUUUAUCUCUAGCUGAGAGCUGUGCUAAUUGGCUCAUCAAGCUCCUUUGGGAUUUUUGCAUGUCUUGUUGGAUAUUUUCUAGUUGUUCUUGCAUCUGGGCUUGCACCUGUUCUUACAAUUGCUCUAAUCUCUCUAGUCUCUGAUCUAUUCCUUUAGUUUUUGCUCAGAUACUGUAAGGGUGUUGGUUUUCCAGAUUAGCUGAAAUAAUUUUACUCAAUUAGGGUCUUUUAAUGGUCCUUAAUGCACAUGAUGCCAUGUAAUGCGAAUGCAUGAAUGCAAAAAAGACGUUGACUCUGAUUUAAUUCUAUUUAAAAAACUUUACUAAAAAACAAAUUCCUUUACAUAAAGCGAAUGCAUGUAUGGCCUCGCCCUCAUAUUCCAAGAAACAACAUUGGUCUUCUUCUUUAUCUGAAUGUUUAAGAUAAAUAUUGCAAAUUUCCAAUGGAUGCCACUACUAACUCCUUCUUGCUUGAUUCUGGUUGUGAUCCAUCGUCUGCCCAUCCUCGUAAUGCUCAUCAGCUUCUUUAAGGAAGUCAGAAUGUCGGUGACUCUCAAAUAAUUAGCUUGAAUUUUUGGGCCACGAAGUAAAAUGAUGUACUCUUCCAUCACCUUUCUUUUGUCGUGUUUCUUGGAAUGUAUUCGGGCAGCCAUAUUAUCUUCCGCUUUAUCAAGAAAUCCGUUUUCCAUGACAAACUUUCUAAUUUAGUAAUCAAACUUGAAUCAACACCUUUUUCUAAGAUGAAAAUGCAAUGCAAUCAUAACCAAAACAAAACGAAACAGGUUAGUACAAAGCAAAAGCAAACAAGAAAGAUAGAGUACCUAUUCGGGUAUCCACUAAAGGUUUGGAGUGGCUCUACCUAGGUAGAUUCUUAUGGCUCACUACAUGUGGUUCGAUUCUAAAGUAAAGGUACCUGAACCAACAGAUUCCUCAAUCCUCACCUAUUAUAGGCUCAUACGGACUGAGUUCAGUUCAGGGGAAUACAUUUCCCUAUGGCCAUGUGGAGAUGAAAAUCUCACGAAGACAUAGGUACAGAUGUAUCCCGGAAGCGAUUCACUAUCCCAUGCGAAGGUGAAAACCUCACGAAGGCGUAGUUUCUCACUCCCACUUAAAAGGGUGUGACCAACGGUCAUGCAAUGCAAUGUGCAGAAAUAUAUAUCUAAACUCAAAAUAACACAGUAUUUAUAAAACCACAAUGAUGAAGAUCGUAAUAAAGAUGAAUGAAAUACAAUGAAAGGAUAGUAAAUUUAAAUCAAAUUCAAUUUUUGACAAAAAGACAGAAAGUAAUCAACACGUGGCUUGACUCUCUUAUUUUGGAUCCCCAGUGGAGUCGCCAAGCUGUUGACACCAUUUUUUUGAUAAAACGGGGUCGACUUGGGUUUUAGAAACAAAAACGGGAGUCGCCACCAAUCCUUUUUGAUGAGGUGUGAUCGGGUCACCUCGUAAAGUGGUUGUUUUUAAUAAAUAAUUUGAUUUUUAUGAAAACAAUGAUUUUGGUCCACGAAAUUCAGAAAAAUGGGUUCGGGAGUCGAUUACGUCGAGGAAGGAUUAGCACCCUCGUAACGCCCAAAAUUGGUACCUAGUUGAUUAAUUAAUGUCUUAGUGUCGAAGAUUGAAAAUUUUAAAGAAAUUUAAAAUACGAUCUUUUAUUGAAAUGUUGAAAAUUUUCGGGAAAGGCAUAUUUCACGUUGAUCGAGAAAGAGAAUUAUAUCCAAUAAGUUAGGACACAAUGUCUUGAAUUUCUGAUACGUGAAUGAAUACCAAAAAUUUGCUUAUUUAAAAGAUAUUUAGCUAUCUCGGUUUUAAAAAAGAGAUCAUGCCCAGUAAGUUAAGACACGAUCUUUUCUUAAUUCCCGAGAUCAUUUAAAAAUUUGUUUGAAAUGAUUCGCGUAUUUAGAUUUAUCGAGAAAAUUGAAACCCCGUAAGUUAGGGUACGAUUUUUCGAAUAUCAAAAUACAAAAAAAAAAUUUUGAUAUAUCGAGUAAAGUAAAACACGAUGUCGUAAAAAAUGCGAAAACAAAUUAUAUAGGAUACGCAUACGAAACAAUAAUAAAUACGAAAGUGUAACAUAAUACGAAUGAUAGUGACAAAAACAGGAUAAAAAAGGACGAAUCAAUAGCAUGCCAAAUAACGAGUGUAUAAGCAAAAUAAAAGUGAAACAUUUUUAAAAUAAUAAUGAAAGCGUGAAUAAAUAGAUAAUAAUUGAAUUAUAAUUAUAAAAAAAGCAAUAGGAUAUAUGUAUAUGUAUAUAAAGUAUAAGAUAUAAUAAGGAAUAUGCAAGCAUGUAUAUAUAUAUAUAUAUAUAUGAAAAUUAAAAAUAUGUAUAUAAAGAUAUAUAGAUAAAUAAGAUAUAAAGUAUAUAGAUGUGAAAAUGAAAAAAUACGUACAUAAAGAUAUAUAUAUAUAUAUGAUAAGAUAUAAAGUAUAUAUAUAUAAAAAAAAUUAUAGACGUAUAUAUAUAUAUUAUAAAAAUGUAUGAUGGAUAUGGAUAUAUAUGUAUGUAUAACAAAACGUAUGUGUGUGUAUAUAUAUAUAGAUAACAAAAAUUUGAAAUUAAAAGGACAUAGUUGAGUAAAUAGUAAUAAUAAUAUUUAUAAUAAUAUAAUAUAAUAGUAAUAAUAAUAUGUAAAAUGAUCAAUUUAACAAUAAAUAACUAAAAUACCAAAUAAAGGGCUAGAUUAAAAACUAGGCUAGAAUAUGGGGUCAAAUCGCUAAUAAAAUAAAAGAGGGGACCUUCAUGAACGCGCACAUAACAUGGAGGGACUAAAAUGGAAAUUUUUCCUUCUCCUCCAAAACGCAUCGUUCCGGGAGGGACCGAAUUAAAAACGCAAAGAAAAAUGGGGUAAAAUUGCAAAAGUAAAGAAUAUUCAAUUGAAAACACAGAGAAAAGCAGAAGGACUAGGGUAGCAAUUAUACCCUAGUCACAAAACACACGGAUCCUCCAAGUAAUGGGUCGGGUCACACCCGGGUCGCGCGAAACGGCGCCGUUUUGGCGCUGAGGCCCCCAUGUGAAACAACGACGUUUUUCAUUUGGUAUAAAUGUUUAAAAAAACCCUAAAAAAUUAGAUUCAUCCCCCUUUUUUUAAAAAAAUUUCAAAGAGCCAAAGCUCUCUCUUAAACCCCAAAUCAGUCCAUGGUUGCCGGCCGUCCGUCCAUCGGACUGGCGCCGUGGCCGGUGGCCGAUGACGGACCAAAUGUGCUUUUGAGCCCCAUUUUCGACGAUUUGAAGGCCAAUCCUUCUCAACCAAGAAGAAAGCCGAAAGAAAAGACCCUCACCCACCUUUUAAGGCUGAUUUCGACGACGGAGAGAGAAUCUCCGACGACGUGGCCGCGGGACAUCUCAGGUGAGCCUUUCUUUUUCCUUUUUAUCUUUGUAGGUAGAAAUAAAAAUAAAUAAACAAAAAAAACUAAAGAACAAAAUAAAUAGAAAUAACAACCGAAAAUCACCUUUGAAGUUUUGUUUUUUUUUUUUUCUAAUAUGUCUAUAGUAAAAAAAAUACAUUGACUUGGUGAUGGCUUUUUCUAGCCGAAAUUGAUACAACAUUUUUUCUUUGUUUGCUGCUUGCGUUUUUGUUCUUUUCUUGCAGGUGAUUGACGGGCGCAAGUGGCAGAGACGGUGAAGUGACCGUGGCGGUGGCGGCAGGUCAAGGGUCAGAAGACCCUAGGUGCGGCGCACCUAGGGUUAGGGUUUCCAGACCCUUUUUCUUGCUUUGGGCCAUUUGGGCCGUGGGAAAUUGUGUUGGGUUGUAUUUGGGUCCGUUUGGGUUAGGGGUAGAUUUGGGCUUAUUUUAGGUUUGAGUUAUUUUGUGUUUUAUUUGUUUGUAAUGGGCCCGGGUGAAAUUGGGCUUCUACAAUCAAGUUCACAUUUUAAAACUAGAAGAAAGAAAUCCUCAAAGCACAUUAGAGGGGCUGCAAGAUUGUCCAGUCAAAUAGACAAAUUAUGCAAUGCAGCUGACAAUAUGAGUCAAGCCACAUCUAGUUUGACUCCUAUUAUGGAUCCAUAUGGUAUUCCACAAGCAGAUAAAAUGCUUGACAACAUGUCGAAAGAAGUUCCAAAAGCUAGUCCGCUAUACUUUUUCGCACUUAAAUUAUUGCUCAAGAAGGACAAGUGAAUUAUGUUUUUAUCAAUUAAUCCCAAGAUUAGAGCUUUGUGGCUUAAGACGGAAAUGGAGGAUAGUUGAAAAUUUUCUGAUCUUCUAGGGUUCAGAGAUAUCUAUUAUGUGACUAAACAACAAUGCUAAACUAGUUUUAUCAAUAGUUAUUUAUGUUUGGUUUUUGGAUAUUGAAUUUAUGUUCUACUUAUUUAUAUGUAAUCUAGUUUUAUCAAUGGUCGUUUAUGUUUGGUUUUUGGAUAUUGAAUUUAUGUUCUACUUAUUUAUGUAUAAUCUAGUUUUAUUAAUAGUUGUUUAUGUUUGGUCUUUGGAUAUUGAAUUUAUGUUCUACUUAUUUAUACUAAAUUAGUUUUAUCAAUAGUUGUUUAUAUAUGAUUUUGGAUAUAAAAUUUAUUCAUAGGUGAUAAGUAUAGUUAAGGAUUACAGCGGUGAUGAAAGUGAUGAUGAAAGGGAAAAGAAAGAGAUUUUACAACGCAUGGAAUGUUUUAACCAAUUAUUUGUUGUUGCAUCUUAUUCCUUGCAAUUAUAUUACGAGAAGUAUAUAUUGAGGCAACCAUGCAUGGAUUCUAAACAGUCAGGUGAGACAUGGAUCCGAGAGAUUCUUGACUGUCACAAAUCACGUUGUAUGAUUAAUUCACUACACCAAAACAGGAUUUUAGCGGCACUUUUAGUGGCGCUUGAACAAAAAAUGCUGGUAAAAAUCAAGCAUUAGCAGCGCUUUAUGGAAAUCGCCACUAAAAACCAAAGCCCAACGGUGUCGUUUUCUUACCUUUCGGGGCUUUAGCGGGUUUUUUGAAAAUGCGUCGCUAAUGCUCGGUGUUUUAGCGGCGUUUUUUAAAAGCGCCGCUAAUGCUAGGGCCUUUAGCGGCGUUUUUGAAAAAGCGCGGCUAAAAACAUUUUAUCUUAUUUGGUUUAUUUAUAUAAUUAAAUAAGAUUAAAUUUAAAUCUAAUUGAAUAUUUAAAAUCUUCAAAAAAAAUAAUGACACGUAGAAAUAAUUUGAAAUAAAAUAUCUGGAAAAAUUAAAAUACUAUUAUUUAAAAUAAUUUUAAAUUUUUUGGGUACAUGAUUACUGAUUUUUUUUAAUUUAUAUAUUAAAAAAUUUCUUAUAUAAUCGUAAAAGAGAUGGUAUUAAUUUUAAAAUAUUGAAUUAAUUAUCACUAUAGUUUAGGGUUUUUGGUUCAGGGUAUAUGAUUUAUUUAAAAUUUAAGGCCAGUUUAAAAGUUACUAUUUUAAGGUUUAGGGAGUAUGGAUUUAGGAAUUAUGGAUUAGGGAUUAUGGUUUAGGGGUUGGGGUUUAAGGUGUAGGGGUUAGGAAUUUAGAGGUUUAGGAGUUAGACGUUAGGGGUUGAGAGUUAAGGAUUCAAGGUUUAGGGAUUUAGGGGCCAAGUUAGGGGUUUGUGUUUAGAUUAAUUUUUUUAAUUUAUAUUUUAAAUAUGUUCUUAUAUAAUUGUAAAAGAGAUAAUAAAUUUGUUUAGGGUUUUUAGUUUAGGGUAUAUGAUUAAUUUAAGAUUUAAGGCCGGUUUAGGAGUUCAUAUUUUAAGGUUUAGGGAGUAUGAAUUUAGAGAUUAUGAAUUAGGGAUUAUGGUUUAAGGGUUUGGAUUUAAGGUUUAGGGGUUAGGGGUUUAAGGGUUAGACGUUAGGGGUUAAGAGUUAGGGAUUUAAGGUUUAGGGAUUCAAGGGUCGAGUUAAUGUUUUGGGUUUAGAUUAAUUUUUUUAAUUUAUAUUUUAAAUAUGUUAUUAUAUAAUUUUAAAAGAGAUAAUAAUAAAUUAAAUAUAUUGAAAUUAUGAGUGUAGUUUAAAUUAUUUAAGAGAUAUAUAAUAGAUAGAUUUUAUAUGUAUUGAAUGGUUAAUUUAGGGUUUAAGGUUAAUGUUUACUUGAGAUUUGUUAAAUGAUAAAAUUUUAUAUAAUUAAUUAAUACUUUUAUAUUUAAAAAAAUUUAAUUUAAACCAUUUGAUAUAUUUAAAUAUUAGUUUAAAUAGAAUUAAUAAAUAAAUUAAAAAAAUAAUAGAUUGAUAUGGAUAUUUAGGUACAAUUAUUUAUUUUGGAGAGGAUCAAAUUAUAAAAAAUAAAAUUAAAAUACAAAAAUAAAAUAAUUUUGUUCAAAAUGAAAAUUUUUUACACACUUUUUAUAAAAACACCGCAAAAAAUAAAUAAUAGCCCCAAAAUUUAACUUUAAAAAUGCUACAAAAAUUAUUUCACUUUAAAAAAUCGCGCCAUUUUACCCCAAAUUUCCCCCUGAAAUCCCUAAUCUUCCCAUGUCCGACAAUAUUUUCUCAGCUGCCACACUCCAACAAAUACUCUGCACUCCCAUGGCUGAAAUAACAACCCAAAACCUUUUUAUUACAGCGCCAACAAAGCUUUGCUCUUUAUCCAUCUAUCAAAGAACACACUACUCUGCAUCAUACACUGACGAAAAGAAAAAAUAUGGGUUUUGAGAAGGGAGCUUCAUUGUUGGAAGAUUUGGUAGAAAAAGCUGGAGGCUGUGCUGUGAUGGAUGGGGGUUUUGCUACUCAGCUUGAGAGUCAUGGUGCUUCCAUUAAUGACCCACUUUGGAGCGCUCUUUGCUUGAUCAAAGACCCUCACCUUAUCAAGCAGGUACCUUUCGGUCUUCUUUCUCAUUCAGCUUUGUUGGAAAAUAUGUACAUUGCUGUCCUGCAAAUGACUCCAUGUCAAAAACAGGGUAUAAAGUUUGAGACUUGGUUUUAGAUUUUGAAUCAACGUGGAGUGUUCAUAUGUGCAGGUUCAUUUGGAGCAUUUGGAGGCUGGUGCAGAUAUCUUAGUUACUUCAUCUUACUAGGUUUGUUUAUUAGUGUUUUUCAGAUUCAGCCGAAUGACUUGAUUUGUUAGGCUAAUGUGUGAUCUUCUGCCUUUCAUAUAUUCACAAUAUGGAUAUGGUGAAAAGGAUAGGAGCUAAAUGCUUCCUUUUUCUAUGCAAUAGGUCCACCACUUUCUUGUGAAAAGUCAUGGAAAAUAUUCUGAUUUUUCCCUAAGUUUGGCUUAUUAAUGAACCAGACGGAAAAUAAUGUAGUUAUCAUCUAUAUAUGUUCAUCUGCAAUGAUUGAUUCCUUGGAAACAAUCAACAUAUCUUUGUAGAAACUUGCCUACCUUCAUAUUAGGAAGAGUAAUUUAUUUGAGAUUGUAUGGUAAAUGAUAAACCCAAUUUUAAUUACAAUUAUUCACACAUUCCAGAUUUUUUAAUUGAUUUGAAUCGAGCAAUUAGACAUAAAAGAGUAAUAUGGAUUUAAAAAAGAAGAAGCAAAUAUUGCAAUGAUAGUGUUUUCAUAUUUAAUAUUAUUUAUAAUUUUUUAAAAUAAGUUAAUCCUAGAAUAAAACUAUAAACCUCAUGUAUAAUGGUACCUGAACCUAAAUCAUCAAAGACCCAAUCUUAAGCAGCAGCUCAAAACUCGACAGAGGCUAAGGAUGAUGCUGCCUCUGGAGAGGUUGCACAAGCUGAAUAAGGAUGGUGGAGUUAAUAAUGCCACAGGAGCAGCAGUUGGUAGAGGCUUUAUACGGGAUUCAUCGGGCUGCUGGGUUAUGGGGUACAGUUGGAGUAUUGGUUGCUGCUUGAUGUUGCUAGCUGAGCAUUGAGAGCUAUAUGACGGCUUGUCUGUGCCUUGAGAUGCGGGUAUUCGGUGCUGGUGGUGGAAUCUGAUAGUCGGGCUGCGGUGGACCUUGUCACGGAUGUUACCAGGAAGGAGAUGUUGGAGCUCGUAAUGGCUGUUCGUGGCCUUUUGUCUUAGUCGUGGUGGGUAUUGGUGCGUCAUGUUCUGCGAGGUGCAAAUGCGGCAGCGGAUUUUGUCACCAAGCUCGCUAGGGAUUGCCCAUUGGGUUUGCAGCUGGUUCGGCACCCUCCUCCAUUUGUCAAACUCAUGGUUGAAUGGGAAGAGUAGGCCACCUAUUGUCAAUGACUGUUAACUUUGGUUGGCUUUUAGCCUAGGUUCAUUUUUGUUUUCAAAAAAAAAAAAAUUCAAUCUCAAUUUUAUCAUUCAAUCAAAAUCUUUAUAUAUAUAUAUGUAUAUAUUUUAUAGAUAUUUUUUUUACAUAAACUUUUUUUUAUCUACGUUUGUGGAUAUACAACAAUAAAAACCUGAUACUUUUUGAGCAUGCUUGUUAAGAUUCCAAUUGUGUAAGGAACCGAGAAGGGCCAGUGCAAAGUACAGGUGAAAGGAUUUCGGUCUGGUCCCAACUAGUUCGGGGUGGGUUAAACUCAAUACUGAUGGUACUGUUUCUGUAGGUGGUCUUAAGUCCGGGGUUGCUGGUUUGAUUAGGAAUGCGUUGGGAAAUGGGAAGUUGGCUAUAACAGAUUCAUUGGUGUGAGCAACGUUCUUGAAGUAGAACUGCAUGUUGUUUUGAAUGGCUUGAAGAUUGCCUGGGACAAAGGCUUUUAGCAAAUACUGUUGGAAUGUGAUAACCUUCAUAUUAUUAGCUCCUCUUAUUGGUCGAGGCAAUGAUGCAUUUAGCAAAGUUGAGGAAUUAAGUAGAACGAACUGGGUAGUGCAUGUUUCGUAUAUUGGAAGGAUGGUAAUGUGGCUAAAAUAGCUCUAACAGAUAGACCUGGGUUGCAAGUACCUUUAGACCCUUUUUCUGUUGUUCUUGACGUGUGGAGUGAUGAUGUUUCAGGCCUCUCUAGCUAUACAAAUGCUCAACACUUUUCCUUUGUAUUUUGUUGGCUUCACUACACCAAAACAGGCUUUUAGAAGCAGGUCCAGGUUUGCUAGCCUUUGAGACCAUUCCCAAUAAACUUGAAGCUCAGGUUUGUUCUUCCUCAUGUAUACUUUACAUGUAGGAAGUUACAUUCUUCAUUAGCUUUUCAAGUUUCUAGUGAUCACUGAUCCAUUCGUAAUCAAAGCCGAGCAGGGACGAGUGGCGCAUGUAUAAUGCACACUGGCUGCAAAGGUUAAUUAGCAAUCGUUGUGGUUCUUCUGCCUUUUGCGCCUCUCCCUUUUUUUUUGUUUUUUGGCUUUCUUGGUUCUCAGUUUCUCAAUUCUAUCCACAGUUGUAUGGGGAAACCAAAGCACUACCGACCUCCUGCAAGUUCUUUCGAACUUUAUUGCUUUCAAAUUGGCGGUUUAGAUUUUCAAAUUUGACUUAUUGUAAGGAUUUUUUGCUCAUAAUUUAUGGUGAAAUUUUACAGGGAAAGAAAAAGGAAGGAAAUGCUGCGAGAUAUGUGACGAGGUCACAAGCUAUUAAAAUCCUUCAAGUUAGCCUUUCGGAUUUUAGGUUCAUCUCUUCUUUCUCACUUUUAUUAAUUAUUAUUAUUUAAGCUUCCUUUAUUUGCCUUCUUUUAUCAUUUUUUUCAUGUUGUUUUUAGCUUCGAAGAUUAAUUAGCUAAUAAUUUGAAACUAUUGAGCUUCGUUAAGCUGAGAUUAGUUCAUCAAGUAGCAGUUAAUUGCUACUUUUGCUAACUGUUUUUUGCUCACUGAAGCAAAGAGAAGAAGUGUGUAUGGAAAAUAUUCUUAUUGCUAGCUUUUUACUUCAGCAUGAGUUUAUGACUAUGUUUUAAUUGAUAUGAUUUUGUUAUUAUUAUUAUUAUAAAAAAUCGAGGAUUUUAGUAAGAAAACAUAUAAAAAAAAAGCCUCAACCAAAUGAAACGCGUAUUGAUGGGGUUUGUUAUUUUUUAUUAAAUAUGGUUGGCUUCCUUUUUGCUUUAAUGGAUUUAAUACUGCAGGAAACUAUGCAUCCACAAAAGAGUAUUUCCGAGAGAGCCAAAGAAGAAAGUGAAAGGAAAUCAUCAUACUUACUGUCACUUGAAGGAUGUCAUGUACAUUCUUCAUGAUCCACUACUUGAGAAGUUUAGAGAAAUAAGGGCAUAUCAAAGGAAGAUAAAGAAAGCUAAGGCUAAAAAGAAGGAUGAGUUAGCAAAGCUUCUUCUAUCUCGUGCACCUUCUUACAGACUUGAUAUGGUCAUCCGCGAUAGGUUUGUGAAACAAUCUUUGUAUGUUUUAUUUCCUCUCGUUGCUAGUUGUAUCAAAUCUGUAAAACUUUUGUAUUAAAACUUUUAUAGUAAGCAGCAACAUAACUAAAUCACCUUAUGCUGAUAAUGAGAAGAUUUAUUGUUCCUAUUCCCUUGGCUCCAAUUUUUUUGGUUCAAAACUUGAUGUCUAAGUGCAUGCUUGAGUAUUUGGUAAUCAAUCCUGUGAAAUAGUUUCUAGUUAAGGUGGCAUAGAAGCAUAUAGUCCAGGCAUAGUCUGCUCUUACAAUUUAUGAUUGUUUUUUGGUUUCUCCUCUCCACAAACUGUCUAAUGUAGUUGGCAGAAUGAGAUGAUGUUAUUUAUGCCUAUACAUGCAUUUCUCUGUGGAUGGGUAACUUAUAUCUUUGAUUUGAGGCAUAGUUUGAUGACAGCAUAACUUAUUGCUGAAGUUAUACAGCCACGUUGUUUGCAUGCUGAUGACCAGUUUUGACAUUUAAGAUUUCAGCAUAACAUAAUUGUUUGUUAUAUAAUUUUUGUUUUAGCCUUAAUGGCUAUAUAUAAUUUUUAUUUUUAACAUCUCUAUUGUUUAUCAAGUUUGUCGGUUUAUCUGUUCAUUUGGUUUUGCAUCCUUUAGAUAUUGAAGGUGUUGUAGAGGAUUCAAUCUCUUCAAGCUGGAAAAGCCAAGGCUUAGCACUUCUUCAAGUGGAGUGUUUUUUAAUUUUUCAUUCCAUGGUCGUUUAUCUUAGUCGGAACUUGAAUUUGGUGUUAUUGAAACAGGGUUUUGUAGUUACCUUGUGUACUAGCUUCUUUAACCAUGAUUGUUAAUCAUUACGAGUUUUGUAAUUUCUUUUAUAUUUGGCCGAGUUAAUAGAGAUCAGAUGAGCUGUGAGGUAGAUUGCUCAUUUAUUUAAACAUAAUAUUUUAAUUCUAAAUUUAAAUUCAUUAAUUUUUAUAUUUAGCUUUAAAGUUAAAAUUUUAAUAGAAAUUUUAAUUUAAUUAAUUUUUUUAUCCUUAAAAGUAUAUAGUUUAAAGUUUAAAUUUCAAAAAUAAAAUAAAAUAUAAUAUUUAUCAUAGGAAUAAAUAUUAUUUAAUUAAAAUAUAUUUUUUAAAAUUCAUAUUUUUAGCGGCGUUUGUGAAAAAGCGCCGCUAAAAUUCAUUCUUUAUAGCGAUGUUUGUGGUAGAAGCGCAGUUAAAGGUCAUGGUCUUUAGCGGCAUUUUUGGUAGAAGCAUCGCUAAAGGUCAUGAUCUUUAGCGGCGUUUGUGGUAGAAGCGUUACUAAACGUCAUAAUCUUUAGCGGCGUUUGUGAUAGAAGUGCCACUAAAGGCCAUGAUCAUUAGCGGCGUUUUUUCACAUAAACGUCGCUAAAGUUAGCGACGUUGUCUACAGCGACACUUUUUGCGGUGCUUAUUAAAGCGCCGCUAAAAGUUUAUUUUGCUGUAGUGAUUUUAGGAUGUCUAAAAUGGUAUUCCCAAGUUUGUUGAGAGUUUUGGAGACAAUAUACAACUUGCAAACUUCAAGAAACAUAUCUUCUAGUGAAAUGUUGGGAAUUUUUUUAUACAUCUUGGGCACCGGUGCAAAAGGUUCCCAAUGUCGAGAAAGAUUUCAAAGGUUUGGAUCAACAAUAAGUUGACACUUUGCAAUUGUGCUUGAGGAAGUUUCAAGGAUGGCCACUGAUCUAAUUGCCCCCGAAGAUCUUUUUUUUAGCUCAAUACCCGAAUAAAUACGUAAUGAUUCUAGAUAUAUGCUCCAUUUUAAGGUCAAAAUAUUAUUUUAUAUUAUUAUAUUUUAAUAUAUUUGGUCGACUAAAAAUAUGCACGAGAGUAAUAUGAUUAUUUGUUCAGGACUGCAUAGGUGCAAUUGAUGGUACUCACAUUGCCACUAUUCUUCCAGCAAAUGAACAAAUUCCCUAUAUUGGAAGAAAAUGUAUCCCGACUCAAAAUUUUAUGGCAGUAUGUGAUUUUAAUAUGUGUUUCAUCUUUGUCAUGGUUGGAUGGAAAGAAUCGACACAUGACACUAGAAUAUUUCUUGAUGCAAUUUGAGAUCCAAAAUACAAAUUUUCGCACCCACCAAAUGGUUAGAUAUUUUAUUUAUAUGUGCUUUUUUAAAUAAUAAAGUAUAAGUUCUUUAAUUGAUAAUUUUUAUAAAAAAAAUUCUUGAAUUAAUUGUUUGUUAUAUUAUGACUUGUAGGAAAAUAUUAUCUUGUUGAUUCUGGAUAUCCUCAAAUGAAAAGUUAUCUUGGACCAUAUAGAGGUCAGCGAUAUCAUUUACCUGACUUUCGUAGAGGUAGACCAGUAUCUGGUAAAGAAGAGAUAUUCAAUCAUUCACAUUCAUCAUUACGUAGUGUGAUUGAACGAACUUUUGGUGUUUUGAAAAAAAUGGGUUAUUUUAAGGGAUAUGCCAAGUUAUAGUUUUGAAAAGCAAACGAUGAUCGUUGUUGCUACAAUGACGAUACACAAUUUUAUCCGAAAACAUGUCGGUCGAACUGAUGCAGAUUUUAUGAAAUACGAAGAUAUUAACUGGGCAUAUGAGAAUAUUAUUGAUUCAGAAAAUGCACAUGGUCGAGAAAGUGAUGAUGAUGACGACAACAAUGAUGAUGGUGAUGACAGUGAAUCAAACAAUUCAAGUGGUUUUGAAAUGGAAUUAACAAGAGAUGCUAUAACUUCUAGUUUAAUGAAUUCACUUUAAAUUGUAAAUGCUAUUGUAAAAUUUUUAGUAUUUAUAUUUGGUAUAUAAAUAUUAUCCCUUUUUAAAACUUUAAUCCAAAUAUAUGUGAUAUUUUAAUUUUUUAGGUUUAUGUUUUCUAUGUUAUGUUAAUAUCUAAUAUGAGUUAUAUAUUCAAAUACAUUUUAAAAUAAAAUAAUACAAAUGUGUCAAUAUCUAAUUACAAAUAUUUAAUUAUUAUAUUUAAAUAUUUAAAUAUAGUUUGUAUAUUCUAAUUAUAUUUAAUAAAUAAUUAAUAUUAAUUACUUAGAAAUAUUUAAAAUUAAUAUUAUAUACUAAAAUAUUAACAAUAAAUUAUAAUAAAUUAUUUUUUAUAUCUUUGCUAAAAUAUCAUAAUAUUAACUAAUUUGAACAUUAUUUAAAUACAUAUUUGUUACUUUAUAAUAUCAUUUCUAAAAUGGACAUUUUAUUCUUCAAAAGCACUUUUUGACAGCAAUAUCAAACACUCAAAAUUUUCAAAAGUACUUCUCAAAAGUACUUUUCCACAGCACUUUUCCAAAGCAAUGAAGAACUGGCCCAAAAGCACACUAGCUUUCGCCGUCUCAUCCGCAAAAAAACCUAAAAUGAUACACCAGAAACUCCCUCAAGACAGACAGAGCCAAGUCACUUUCUCGCUAAUCCCCAUCGAACCCUCCAAUUAAGCAAAGCCAUUUCAUAUUUCAACCCAGUGGGCACCACAAUUGCCUUACAAAAUUUACAAACUAAAAUGCUAAAAGUAAUCCAGAAAAAUACACAGCCCAAGCUCCAAAAUGCAAGAAAGUCCAUUUAAAAUAUGAGCCAAAUUUAGAUUUCAGUUUAAAAACUUGAAUCUAAUUCGUUUUUAAUUUUGUAAUAUAGUAUAUUCACUACAAGAAAAAUAUGAAUUGUCAACAUUAAAAUUUAUUGCUAAAUGUUGUAUUACCAUUACUAAGAGUUUAUUGCAACAACAAAAAAAUCGUUGCGAGGUCGUUGUGUAUACCUCUAUUGUACAAAAUAUGCACAACGAUUUUACAAAUUGAAAAGUCGUUUUAAUUAUAUAUAUUGCAACAACUUUUUUCAUUUUAAAAUAUAUAUUUUUUGUAACGACUUAAUUUAUUUGUAUAAAAAUGUUUUAGUUAUAGUAAAAUCUGUUAUAAUAUUUUUAACACAACCAUAAUACUUUAGUUACAAAAACUAUUACCUAACAAUAAUAUAUUGGUUGUAAUAUAAAAUUUGCAACAACUGUAAAUUAAAAUGCUAAGUUUUGUACGUAACAAUAAUAAUAUUGAUAUGUAAUUGUAUUACAUUACUCAAUGAUUAUAUGUCAUUGCCAAAAAAAUAUUUUAAUAACCAUAAAAUGUGGUUGCCAAAUCAUUUACUUAAGAACAAUACUACUGAUUACUAAAUAUUAUUCUGCAACUAUUUUAAUUUAUUGUGUACUACAUUGCUGUAACACCCCUAAUGUAACACCUCUUACCCGAGACCGUUUUUGGAGUCGAGCACGAGGCAUUACUUAGCUUAUCUUACUAAUUCGGAGCAUAAAAACUUGGUUUGAAAAUUUAUUUCACUAUUUACAGCAAAUCUGUCCACCCAUGCAGUAGUCACUUAUUUAAUUAUAACUCGAGUUACGAAACUCAAAAUUUAGAUCCGUAAAUUUUCCCUGAAAUUAGACUCAUAUAUCUUUUCACCAUAAAAUUUUUCAGAAUUUUUGGUUUAGCCAAUUAGUACAGUUUAUUAGUUAAAGUCUCCCCUAUUUCAGUGACCGACCAUCCUGACCUCUUGUCACUAAAAUUCAAUUAUCUCUUUGUACAGACUUCAUAUGGUGCUUCCACUUAUUUCUCCUGAAAAUAGACUCAUAAAGGAAUAUAUACAUAUAAAUUAUAACUCAUAAUUCCUUCUGUGAAAUUUUUAAUGAAUUUCUAAAGUCAGAACAGGGGACCUCAAAAUCAUUCUGACCCUGUCUCACUAAAAUUCAAAUAUCUAAAAAUAUACAACUCUUUUUCUUACUCUAUUUCUUUCAUGUGAAAUUAGACUCAUUCAGCUUUAAUUUAGUAUCUCACUCAGAUUCUAAUUCAAUUUCCACCAUUUUUGAUGAUUUUUCAAAGUUACCUCAAUGCAUAUAUCCGAAAACUGUUCCAUUGCAAAUUUUAAAAAAAUUCAAUAUAACCCCUUUGUAAUUAUCUAACCUUCCCUGCAAAUUUAAAUCACAACCAAUUCCAGUAUUUCAACUACUUCAUUUAAAUACUAAUGAAGUUCAACCAAUCAACCAUUUCAAACAAAAAAAAAACAUGUAUAUAUUUCGAUAUCUAACACAACCAUAACAUUCAAAUUUAUUUUGCAUACUUAGUCAUUCAUACUAAUACUUUUUACUUCAAUUCCCUAUACAUGCCAUAUAAAUCCAAAAAGUUGUUUAACAAAAUCUACCGGAGUAAAUCUGGAUAGUGUGAUCGUUGUUGUAGAUCCGAUCCUCCGAAAUAUAUAUAUACGUCAAUCUACAAGAAACAGUAAACACACACCAGUAAGCUUACAGAAAGCUUAGUAAGUUCACAGGCUCAUAAUAAUAUAUUACCAAAAUUUCACUAACAACAUUAACAAACAAAUAAAAAUUCAGCAUUUCCUGCCAACCCCAAUCUCAAAUAAUAAAUAUAUAUAAUCGUGCUCAAUUUCAGAUGUCAACUUCUAUUCCAACAUUUAGUUUCAAUUGCACUUACAAAUACCUGUCAAAUUAAGGAUCGUCUUACGGAAUUGAGUACAUCGUUUGCCCGUGCCACGAUUUGCUUGAACAUUUCACAUUGCUAUAAUUCAGUAUGGUUUUCUUCCUUGAAAUACCAUACCUACUUUUCACAACUUAGUAUGGUUUUCUUCAUUGAAACACCAUACCUACUUUUCACAACUCAGUAUGGUUUUCUUCACCGAAACACCAUACCUACUUUUCACAAUUUUCCAUGGAUCCACCAUGGACUUAUCCGUCAAUUCGUCGUUGGUUGCCAAACAUGUGUACUCAAUCCUGCGUAUCCCUUAAUUUGAACUAACAAUCUCAUCUUCUUCUCAUUUUUACCAUAAUCAUAAUUCAGUAACAAUAUACGAAUUUAUACAAUAUAUCAUUUCCACAUUAACAAUUAAUCAUAAAAAUUCAGCCAUAUGAACUUACCUGGGCCGAUUUGUAGAAGUUUUAAAAGUUCAGAAACUAGUUUGAUACUUUCUCUUUUCCGCGUUUAUCUUCGGAUUCCCGAUCUAUAAUAUAAAUUUUUCCAUUCAUUAGCAUCUAAUUCAAUACUAAUUUACUUCACAAUUUAUGCCUUUCAAUUUUCAAAAUUACACUUUUACCUCCAAAAUUUACAAUUUUUACAAUUUGGUCCCUACUCAAUUAACCCUUCAAUUGAUCAAAAUUUUCCCAAUUAACACUUUAUCCAACCAUUUUAGACUACUGAACAGCCUUUGAUAUUCAUAAUUUCAGUACAAAACCCCAAUUCCUAACUUUUUCACAAUUAGGCCCUAAAAAUCAUUUUCUACUAAAAUCAUUUUAAUAAGAUCAUAAUAUAAUGAAAUUAAGACUUAAAAUCUAUAAUAAUUCAUCAUAAAAUUCCAGAACUUAUUCAUGGUAACUUACAAAAUCACUCAUAAAUUCAAAAACUAACAAAUUCAAUAGUUGGACCUAGUUGUAAAAGUCACAAAACAUGAAAAUUUCAAAGAAAAAAGCAAGAAUUGAACUUACAUGAUGAAAAAUAUGAAAAACCAGCUUGAAAACUCUCUCCUAUUACGUUUUGGCUGAAGAAAAAUGAUGAUAUCUCUAGAUUUUUCACUUUUAUCUUUGUUUUAUAUAUUUAAUUUGUAAAAUUUCCAAUUUUGCCCUUAUUUCUCCUUACUUUCCUGCUGAUUUUUCUUGCCCAACCGUCCAGCCCAUAAAAUUUUGGGCCUAAUUGCCUUUUAAAUCCCUCCUCAUUAGUCACUUAAGCUAUUUAAUCAUAAUUUAACAAAUUUUACACUAGUCUCAAUUUAGUCCUUUUUAGUUAAUUGACUAACCAAACGUUAAAAUUUUCUAACGAAACUUUUAUACUAACUCAAUGACAUUCCAUAAAUAUUUAUAAAAAUAUUUAUGGCUCGGUUUAUGAACUCGAUGUCUCGACACCGCAUUUUAGACCCACUUUACCUAUUAAAUUCUUUUUAAAUCACAAAAUUCACUAAUUCAAAAUUCUUCUAAAUUCACACUUGACCCAUAAUUAUUAAUUUAUUAAAUUUUAAGACUCACUUGUCAGAUUUAGUGAUCUCGAAUCACUGUUUCUGACACCACUGAAAAUUAGGCUGUUACAACUAACCCGAAUCCGUCGUCAGAACAAAGUUAUGGAGCAUCACCGAAAUUUACAAAUUAAUUUUCAGACAUCUAUUUCAUCUAGCAUUCAUAUUUGAAACCAACCAAAAUCAAAAUAUUAAUGAGCCAACGUUGGCUAAAUUAACUUAUACAUGCCAUUAUAACUAGAACCAAAUCAUCCAAAAUUACCGAUAAAACCAAUGGAUAGUGUGAUAUAUCUCCGACAAGUUUCCAACCCAAUCGAGCUUCCGAUUAUCUGUAGGGUAAAUAAAAAAAAUAAAUGCGUAAGCAAUGAAUGCUUAGUAAGCUCGUGUAGUCUUUAAUCAUAUUAGUUCCUUUAAAAUAUGAAAUUUAUGCAUAUCAUGGAUAACCCAAAGUUGAUACCACAAUACCCAUGAAGCUAUAUUCAUCAACUUACAAGGUAAAUAAAUCCACAAUAUCACUUAAACACAUUAUCCCAAGCUUAGUAGGAUUUUAUAUAACUUUAUCUCUUCAUAAUUUCUUUAUUUUCAUUUUCAUUUCUUUACUUUCCACGCUUAUUCUAUAUGCGUGACACACAAGUCAUAAACAUUUCAUUCAACCAUAGUCACAAGCUAAUGCAUUUCCAAAGUCUUUUUCAAAUUGAUUACAUGAUAAGUUAUUUCAUAAGAAAUUGUAUAAUCUAAACCUUACCACUUUUUAGUGAGCGCUAGCAUAUUUUCACUUAAAUACUUUCCAAUUCAAUGCAUUAUAUAAAUAAUCAUAAUAUCAUUCAACCAAUAGCUUGGCACUUGCCUAAGCAUCAAGCAAGAAUACUAGUUAGUGUACUUGCACACAUUACAUAUAAACUCAUCAUGCAUAAUUUUCUUGUAUCAACAUAUUAAAGAUAAUCAUACAUUUACAUGUCAUGAUACAUAUCAUUCUCUUGUCGUUUCUUCAUAGACAUAUAUCAUUCAUUUCAUUAUUUCGAUAUUUCAUGUACCAUCAUUUUCAUGAAUUUCGUACAUACCAGUAAUAGUUCAUUUCAAAUUCAUGUUAUCUCACUUUAAAAUUUUACCCGUUAUAUCAUUUAAAUAUCAAUGGUUAUAUUUAUUUUAGAUCAAUACCAAUAAUAAUCUAUAAAUCUUUCAAUUCAAUCACAUAAGUCUUUUACCAUUUCUUUCUGAAUCGAAGAACGACUUACGGAUAUUAGUACAUCAUUCUUUGGUGCCAUAUUCCAACUAUGGUCUUGCACAUAUAAACACUGCCAUAGUCCAACCAUGGUCUUACAUUUAUAGUGCCAUAACCCAGUUGUGGUUUUAUCCAUCAAUUCAUCCUUUGUCACAGUACGAUUGUACUCAAUCCCGCGUUCAAUCCAAAUUGAGUAUUGAAUUCGAUAUUAUAUUUCCAAUAAUAAUUCAAUUUCAUAUUUUCUAUUACCCUUAUUAUUUCCCCAUAUUUAUCCCGUUGAAUUUCUUGGAAAUUCGAUGGAUUUUCAGAUGUACACUUUUAGUGUACAAUUCCGGGUCCGUCAAUUCAUAUUCAUGUGGGCACAUUUCCAUUUCAGAGAGCACACUCCUGCGAACCUCAUCCUUACAGCGGGAUUGCCAGUCCAGGCUAAAUCCCCUAUAAUAUAAACUCAUAGAGUAUUGUCGGGAUUACCAGUCCAGGCUAAAUCCCCUGCAACGACAAUUAUUGUAAUGAUUUUGGAUCUGAAUUAUCAGUCCAAGCUAAAUUCAGACCCUAAUUCAGAUUACCCGUCCGGGUUAAAUCCAUUUUCCACAUAUUCUUCGGGAUGGCUAUAUCAGGAUAGGAUCACCCGUCCGGGCUAGAUCCUUUUUACCGUCAAUUCCUUUUCAGAGAUCUAUCGAAUUUUCCUUCCAUUCAACCGGGAUUUCUUCCCCUUUUUAUAAAAUAUAUCAAUGUUUCAUCAAUUUUCAUACAAUGAACAUUCAAAUCAUAUUACAUUAAUAACAAACAUUUCAAGAAUUUAAGAAUAUAAUUCAAGUUACACGAACUUACCUCAUUACUUGUUCGUGUUUACAAUUUCACUAAUUUGAUGUCUUUUCUUUUCCACGUUCAAGUUCCAUAUUUGAGUCAUUCGGAUCUUUCUAAACAAAUUUGAUCAUCAUUUUCAUUCAUUUCAUAUUCUGAUAUAUUCAAUUAAUACUCUAGGCAAGAUUACCAUAUUGCCCCUAAGCUUUUAAUUAAUGACGAUUUUAAUCCUUGGGCUCAGAAAAAUAAAUUAUUGUAAUUUUAAUCCUUGUUUUAAGCCUAAUUAUUCCCAUACAUAUUGAUAACAGCCCAUGAAUUCUAUAAAAUAUUAGAAUUUUUCAUAAUUUCAACACUUUUCAAUUUAAUCCCUAAAACAUGUUUUCACCCGAUCUUGUUCUAAAUUUCAUUCAAUUUUGUAAUUUAAAUAAAUAAACAGUCCAUUUCAUGCAAUUUGGUCAUUUUUGACAUUUUUUACAAAUUGCCCAUAAAGUUUUACUUUUAUUCAAUUUAGUCCCUGAGUCUAAAACAUGCAAAUUAUCCAUGCUAACUGAAUAUUCACAUAUAUAUCUUCCUCAUCCUUCUCUUCAUUCCACUUCCUUAAUUUAUAUAAAAUGCUUAUAAGUAACAUUAUCUAUGAUUUCACAAUUUACUUGUAAAUUUAUUCAAAGCUAUCCAUUUGAGUCAUAAUCACUAAAUUAUUUUUAUCUUGAGCUACGGAACUUCAAAUUAGGAUCUGCUAAUUUUUCCUGAAACUAGACUCACAUAUCUUCUUACCAUAAAAUUUUUAGAAUUUUUGGUUCAGCCAAUAAGUACAACUUAUUCUUUAAAUUCACCUCUCUUCUGCUAUCUGACAAUUCCGACCCUUCUUCACUUAAAAUUAAUUAUCUCUUUGUAUAGAAUUUGGAUUAUGUCCCCAUUUUUUUCUCUUGAAAAUAGACUCAUUAAGGAUUUUAAACAUAUAAAUUCUAACCCAUAAUUAUUUUUUUACUUUUUAAUGAUUUUUCCAAGUCAGAACAGGGGAACCCAAAUUCAUUCUGACCUUGUCUCACAAAAUUUAUUAUAUCUCAUAAUUUACGAUUCUAUUGCUUACACCGUUUCUUUUAUGAGAAAAUAGAAUCAAUAAGCUUUAAUUCCAUAUUUUAUUCAUACUCUAAUUCGAUUUUCAUAAUUUAUGGUGAUUUUUCAAAGUGAGCCUACUGUUGCUGUCCAAAACUGUUUUAGUACAAUAUGUUUAUUACCAUGUUUAUAACACCCUUAUUUUCUUUCUUUACACUGUGUCUAAUCACUUUCUCUUAUUUUCUCUUCACUAACAUAUCAAGAACAUAGGACCAUAUAUACAAAAACUUUACAUUAACAUCAUUUCCAUACUUUUUCAAUAAUAUUAAACUUAAAAAUAUAUUAAAAUCUUAAUGUACUUACCUUGUCAUAUUGAUUUCAAUCUUUAACUUGAUUUUCUCUCUCCUCCAGCAUCUAUUUCUUGAAUCUAACUUGAUAUUCUAGCUCCCCAUAGUCUCCUUGUUAUCUUUCUCUUUGAUGGAUAUGGAAAUUCUUUUGAUUUCUAGGUGAAAAUGGUGAAUUUUUGGUGGAAGGACUAAAUUGUAAAGAAAGUAAAACUUUCUUUCUUUCUCUCUUUUCCUCACGUUAGUGCAUGAAAAAAAAUGGGUGGGUUGCAUGAUUCUUCAUCUUCCUUUUCUUAUAUAUAUACUAAAUAAAAUAAUAAUAAAAUAUUAAAAUAUCAUUUAAAAAUCAAAUUAAAAUACUAAUAAACUAAUAUUUAUUUAUUUAAUCAAAAAUAUCUCCAACAUCAUCAUCAUCUUCUAUAUUUCCCUCUCUUCUAAUUGAUCAUUUUGCCCUUUAUGAUCUUUUAAAAUUUUAUCCUUGAGUCAUCACUUAAUUUGGUAAAAUUACUAUUUAGUCCCUCAAAAUUCUUCACCUUUUUCAAUUUGGUUCUAAUCCAUCCAUUUUCCUUAGUUUCUAGAUCAUUCCACCCUUAAAAUAUUUACACCAUUGGUCCUUCAAAUUUUUAUAUUUACACUUUAAGCCCUCAAUUUUUGAGUAUUUACUCUUGGGCAACAAAAUGUUUUUCACUUUUACGAUUUAAUCCUUUCUUGAACUAAUAUGUCAUAAUAUACUUCUCAAUGUUGACAUAACUCAAAAAUUUCCCCUUUUUGUCGCUUUAUUUCCUUACUUUAUUAUAUCAAAGAUAAUAUCUUACUGUAAAAAAAUUUUAGGGUAUUACAAUUGCGCAACAACAAUAUUAUUUUUAAUCAAAUGGCUAUAUAUAAUUUAAUAAAAUUUUAAAAAAUUUCUUAAUAAAAUUUUAAAAAAAAUUUCUUCAUCCUCUAACUUAAUAAAAUUUUUAAAAAAAAUUCAUGUUAGAUUGAAUUGACAUUGAGGUUAUAUAUAGUCACUGGUCAUGUCAAAGAGAAUAGCUCUACCAAAAUAAAAAAUUUAUUUUUAUUAAAAAUUUUAAAAAAAAUUAAUUGCAGCAUAGUAACCGUCAUUCUCUAUGACUCUAUCAAAUAAAAUAAUAAUUUUAAUUUCAAAUUAAAAAUAAAAAUCACUUUAAAAAUUUGACAUAAUAAAAGUGGUGUGACCAAUUUAUUUGGCUCCCGAAAUAUUAUUAUUUAUUUUCUAGUUCCCAAAAUAUUUAAAAAUAUUGGUGUUAGAGUGGUAUUUAUACGGGUGAAGCCAAAUAAAUUAACUUUACCUACAAAAAUUAAUUUUUGUUAUAAAAUAAAGAGAGAUGGAGAGAAUGAAGAACAAAUAAAAUAUGAAAGCAAUAGAGAAUGUACUUUAUUGAUCAAAGGGAUGAUUACAAUGCUUCAUCGGAGUCUCUAUUUAUAGGCAUAAGAAGUAUAAAAGAAGUAGAGGUCUAAUUCUAAUAACUAAUAGAAUUUAAAGUAUAUCAAAGCUUUAUCUUGAUCAUGAUGGACAUCCACUAAAUAAGAUAUUUAUAACACUUCCCCUUGGAUGUCCAUUGGUGGAUAAUGUGCCACGUUAAAACCUUAUUAGGAAAAAUCCUGUGGGAUAAAAACCUAAUGAAGGAAAAAGAGUACACAAUCUUCUAUUACAAGUUGUCUCAUUAAAAAUAUUUACCAGGAAAACCCAAUGGGACAAUACCUUGGUUAAAGGAAAAGAGUACAACUUAUUUUAGACUCCCCCUAAUAGCAACAUUACAUUACAUCUUUAAGUUGACGCAUUCCAAUCUUGUGUAGUAGUCUUUCAAAUGUUGAAGUUGGCAAUGCCUUAGUAAAAAUAUAUGUUAAAUUAUCACUAGAAUGAAUUUGUUGAACAUUUAUAUCACCUCUUUUCUCAAGAUCAUGGGUGAAGAAUAAUUUUGGCGAAAUAUGUUUCGUUCUAUCACCUUUGAUGUAACCACUCUUCAAUUGAGCUAUACAUGUUGCAUUAUCUUCAUAUAAGAUAGUUGGCAUCUUUUCCUAUAAAGGCAAAUUACAUAUCUUCUAGAUAUGUUGGGUCAAUAACCUUAGUCAAAUACACUCUCGACUUGCCUCAUUCAUUGCAAUUAUUUCUACAUGAUUUGAAUAAGCAACAGCUAAUGUUUGCUUUGUCGAACAUCAUGAUAUGGUAGUACCCCCCUCACAUGUAAAUAAAUAUCAUGUUUGAGAUCGACCUUUAUGUGGAUCUGGUAAGUAUCCAGCAUCAGCAUAGCCAACUAAUAAGGAUUUUGAAUCAUCUGAAUAAAAUAAACCCGUACCAAUGGUCCCUCUGAAAUAUCUAAAUACAUGUUUAAUUCCAUUCCAAUGCCUACAUGUUGGAGAAGAACUAAAUCUUACUAACAAGUUUACAGUGAAAGCUAUAUCAGGUCUUAUGUUGUUUGUAAGAUACAUCAAUGCCCUUAUGGCACUUAGAUAUGGUACUUUAGGACCAAGAAACUCUUCAUCAUUCUCGCAAGGAAGAAAUUGAUCUUUAUUCACAUCUAACGAUCGUACAACCAUCGGAGUAGUUAAUGGGUGUGUUUUAUCCAUGUAAAAUUUCUUUAAUAUCUUUUUCAUAUAAGUUGAUUAAUAAACAUGAAUUUUAUCUUUUAAAUGCUUGAUUUGUAAUCCAAGAUAAAACUUUGUUUUUCCAAGAUUUUUCAUCUCAAAUUCUUUCUUUAAACAAUUUAUUGUAUUUUGAAGCUCUUUAGGAGUUUCCAAUAAUAUUUAGAUAAUCAACAUAAACAACAAUUAUUACAAAAUAUGAUCCAAACCUUUUUAUAAAGACACAUGGACAAAUUGGAUCGUUUUUGUAACCUUCCUUUAACAAAUGUUCACUAAUACGAUUGUACCACAUGUCGAAACCAUUUUUUAAGUUUGAAAAAACAGGGAUCGACUUUUAAAAUAAAAACGGGAGUCGCCACCGAUCUUUUAUUAAGGUGUGACCGGUUCACCAUUAAAAUGAUUUUUGGUCUGCGAAUUUUGAGAAAAAUAGGUUCGGGAGUCGGUUACGCACGAGGAAGGGUUAGCACCCUCGUAACGCCCAAAAUUGGUACCGAAUCGAUUGUUUAAUGUCUUAAUGUCGAGAAUUUGAAAAGAUUUUUAAAAUACGAUCAUUUGAAAAGAGAAUUUGAAUAGAAUGAAUUUGAUUGAUGUGACUCACUUAUAAAUUGUCACACUCAGUAAGUUAGAGUGUAACGUUUUAAAUCCUUAAAAUUAAGUUUAUCUUUUAACUUUUGAAACCUAUGCAUUUUAAGAAAGAUAUCCGAUUAUUUGGGUCAAAUGAUAAAAUCAAAACCCAGUAAGUUAGGGCUCGAUUUCACAAAAUUCCUAAAUAUCGAAUAUUGCCUUUAUUUUAAAGUCGAGAUAGCAAAAUGCCAUAUCCAGUAAGUUUGGAUCCAACAUUUUGAAGUCUCAAAAGUUUUAUUUUAAAAUUGUAUGGUUUUACCAAAAUAAACACUUGGCUAUUCAAAUUCAUCGAGAAGAAUGGAAGCCCAGUAAGUUAGGGCACCAUUCUCUCGAGAGUUAUGGACACCAGGCCUUUUUUGAAAAUUAUGAAAUAGAACGAUUGUUGUGCUUAAAAAAAACAAACAAUUUUUAUAAAUGUAGCAUGAUUGAAUGGUAAUAUACAAUGUUCAAGAUAAAUGGCAAUCCAAACACACACUAAAAAAAACAAGUAAAUAAUAGGUAAAUGCAAAUAUCAAUAAUAAUUCUAAUCAUAUCUUACAAACAUCAAUAUUAGCAAUUUAACAUCCAAUAAAUUAAUAAUCAAUUUUCUAAAAGGUACAUCAAGACAAUGAGAGAAAAAAUAAUUAAUAUCCUAUACAUAAAAGUUCUAAAAUAAAUUAAAUAUAUGAAUUCAAAAUAGACUCAAAAUAGAAUUAGAAUAACCAUUGAAUAGUCGAAUUUGAAAUAAAUUUGAAGCAAAUAAAAUACAUAUAUUAGCUUAAUAUAUAUAAAAGAUAAACAUAAUAAUAAUAAUAAUAAUAAUAAUAAUAAUAAUAAUAAUAAUACAUAUACUCGAUUAAAAAACAUACAUAAAAUAUUGAAAGUAAAACGAAAUUUAAUGGGUAGCAAACAUAAAUAAAAAUAAAAGAAAGAUUAAAUUUGAACUUCAAAAAAAAGAGGGACUAAAACAGCAAAUAGACGCAUAAUUCUAAUGAUUUUAAUCUGCUUGAUGAAAACGACGACGUUUGAAUAUGGAUUUAAAUGAAAUCAAAAUCAAAUCCACAGUUCAAAUUUAAAAAGUGAAUAAAAUCCAAUUGAAAUUAUACUGAACACGGAGAGACUCAUUGCGCAAAUAGACCAACGAGCGAAAAUGCGCGGAUCCUCCCCAGGUCGGGUCACACACGCGGGUCAUAUGGCCAAUACGGCGCCGUUUUAAGGCCACUGACGCAGGCCUUAAACGGUGUCGUUUUCCGCACCAUAAAUAUAAACUUAAAAACCCUAAAAAUAGCAGCCAUCCUUUGUCCUGGAAGAAAACCUAGAGCAAAGCUACUCCCCCCUGCACCACUUCAGCAUCGGAGCCCAAAGUCGACUGGUUCCGAACCAACGAGGGAUUCGACGGUAGACUUAUAGGUACGAGCCCUGACUCCCCCCUUCCUUCUCUCCUUUUUUUUAUGCUUAUAUAUAUGUAUUAAUAACAAAACAAAAAGAAAGAAAAGCGAUCGGAAAAAGAAAAGAAUCGAUCAGAGAAAAAAGAACCUUUUUUUUAUUGAUUUCCUUUUUGAUACAGUUUUUCGUGUGUUUUUUGUGUGCGAGAGUAACCCCCUUUUUAUAAUGCCUAUUUUGCUUUUUUUUUUUUAGCCAGAAAACAUGAAAAGAAAAGAAAAAAUGUUUUUCCUUCUUUGUUGUUGCUGCUGUUUUCUGUUUGUCUUCUCUUGCAGGUACGGGUGUGCGUGGCGUGGCUUGACAUGUACGGAGGCAAAGGUUGGCGAGGAGCGGCUCGGUUGGGUCUGUUGUGCGAGGGAGUUGCGGCGCCUGGUCUGUUCCAGAAACCCUAGGGUUUUUGGAAGCUGUUUAGGGCUAUUAGUGUUUGGGCUUAUUGGGCCUGGUGUAAUUGGGGUUAAACUUUAGUGGGCCUUAGUGGGUUAAUAACUUGUAUUGGACUGUUUUUAUUGGACUUUUGAUUUAUUUGGCUUUUUAUUUUUUUAUUUACUUGUUUUUUUAUAUGCAUGUGGGCGGGCACAAAUUGGGUUUUACACCACAUACAUUCAGAUUAUUUUUAUCCAUAUAAACUUUUCUUUAAUUUGAUUGAGUAAUUUUCUCAAGAAACUCUAUAUCAUUUUGGGAUUUUAAAUCUUUCAAGGAUUUUCAUAUAAAUUUCACUAUCAAGUGCACCAUAUAAAUAAGAUGUAACAACAUCCAUUAAAUGCAUGUCAAGUUUUUCUCGUACUGCCAAACUAAUAAGAUGUCUCUUCAUAAUCAAUGUUGGGCCUUUGCGAAAAUCCUUUUGCUACAAGACGAGCUUUAUAUCUUAUGACUUCAUCAAUUUCAUUUCAUUUUCGCACAAAUACUCAUUUAUAUCCUACCGACUUUACACCUUUAGGUGUUUUGGACUACAGGUCCAAAAACUUCACGUUUAGAAAGUGAAUCCAAUUAUACUUGAAUUGCAUCUUUCCAUUUUGACCAAUCUUUUCUAUUUUUACAUUCCUUAAUAGAUUUAGGCUCAGGAUCCUCAUUUUCUAAUGUUAUUUCAAUAGCAACAUUAUAAGCAAAAUUGUUGUCGACAACUACAUUAUUUUUGGUUCCAUCUUUUUAUCGUAUUGACAUAACUUAUCGAUAUCUCUUUAUUUUCAUCAUUUCUAUUUUCAUUUUAAGGUACCUGAAUCUCUUCUUGAGUUUUAUAAUUAGUUAUAUCAUAGGUCUCUUCAGGAACUCCUGCCUCCACUAUGUGACCGCCUUGAAUGUUUACUCCUUUUCUUUUAUAAGGAUUUUUAUCUUUGGAACCGACCGGUCUUCUAUGCUUCAGGCAUGGAUUACUUUCUUUUGCAUUAACAGUUUGCCCUAUUAGGACAUCAAUUCGUAUUGGAGCAUUUUCAGCUGGUAUUUGAAAUUUAAUGAAUUUGGCAAUUGAUUUGUAAAAUAAAUUAUCUGUUGAACUUCUACUUCACGUUGCUUUGUACGAGGAUCUUAAAUAUUGAUAAUUCAGUUCAAGUACUUUAUUAAUCCAACUUUUAUUCUCUCACUCCAAUGUUGGGAAAACUGACAACUCAUGUCAUAACUAAAUACCGAAUUAAUAGCUCAAAAAUAAUAUAAGGAGACUCAUAUAAAUAUACAUUCCCAAUCUCUUAUUAUGACCCAUCUUUGUGCGUUGUGGUGGAGCAGUUGGAACAUAUAUCGCACAUCUAAAAAAUGUAAGAUGGAAAAUAUUUGGCUCUUAACCAAAAAUCAAUUGUAAUGAAGAGUAUUUAUAAUUUAUUGGCUUGAUGCAUACAACAUGUAAAUCAAUACAAUCUCAUGCUGAAAUAGAAAGUUUUGUUCUCAUAAGUAAUGAUUUAGCUAUUAGUUGGAGGCAUUUGAUAAACAAUUCAGCUAAAUCAUUUUGUGUGUGAUCAUGAGCUACAAGAUGUUUAACUUUUAUCCCAAUUGACAUGCAAUAAUCAUUGAAAACUUGGGAUGUAAACUCACUAACAUUAGCAAGAUAACUUGUUUUAAUUGCAUAAUCUGAAAUUAAUCAUUUAAACAAGCAGUCUCGCAAACAAAAGGUUGCGAGUUGAUAACGCAUGUGAUUAUUUUGUAGAUGCAUCUACCAAAAUCAUAUAAUAUCAAAAUCAUCCACAUGGUGGAUGAAUGGGCCCAUAUUCAUUUCAGAAAUGCAAGACAUUAAAUCUCAACUUUAGCUAGUGAGUUUCUAAGAUUCAACUUUCAUUGAGAACAAGCAACAAAUGAGAAUUCUUUAAAUUAAAUAAUCUUUUGGAUCUUUAAUGAAUGUCCAUAUGAAUUCUCAAUUAAUUUUUGAAUCAUAUAUGAUCCAGGAUGGUCUAACUGGUUACGCCAAGUAGUAAAUGCAUUUGUAUUAGUAAACUUCUUGUUUACUUUAACAUGUGUUUCAAUUGUACUAAAUUGUAAUAAAUUGAUAAUUUUAUUGUCAUUCUUUUAUUUUGUAUCCACAUAUAAAUACUAUAGUGACAUUUACUAUUGGAAAUGUCUAAAUCUAUGUGAAGUCUAUAAUGCCACUAAGUCAAUAAAUAAAUAUAAUUUUCAAAUAAUUAUAUAUAAUAUUCGUUUUAGGGAAUAUGUCAAAAUAUUCAAAUAUAAGGCAUUUGGUCUAGUGGUAUGAUUCUCGCUUAGAGUGCGAGAGGUCCCAAGUUCGAUUCAAAAUAUAAAUAACUCAAUCCUCUUUUGAUUCAUAUCAAAUAUAAUCUUUUCCUCAUUCACAAUCUCAACAUGAGAUCCAUUAUGAAUAUCUUUUAAAACUAAUGCAUUAACUAUCACAAACUUUGUGCUUUUUAGAUAUUGAUAUAUUAUCUCUUCUAGAGCUUUCAAUUAACUUUUUACUAUCAAAUAUUGGAAUAUAUUUGUUUAUUUCAGCACCAAAUAAGAUAAAUAUUUUCUAUCUGUAAUGAUAAAAUUUAUUACUAGAUUCUCAUAUCCUUCCUUAAAGGAUAUUAUCAGAGACAAAAUAUUUGGGCAUGCACCACAUAUGUGACCAGUAAUCUCCAUAUCACAUUGGUAACAUAAGUUAUAUUUACCAUUUGAAAAUUUAUCUUGAGAACUCUCAUUGUUCUCUUAUUUAUUACUAUGUUCCUACUUUUAGUGGUCCAUGAGUAUAUCCUUUAUUUUCUUUAUGUUUACAUUCUCUUCGGGGAAUGCAACAAAUCUAGUAGGAUGGACUUAUAAACAUCCCAAUAGAUUCUUUAUUUCAUAAUCACCAUCGCAAACAUGCGUGAGAUUUAAAUCAAAAUUUAUCUAUUCAUAUUGUCAUGAUUAGUCUCCAAUUAUAAUAAACAUGAUAUAAUACAUAAAACAUAAUAAAAUAUACCUGAAGAUCUUUAACAUCAUCGUCAUCAUAUUGACUAUUAUCACGAGCACUAUUACAAGUAGUAAAACAACUUUGUUUUCGUAAUAACAUUUACAAUCUAAUAGUAAAAAUUAUUUAAUAAAUAAUCAAAAUUUGUGUAUCAAAAUUUUCAUGUACGAUGCUUGAAAAUUAUCUGAUACACAUUGUAUCAAAUUUCAAUACCACAUAUAUGUUAUAAAAUCUUAUCUUGCUCUAAUAAAAUAUUUAUAAGUUCAAUUUAAAAGAUAUCAUACAAUUAUUCAAUAUUAGAAAGCUAAUAAGACUAAAUAGAUCCUAUCAAAUUUCCUUUUAUUCAACAAUGGUAGGUUAUUUAGACUUUCCACCAUAAUUUUAAUAAAAUUUCAAGAAUAAAUAACAAGAAAAAAAAUUUAAAACACAAAAAUAUUAUGCAUAAUAUAAUUUAAUUAAAAAAACUUUAAAAAUAGAAAAAAGAACAUACCAUAUUAAUAGUAAACAUAUCUAAUCAAUAAUUAUGUCUUUUAAAUAAAAAAGCAAAAAUCAAAUACUAUCAGAAUGUGAAAUUUAUGUCAAAUAAAAAUUAAUAGUACUUAUACCUUAAUUGAAAAAGAAAAUAUGGCCGAAAUAUAAAAGUUUCUUACCAAAUCUAUACUUUACCCAUACUUGUACAAUAAAUCAAAGAUCAAAAAUAAGAAUCACAAUCCAUUCUGAGAUUGAAUCUUUCAACAUCCUGAAAAUGAAGUUGUAAGGGAGAGUUUAAGGUGAAAAGGAAUUUGAUUUGUGGGACGACUUCGAAAGAUUUUGAAAAAAAAAGAAAAUCAUCGUGUUGAUAACGUGUUAUAAAAUAAAGAGAGAUGGAGAGAAUAAAAAAUAAAGAAAACAUGAAAACAAUAAAAAAAAUAUACUUUAUUGAUCAAAGAGAUUAUUACAAUGUUUUAUCAGAUUUUAUUUAUAAGCAUAAGAAGAAUAAAAAAGAUAGAGAUCUAAUUCUAAUAACUAUUAAAAUUUAAAAUACAUAAAAAUUUUAUCUUAAGCAUGAUCAACAUCCACUUAACUUAAUAAGAUAUUUAUAAUAAUUUUUAAAUUCUAUAGGCGAAUUAUUAAGUAACGGGACAAGUAGGUGGUGAAAUUAAUAAAAAAAAAAUUCUGAAUUAUUUUUGUAAAAAAGCGGCAAAACCCAGAUUACCACAACAGAUGCAAAAUCUGAUCGGUGAAGUUAAGAAAAUGGAGACCAUGGGAAAUCUUCUAAUCCUUUUUCCAGCUUCUUUAUGCCUCUUCCUUUUCGUUGCUUUGCUCAAUGUUUUCUACAAGUAUUGGUGGAUACCUCAUCGUGUACAGUUCAUCAUGAAUUCACAAGGAAUCAGAGGACCUCCUUAUGAAUUUAUCCAUGGAAACAACAAAGAAGCUGCCCAAAUGCUCAUGGAAGCAUCUACCAAACCUAUGGCCUUGACACAAGAUAUAUUUCCCGAGUCAUGCCUCAUGUUUACUCCUGGAUCAACAAAUACGGUGAGAAUAUGUUUUUUUUUUCUCUUUUUGGGGUUGCAUUUUCUGAUUAACCUCCACUUUUCAAGAAAAGAAAUCAUUUUCUUUCAGGGAGGACUUAUCUUAGCUGGAAUGGAAUUCGAGCUCUACUGCUAAUUACAGACCCAGAUCUGGUGAACGAGGUCCUUAAAAACAGUGAAAAGGCUUUUCCAAAGCCGAAGGCUUCAUAUUUCUUCGACAAGCUACUAGGCGACGGUCUUGGUUCAACCGAAAGUGAGAAAUGGGCAAGGCUAAGGAAACUGGCCCAUUAUGCCUUUCAUGGGGAGAGCUUAAAAGUAAAUCAUCGCCACAUUCUACUCUAAUUAUUGUAGUGGAACAUCUACAAACUUGAUACUUUUUUUCAGAAUAUGAUUCCAGCAGUAGUUGCUAGCGUUGAAACCAUGCUUGAGAAAUGGAAAAGUAAGGAGGGCAAAGAGAUAGAAGUGUUCCAAGAGUUCAGAUUAUUGACUUCAGAAGUGAUAUCCAGAACCGCCUUUGGUAGCAGUUACUUGGAAGGGGAGAAGAUUUUUGACAUGUUGAUGAAGUUGACAGUAAUUGCAGGCAGAAAUAUUUAUAAAGCAGAGAUUCUCAUCAUCAGGUAACUUCAUCAAAUCUUUACUUUGUUAAUCAGCAUACUUCAGCUGCCAAUGGGUUGAUUUAACCUGGUUUUCCUUUUCAGCAAGUUUUGGAAAUCUGCUGAUGAAAUUGAAUCAGAUAAAAUUGCCAAAAUGAUACAUGAUUCUGUGAUGAAGAUUGUUAAAAAAAGGGAAGCCAAAGUAGUGACCGGAGAAGCUGAUAACUUCGGUCGUGAUUUUCUGGGAUUUCUGCUUAUCAUGAGGCGGACGAGAAAAAUAGGCUUUCGAUACAAGAUUUGGUAGAUGAGUGUAAAACUUUCUAUUUUUCUGGGCAAGAAACAGUCAAUUCCUUGCUUGCAUGGGCAACCCUGCUUUUAGCAAUACACACCGAUUGGCAAGAUAAAGCAAGAGCAGAGGUGAUUGAGGUCUUUGAUAAUCAAAACCCAGAUUCUGAAGGGAUGGCCAAAUUAAAGACGGUAAGCAAACUAUACAAAUUCAAUAGCUUGAAAACUAACAGUGAACAUUUAUAUUGCCCUUUGGAUUUCUUUUUCUCCAACAGAUUACCAUGAUUAUCAAUGAAACUUUACGGCUCUAUCCUCCUAUAAGUGGCAUGAUAAGAAAAGUAGGAAGAGAAGUCCGAUUAGGAACACUUGUCCUGCCUACUCAUUCACGGGUCGACAUGCGAAUCAUAGCACUUCACCAUGAUCCUGACUUAUGGGGAGAUGAUGUUGAUCUUUUCAAACCAGAGAGGUUUGCUGAGGGUUAGCCGAAGCUACUAAGUACAAUGCAGCUGCAUUUAUGCCCUUUGGAUUGGGACCUCGAUGUUGCGUAGGCAUGAGCUUUACAAUCAUUCAAGCGAAAAUUGCACUUUCCAUGAUUCUGCAACGCUACACUAUCAACCUCUCCCCUAGCUAUGUUCAUGCACCUUUACAACGUCUUACACUCAGGCCACAACAUGGGAUUCAGUUGUUGUUUCAUUCACUACGUUAUGAUGCUUAAAAUUCUAGGCUGUUGGUCUCCAAUAUAGUAAUAUAUAAUAAAAUGUGGGUAAUACUGUAUUUUGCAACCAUAUGAUGAUAUAUGGUUUUGGGAUUUCAUGUUUUGUUGAUAUUGUUAAAGGUUAAAAAGGUAUUACAGCAAACGUCGCCACCACAGGAGCAGGCCCUACAGUCCUGUACAUAACAUAAUCAACAACAAAAUAGUCCACCAAAGAGAAAUCAAUUCAAACUACCCCAAAAAGCUGGAACGGCAGCGGCAAAUCCAGUCAGCUCCCUGAACAUUAUACAGCAACACAGGAACAAGAACAUCACAACCCAGUCAUAUACAUGCCAUGAAGACAUUGGACUCCACAUUUUGCUAAAGUAUCAGCAAAGCAGUUAGAUUCUCUAUACACAUUCACAAAGGAGACAUUAUGGGAUCUCAUCACACAGCUUGGAAUAUGACCCAUCCAGCAUUUGAGAAACGGUGAAGAUGUCAAGUCCAGGAGCUCCAAACAAUGCCUCAGCCGGUGGACCCUAUAAUUAGGUGUCUUUCUUCCAUUACUACUGCAGUAGUGAAGUUUUUAUUGCACUUGGUUCCCUUCUUCCAGAGUUUCUGCUUGAAGCACUCACUCCUGGAGCCGGCCAUUGCUUGUUUUCAUUUUUAAUUUUUUAAUAUAAUAUAUUACAAAAUAUGAAUGGUCGUUAAAAUUUAUUGCUAAAUGUUGUAUUACCAUUGCUAAAAUUUUAUUUUAACAAAAAAAAUCGUUGUGAGUUCAUCAUGUAUACCUCCUUUGUAUAAAAUAUGCACAGAAAUUGAAAAGUCGUUUUUAAUUAUAUAUAUUGUAACAUCUUUUUUCGUUUUAAAAUAUAUUUUUUUUCUUAGCGAUAUAAUUUGUUUAUCUAAUAGUGUUUUAGUUAUAAUAAAAUUUGUUACAAUAUCUUUAACACAAUGAUAAUAUUUACAAAUACUAUUACGUAACAAUAGUAUAUUGGUUGCAAAAUAAAAUUUGCAAUAAUGUAAAAUUAAAUUGCUAAGCUUUUUACGUAACAAUAAUAAUAUUGAUUACCAAAUAUUAUUUUGUAAGGAUAUUUUAUUUGGUUGUGUAUUACAUUGUGCAAUGAUUAUAUUUCAUUGCCAAAAAAAUAUUUUAGCAACCAUUAAACGUGGUUGUCAAAUCAAUUACGUAACAAUAAUACUAUUGGUUGUUAAAUAUUAUUCUGCAAUGAUGUUUUAAUUGGUUGUGUACUAAUUGUGCAACAACUGUAAAAAUUUAUUUAAACAACCAUAAAAUGUGGUUGCCAAAUAGUUUGCGCAACAACAACAACAAUAAUAUAGUUGCUAAUGCAUUUACAUAACAAUUUUUACUUAGUUAUGAAAUAUUAAUUUACAAUGACAUAAUAUUUGGUCACGUCUUAUAUUACACGAUAUUUAAAUAUUGUGCAAAGUUAAUUUUAACAACCAUAAUAUUUUGUUGCAAUAUUUUUAUAUGUAACCAUAUUAUAAUGUUCGUUGAAAUUUAUUUUGCACCAAAACGUUAUCUAAUUGAUAAUAAAAAGAAGUAAUUACAAAUAUUAAAGAAAUUAGUUAUUUGUUUAAAAACAAUAUUACCAAAAUUUUAAGCUCGUUUGUUAGAGUCCAGCCUAAAAAUGGGCCUAAAUUUUUUUCAAGUCCAACCCAGAUAAAAAUGUCAAACCCGGUCCAACCUCGUCUUCUCGAAUGAGGGUUAGCAAAAUUCGAUUUAAUUCAAAAAAUUUAAUAAAAUAUUCAAAUUUUAAAUUAAAUAGUUCGAGUUAUUAAUGUUAAUCGAUUUAUUUGGAUUAACUCGAAUAAAAAAAAUUAAAAUUUUCAGUUUAACUCGAAUAUGAAUUACAUAAUUCGGGUUAUCUGAAAAUCUGAAUAAAAAAAUAUAAAACUACGUUGUUUUGAUAAAUAUUUAGAUUUUCUAAAGUUGAAGCCAAAACCAUUAAGUUAAAAACAAAACAAUUAUAUUGUUUAUGUAGUUAUAUAAUCUUGUAUUUCGUCUACUAGUUAAAUAAGCGGCCCAUGUAAAUGCAACAUUGAGUAUAAAUAAUAGGAUUUGUUAACUCUAAUUGACUUGACUCAAAAUUUUUUGACUCUAUUCGAUUCGAAAAAUUUUCAAAUUGAGUUCGGUUAAUAGGAUUCGUCAACUCGACUAACUCAAAAUUUUUUUACUCGAUCUAAUAUUCACCCCUAUUUCUAAACUAUAACAGUUAAUGGAAACUUGUUAAGUCAUAAAAAAUUCAAGUAAAUGUUUUAAACUUGAGUUUUAUGAAUACAAAAAAUAAUUUUAAAAGCUAUUUUAAAUUAUAAAAUUUAUUUGGUAUAAAUUAAAAUUAAAUACAAAAUAUAAUUAGAUUGUUUGAUAAAAUAUAAUUUUUUAAGAAUUUAAAGGUGGGGUAUUUGAAGGAUUUAAAAGAGAUAAAAUAAGAAUAAUUGAAACAAAUUCUACAUUAAGUUAUUUAUCUACUUUUCAUUUUCCACAUCUUUUCGUAGAAAAAUCCAAUCAUUUGUCUUUUAUUAUGAAUCAUCAAACUUGCUUAAAAACAUAAAUUAUUAGUUGAUUUAUUUUGUUUUCAAUUCAUUAUCAAACAAGCCCUUAGUUAAUGUUCUCCAAGUUCAAGUGCCAUUUAUGUCAAAAAAAAGUUUAAGUAAUAGUAACAUAAACAUUCAUUUAAUUAUAACAAUAAAGUUAAAGCCAUGAAUAUUUUCAAAAAAAUUCAAUUAAGUCCUUGAAUGUUAAAAUUUCAAUCAAUUAAGCUCUUUGAUAGUUAAAGUUAACAGUUAAUUGUUGUAGUUAAAAUUUCAAUCAAUUAAGGCACGGUGUAGCGUUUGUUUACCUCAUCCUUUAACCAUGUGGUUGAGGGUUCAAUCCCCACGUAUGGGAAUAAAGCACAUUUCAUGCUCAAUUAUUUACCUAUUUGGAGAGCACUCAUAGUGAGGAGAUUAAACCUUGUUAUUGCUGGUGAAUACCCUAAUUAUGACAAAUAAAAAAUAACAACUACCAUUUUUUUUGGAUUAUUUUUGUCAAGUGGUGAAAAUUAUUUUAAUUUUUAUUAAAAAUCAUAUAAAAAGUAUAAAAAUUAUACAAGAAUUAUAAAAAUGCAUAAAUUAGAAAAAAUAUAUAUAAAAAAAUCUAUUGUGAAAACAUAAAAUUAUAGAAAUAUAAUUGCUCCCCCAAAUUCCAUGUUUCCUCUAACUCGUCUAACUGGAUUCUCCCUUAGAAUCAACUUAUUUGGAUUGUGAAAAUCUCCAUCCGAUAUUGAGCAAUUUGCACAAAUGUUGGUAACAUUUUAUAAAAUUAUUUUUUUUGUAAAAAAAAAAGUGAAAAGAAAAUCCAAUUAUAUGGAAUUGGUUUAUUCUCUAUGCAUGUGGAUCACCAUUUGAACAAGCAUAGACGACAAGGUGGACUCGUGAAAAGAAAACAUUUGUUGCAUCAUUGUUGUUUCCAUAUUCUCGCCUACCCAAAGCAGAAAUAAAGGGUGAAUUUGGCAUAUUAGCACCAUUUCUACCUCCUUUCUCCCUCUAUAUAAACCUCUUCCCACCCAAGCUGCCAUUGCCAAAACCCAUCAACUUCACCUCUAUUCUUCUUACUUGAGACCUAUAUUUAGUCUUGAAAUUUGACUCUGAAAAUGGGUUUCGCAUUUGCAUAUCGACUUAUCUUAGUCGUGGCAGUUGCUUCCGUGUUGGGAAUAAGCCUGGCAAAUAAAGACUGGGGCUCCCCUAAUUCCAACUACACUGGUUGGGGUUGGGGCUGGGGCUGGGGCUCCUCGAAGUCUAACCACACUGGUCAAGGCUUUAAUAACCAUCCCGUGAAUGAAACUCAAGGACCCAAAAAGAUAAUUGUUGGUGGAUCAGAAAACUGGCAUUUCGGCUUCAACUACUCCGAUUGGGCAUUCAACAAUGCACCCUUUUACUUCAACGAUACUCUAGGUGAGUCCAUAAUAUUACAUUUUACAAACCAAAGAAAUGGGAAGCUACCUUGUUUUUAUAUUUAUUUGCUGAAAUAAAUGAUGUUUUGAAUUGGUUUGCGUAGUGUUCAAGUACGAUCCACCAAGCAACACCACAUUCCCUCACAGCGUUUACUUGUUUCCCGACCGAUGGAGCUACUUGAAUUGCGACUUAAAGAGAGCGAAGAUGGUGGCAAAUGCAACCCAAGGCGGUGGCGAUGGGUUCGAGUUUGUGCUCAAGAGGUGGACACCCUAUUACUUUGCUUGUGGUGAACGUAAUGGCUUCCAUUGUAAGGUCGGCAGCAUGAGGUUCAUGGUGAUGCCACUCUUUCGUUGGCAUUACUAGAAUACUUGGGAGAUGAUCACAAAUUAAGGAAUAUCGACAUCCAAUAUAACAAAGAUAUUUAGACUUCGAUGACAAAAUUAAUGUGUAAUCGUUUCUUAAAAUGAUGAAUAAUUUAACUGUCAUCUUAUUAUUUAUUUUAUCAAUAAUUUCGUUACAGGUUUUUUUUUUUACACAAUGUUUAGAAUUAUCUAUAGUCUCUUUCUAACCUAUAAAUAGGAAAGUAAUGCGCUUUAACACACUCGAAUUCACAUCCUCCUGCAUUGACAACAAUAUCCAUGCCAAUUGAAUUAAAACUCAAUCGACUUCUUAAUUUAUUUCAAAAGAAAAAAAUACAUCUUUAAUUUGGACCUUUACUUAGUUAACUAAUUUAAAAGACAUUAAAUCUUCUUUAAUUCUACAGUGAUCUGUAAGUUUGAACAUCCAUUUGCCAUGUUAAUGUUAAGUGAUAUAUAUACGGGGCUUAUAGGGAUAGAAAGCCUUUAAGAAAGAAAAUUUUAUGCCCUUCAACUUAAUUCACACUCAAUUAAGUUGUUAUCCUUAAUUCACACUCAAUUAAGUUGUUAUCAUUAAUCCAAAAAAUUAAUUAAGUCCCUUAAUUGUUGAUUUUCAUCUUUGAUCCCGUUGAUGAUUAAAAUUAGCUAAUCGGAUGGCGGUAUUUACCUAAUUCAUAUUUAAUUUUUUAUUUUUCUAAUAAAAAUUAUUAAAAAUUAUAAAUACAAUGUCAAAUUUACCCUCAAUGUUUGCAUUUUUAUUAAUUUAGUCCUUAUUUUGUUUAAACUAAAUUUAAUCAUUAAUCUUUCAAAAAGAGUUAAAUCGCUCUUUUUUUAAUGAAGAUGUUGACUAAAACACUGAUUUUUUAAUGAUGGUGCGACAACCCGCGUUAUAUUUUGUACUUCAUAUUGACAUGACAUUAUUUGCCUUUUAUAUUACGUCAAUAAAUGAUUUAAAAUUUAUAAAAAUAUUAAACAAAACUCAAAAUUUAAGAAAUUAUAAAAAAAUCAUAAAAAAAAAUAAGAAAAAUAGUAUGAAAUACAUUUAGAUUGCCACGUAAGCUAUUAUGUUUAAAAUUUUAACAUUUUAAUUAGUAUUUUCAUUAUUUUUGUUAAAAAAAUAACAACUCCAUUCUUUUCGAAAAGUUGAUUAAAUUCGUUUUUUUUUAAAGGUGAAAUUUAACUUGCAAUUGGAGAAGGAGGAGUCGCUAUAUAAGCCAAGGUGAAGGUGCAACAAAGGGUAUUGGGUUCAUGCAAUGCAUUGGGUUAAAAAAAUGUUUUUUCCGAGUUUUUAUAAUUUUGUAUGAUUUUUCUUAUAAUUUUUUUUAUUUUUAUAAAAAAAAUAAAAGAUUAAAUCUGAAGUUACCAUUUAUCUAGGUUGAUUUUAAUAAUCAACAAAAUCAAUAACGGAAGAGUUAACAGUAAAAUUUGAAUGGUUGCAAGGGGCUUAAUUAUAUUUUUAAUUAUUUUUGGUUUAAGAGCUUUUUAGAGGGAUGAGUGGGAAUUUCUAUUUAUUCAAUCAAAGUAGAGUACAAACAUGGCAUAAUGAAGUCCCAAAGCAUUAGAAAGUGCAAGAUCGUGGAACCUAAAAGUUACUAUUCCUGGCUUAUAGUUGAAUGUUUUCGAAGCCAAAGUUUGAAAAUGAAAAUGACAAUCAACAGGUAAAGCUGUCAUUAUUACAUCACAUAAACGUAUGACUAACUAUGUCCUGUCAACCCCAGAUCAAAGUAUGGCACUUUUCACAUUUUGUUAUGGUAGUGGAGAAGACGUAACACAAUCCAAGAACUAAAACUGAACUGAAUGAUCAAAGGCAAUUUACAAAAUUCCCCACCUACCACCAUUAGCCAACGGCGGCACCUCGGCUCACCCACCAUCACAAUCAUAUGAUUUUUCACACUGCUUCUAAACUUUAACUGUUAAUGGAAACACAAGGAAAUGGUAAACACAGUUCAAUGCUCUCUGACCAAUAACUUUUAAAACCCAAGAAAAACCAACGCCAACCCAUAUAAUUCCCAAACCCAAGCAAAAUCAACAUUUAAAAUGGGUUUAGUUUCAGAAUCUUUUAAGGCAGUUUGGAGUUUGGUAUCAAUAUGAGAAAAAAAAAACAAAGAUUUAAGUAUCAAUGUGGAAAACAGGUAUAAUUUGAAGGCUAAAAUGAGAAUAAAGCCAAAUAUUUGCCAUAUCAUUGCUGUUUCCAUUUUCUCGCCUACCCAAAGCAGAAAAAAAGGUCAAUUUGGCACAUUUGCACCAUUUUCCACCUCCUUUCUCCCCUUUAUAUAAACCUCUUCCCCAACAUGCCAUUGCCAAAAACCAUCAACUUCAACUCCAUUUUCUUUUAGCUGAAUCUUAUAUUGAGUCUUGAAAUUUGACUCUGAAAAUGGGUUUCACGUUUGCAUAUCGACUUAUCCUAGUUGUGGCAACUGCUUCCGUGUUGGGAGUAAGCCUGGCUAAUAAGGACUGGGGCUCCCCUAACUCCAACUACACUGGCUGGGGUUGGGGUUGGGGCUCCUCUAAGUCUAACCACACUGGUCAAGGCUUUAAUAACCAUCCCUUGAAUGAAACUCAAGGAUCCAAAAAGAUCAUUGUUGGUGGAUCAGAAAACUGGCAUUUUGGCUUCAGCUACUCCAAUUGGGCAUUCAACAAUGCACCCUUUUACUUCAACGAUACUCUAGGUGAGUCCUUAAUAUUACAUUUUACAAACCAAAGAAAUGGGAAGCUACCUUGUUUUUAUAUUUAUUUGUUGAAAUAAAUGGUGUUUUGAAUUGGUUUGCAUACGUAGUGUUCAAGUACGAUCCACCAAGCAAUACCACAUUCCCUCACAGCGUUUACUUGUUUCCCGACCGAUGGAGCUACUUGAAUUGCGACUUAAAGAGAGCAAAGAUGGUGGCAAACACAACCGAAGGCGGUGGCGAUGGGUUCGAGUUUGUGCUGAAGAGGUGGACACCCUAUUACUUUGCUUGUGGUGAGCGUAAUGGCUUCCAUUGUAAGGUCGGCAGCAUGAGGUUCAUGGUGAUGCCACUCUUUCGUUGGCAUUACUAAAAUCUUGGAGAUUAUCUCAGAGAAAGAUCGACAUCCAACAUAACUCACAUAUAUAUAGAGUUUUAUUUCACUUUGUUGACAAAAUUAAUGUGUGAUUGUUUCUUAAUAUGGUUGAGAAGCUACUAGUUUGGUUUAUUUUAUGUUGUAAUGAUGCAAAAUAAGCCGUGUUAUAAUUGCACUUAAAGUUUAUAUUGAUGAACAAAUUAACCUUUCUUAAUUUGUUUCAAAGAAAGAAGUUUAAUGAGGGCAAUCUCUUUAAUUUUAUACUUUACUCAUUUAAAGUAUUAGAUACUUUUAAAUCUGCAAUAUUUAGAAAUUUGUUUAAUAUCAUAUAUUAUUAGAGUUAAUACAUUAAUAAUCAAAUAUUUAAGUUUUUAUAGGUGAAUGAAUCACAAGUAAAGUGACAAAAGAUCUGCAUUCAAAUAAUCAAUUAACACCAAUCUCGAGUUCAAUCUUGAACAACAUUAACCCUUACAGAAAAAGAUUUUGGAUACCAGCAUGGAAUUGAUCACUCAUUGACAUACAGGGGCAUAGCAAAAGGGGCGGGAGGGGCCUUGGCCCCCUUUGACUGGAUGGAUUAUUUGUUAUUUUAGUACUUUCUAAAUGUAAAUGGUUCAAUUUUUUAGCUUGUUUUAAAUAAAAGAAAUUUAAUUAUAGCCCUUUCAAAGUUUAAAAAAUACAAUUUAAAUCAUUUUAAUGCAAAUUUUUUAACUUUGACCCCAAUUUUUUUUUAGUUUUAUUUUUACUCCCAUCACAUAAUUCUUAGCCCCCAUUGGUAUGCUCAUGGAUAAAGGCAUACGACAGGGGCGAAGUUAGAAAAAUCUUUUAAAGGAGUAGAAAUUAAAUUGUAAUUUUUACGAUAGUAAAAAUGUAAUUUCACCAUUUUAAUAGCUUAUAUCUUUAUAAUUUUUAAAGAAUUAAAUCAAAUUUUUUUCAUUUAGAGAGAUUAAAAUAUAAUUUUAACUUUACUAAUUUAAAAAUUAUUUUUAGAAGUGAGGUACCCUUCCAUUAGCAUAUUAUACACUCCUUCGCAAAGAACUUGAUAGUGGCGAAGUUAAAGUGUUAAGGGUGUAGAAAAAGGCCUUGUCUGUUUUGAUUAAAUGAAAAAGAAUUUCCUUUAAAUCCUCUCAAAAUAGAAAUCAUUUAACUUAAUCCUUUUAGCUCUUGAAUGAAAUAAAAUAUUACAAAUUAGAGACUAGGCUACGGUUUAUUGAGGAAAAAGAGAAAGACAAUCAAUCGAGUUACCUCCUAUGACCAAGUUACCUCCGCUCCAAACGAGUUGAAUUCGACUCCAUAACAGACGGGGGACGUCUGAUUUCACCAAUCACUAUAGAACCUUCCAGAAUAUAAAGACUGACGGUUCUUUUACCUUUUAACAAAACGAGAGCUCCACGAGAUACUUUAAUGUCGGUCGACUCGAUGUUGAUUCUGCAUCCUUUCAAGUCUGAAAAACUCAAAGAGAUGAGAUUCUUUCGUAAAUUAGGUACAUACCUGACAUCUGAGAGUGUCCUAAUCAUCCCGUCGUGUAUCAUAAUUUUAACAGUACCAAUACCAAUUACCUUACUAGAUGAAUCGUUUCUUAUGCGCACAACUCCACCUUUAACCGAACUGUAUGUGGAGAACCAUUCUCUAUUGGGACACAUGUGGAAAGAACAUCUCGAAUCUAGGAUCCACUCGGACGUGAGCUUGGAGUUAUCGCUCAUUGACACUAAUAAGAAAUCAUCACUGCUUUCAUCGGCCAAAUUAGCACUAGCUACAUCUUCCUCGUUACUCUCAGCAGGUCUUUUAUUUUACAGUUUAUAACAAUUUGCUUUAACGUGACCUAACUUUUUACAAUAGCGACACCUUUUGUCUCGUUUCUUUGAUGCUAUCAAAAUGGAAGCUUGCCUAUCUGCCUUACUAUCCAAACCAAACUCAUUGUCGAGUUUGUCUCUACUCAACAAAUGACCCUUCACAUAUUGGAACGAGAGUUUGUCUCUGCCAUAAAUCAAGAUCUCCCUCAAAGACUUGUAUGAAUGAGUAAAGAGCACAAUAAUAGCAUAGUCUGAUCUUCAUCGUCAAUAUGAACCUCAAUGUUCUUUAAAUCAUUUAAAAGAGUAAUGAAUUGACUGAUGUGAUCUCUAAGAAGUUCACCUUCGUUCAUGCGAAACGUAAAUAGACGUUGUUUCAACACUAAACGGUUAGCCAGAGACUUAGUCGCAUAAAGAGUUUCUAACCUUUUCCACAAGGCAGAUGAGGUCUUCUCCAUCAACACAUCUUGCAAUACCGUAUUUGUGAGGCACAACUGGAUUGCAGAUAAGGCCUUUUCAUCAAGCUCUUCCCAUUCUGUUUGAUUUAGAUUCUCAGGCUUUUUUCCGAUAACAACCUUUUUCAAGCCGGUUUGAACUAGAAUUGCCAUCAUCCGAACUUGCCACAGAUUGAAAUUUGUCUCACCAUCGAACUUUUCAAUUUCAAACCUUAUUGCUACCAUCUCUGAAUGAGCUGAUUUAUGAAAAUUAAAUUAGCUCUGAUAUCACUUGUUAGGAUCGAUCCGAUUAAGUAACAAGUAAAAAAAUAACGGAAUAAAUUGAGAAAUUGAACACACAAAUUUAACGUGAAAAAACCUCUCCAAAAGGAUAAAAAAAUCACGGGCAAAGAUAAUUUUAUUAUAAUGGCAAAAGAACAAAAAGUACAAAAGAUGAAGAUAAAAACUAAACUCCAAAAACCCAAAAACAAAGAACCCUUAAAACGUAAAUACAAAAUUCUCUAAAUAUAUUAUGAGUUCUAAUCUCUAAUGGGUGUAUUUUUUAAGGUUGUAAAAGAGCCUAUUUAUAAGCUAAAUUAAUAGGUCAAAUAAUAAUAAAAUAAUCUCGCCUAAUUAGAGUUUGAUUGAAACAAAUAAACAGAGUUUAACUGAAAGAUUAUUUCUCAAAUUUGACUGAAAUAGGAGUCAUACUCAACACUAAGAAACUGGCCCAUUAUGCCUUUCUUGGGCAGAGCUUAAAAGUAAAUCAUCGCCACCUUCUACUCUAAUUAUUGUAGUGGAACAUUUACAAACUUAUACUUUUUUGCAGAAUAUGAUUCCAGCAGUAGUUGCUAGCAUUGAAACCAUGCUUGAGAAAUGGAAAAGUAAGGACGGCAAAAAGAUAGAAGUGUUCCAAGAGUUCAGAUUAUUGACUUCAGAAGUGAUAUCCAGAACCGCCUUUGGUAGCAGUUACUUGGAAGGGGAGAAGAUUAUUGACAUGUUGAUGAAGUUGACAGUAAUUGCAGGCAGAAAUAUUUAUAAAGCAGAGAUUCCCAUCAUCAGGUAACGUCAUCAAAUCUUUACUUUGCUAAUCAACAUACUUCAGCCGCCAAUGGGUUGAUUUAAUCUGGUUUUCCUUUUCAGCAAGUUUUGGAAAUCUGCUGAUGAAAUUGAAUCAGAUAAAAUUGCCAAAAUGAUACAUGAUUCUGUUAUAAAGAUUGUUAAAAAAAGGGAAGACAAAGUAGUCACUGGAGAAGCUGAUAACAUCGGUCGUGAUUUUCUGGGAUUACUUGUAAAUGCUUAUCAUGAGGCGGACCAGAAAAAUAGGCUUUCGAUACAAGAUUUGGUAGAUGAGUGUAAAACUUUCUAUUUUGCUGGGCAAGAAACAGUCAAUUCCUUGCUUGCAUGGGCAACCCUGCUUUUAGCAAUACACACCGAUUGGCAAGAUAAAGCAAGAGCAGAGGUGAUUGAGGUCUUUGAUAAUCAAAACCCAGAUUCUGAAGGGAUGGCCAAAUUAAAGACGGUAAGCAAACUAUACAAAUUCAAUAGCUUGAAAACUAACAGUGAACAUUUAUAUUGCCUUUUGGAUUUCUUUUUCUCCAACAGAUUACCAUGAUUAUCAAUGAAACUUUACGGCUCUAUCCUCCUAUAAGUGGCGUGAUAAGAAAAGUAGGAAGAGAAGUCCGAUCAGGAACACUUGUCCUGCCUAUUCAUUCAGAGGUCGACAUGCGAAUCAUAGCACUUCACCAUGAUCCUGACUUAUGGGGAGAUGAUGUUGAUCUUUUCAAACCAGAGAGGUUUGCUGACGGCUGAAACUACUAAGUACAAUGCAGCUGCAUUUAUGCCCUUCGGAUUGGGACCUCGAUCUUGCGUAGGCAUGAGCUUUACAAUCAUUCAAGCGAAAAUUGCACUUUCCAUGAUUCUGCAACGCUACACUAUCAAUCUCUCCCCUAGCUAUGUUCAUGCACCUUUACAACGUCUUACACUCAGGCCACAACAUGGGAUUCAGGCCACAACUUUUUUUUUGUUUUAAAAUAUAAUUUCUUUCCUAACGAUAUAAUUUGUUUAUCUAAAAGUGUUUUAGCUAUAAUAAAAUUUGUUACAAUAUCUUUAACACAAUGGUAAUAGUUACAAAUACUAUUACGCAACCAUAGUAUAUUGGUUGCAAAAUAAAAUUUGCAACAAUGUAAAAUUAAAUUUGCUAAGUUUUUUACGUAACAAUAAUAAUAUUGAUUACUAAAUAUUAUUUUGUAAGGAUAUUUUAUUUAGUUGUGUAUUACAUUGUGCAAUGAUUAUAUUUCAUUGUCAAAAAAAUAUUUUAACAACCAUUAAACGUGGUUAUCAAAUCAUUUACGUAACAAUAAUACUAUUUGUUGCUGAAUAUUAUUUUGCAAUAAUGUUUUAAUUGGUUGUGUACUAAUUACGCAACAACUAUAAAAAUUUAUAAAUUGAGUUCGGUUGUUAAAAUAGGAUUCGUUAACUCGACUAAUUCAAAUUUUUUUUACUCGAUCGAAUAUUCACCACUAUUUCUAAACUAUAAUAAUGGAAACUCGUUAAGUCAUAAAAAAUUCAAGUAAAUGUUUUAAACUUGAGUUUUAUGAAUACAAAAAAUAAUUUUAAAAGCUAUUUUAAAUUAUAAAAUUUAUUUGGUAUAAAUUAAAAUUAAAUACAAAAUAUAAUUAGAUUGUUUGAUAAAAUAUAAUAUUUUAAAAAUUUAAAGGUGGGGUAUUUGAAGAAUUUAAAAGAGAUAAAAUAAAAAUAAUUGAAACAAAUUCUACAUUAAGAUAUAAAUAGUUAUUUAUCUACUUUUCAGUUUCCAUAUCUUUUCGUAGAAAAAUCCAAUCAUUUGUUUUUUAUUAUGAAUCAUCAAACUUGCUUAAAAACAUAAAUUAUUAGUUGAUUUAAUUUUUUUUAAUUGAUUAUCAAACAAGCCCUUGAUUCAAGUGCCAUUUAUGUCAAAAAAGUUUUAAGUAAUAGUAACAUAAACAUUCAUUUUAUAACAAUAAAGUUAAAGCCACGAAUAUUUUCAAAAAAAUUCAAUUAAGCCCUUGAAUGUUAAAAUUUCAAUCAAUUAAGCUCUUUGAUAGUUAAAGUUAACAGUUAAUUGUUAUAGUUAAAAUUUCAAUCAAUUAAGGCACGGUGUAGCGUUUGUUUACCUCAUCCUUUAACCUUGUGGUUGAGGGUUCGGUCCCUACUUAUGGAAAUGAAGCACAUUUCAUAGUCAGUCAUUUACCUAUUUGGAGAGCACUUAUAGUGAGGAGAUUAACUACUGUUGUUGUUGGUGGAUACCCUGAUUAUGACAAAUAAAAAAUAACAACUGUCUUUUUUUUUGGAUUAUUUUUGCCAAGUGCCAUGCUAAGAUUGUGCCACGUGGUAUGAAAUUAGAAAAAUCAUAUAAAAAUUAUAAAAGAAUUAUAAAAAUGAAUAAAAUUAGAAAAAAAUAUAUAAAAAAUCUAUUUUUAAAAGGUUAAUAAAUUUUAUAUUUUAUUAUUUUUAAAAGGAUAAUAAAUUUUUAAAAGGUUUUUUUUAUUCUUAUAUUUUUAAGGGCGAUUUAAAUUUAAUUUCAAAAUAGGGCAUGCCUAAUAUAUAAAUAGACAUUUAAUUGGUGUCCAAGAGGAAUGGCGUCACUCCUAUUUUUCAUCUAGUUUAAAAAUAAUAAUUACUUCAUCAGGUAUCUGAACAUUUUAUAUAAUUUUUUUUCAGUUCGAUGUCACCAAUAACAACGACGACACCCAAAAUAUAUAUUUUUUAAAACUACCAAUGACAAUGAGUCACCGACAUUUACUGUUUAAAAUGAGUUUCAAAAUAAGUCAUUUUUAUAAAUAAUUAAAAGUUUUGGGUAUUUUUAAUAAAAAAGCCUAAGUUUGAUGAAUGGCGUCAGCCAUUAUGUAGGUCUACUUAAUACGAAAACGACGGCUUGGUUUUGUUGGCCAAAAGGAAAGUACCUUUUGGGUUUUGCUUUGCCCAAAUGCUAGCAAAGUCUUUGCAUGCAUUUGUUUGAUUGGAAAAGUGAGAAAUAGAUGAACAUGGUAAGCACAAAUUCUAGACAUUACCAUAUCACCUAUAAAAUUUAGUUAUCUUUUUAAUUUCUUUUGGUGUAUUAUAAAAAAAAAUUCUAAUAACACGACUUGAAUCAAAUCAUAUCUUAGUCAAGAGAUGGGGUUAUUUUAAUUUUUGUCUAUAAAAAGAAUCUUGUUCAUUGAGGGCCCUAGUAGGAGGUAUUGAAUAAGAACUAGAAGUCAAAUCCUGCACGCUUCCCAUUUCUGUGUAUUGAAUUGGCUGUAAUUUUCAAAGGACAUGAACCUUGAAGAGGGACAAGUGUAGUCUCUUGAUGAUAAAUGUGUUGACUGUCACCUUGCAAAACCCAGAUUACCAUAACAGGUGCAAAAUCUGAUCGGUGAAGAUAAGAAAAUGGAGACCAUGGGAAAUCUUCUAAUCCUGUUUACAGCUUCUUUAUGCCUCUACCUUUUCGUUGCUUUGCUCAAUGUUUUCUACAAGUAUUGCUGGAUACCUCAACGGGUACAGUUCAUCAUGAAUUCACAAGGAAUCAGAGGACCUCCUUAUGAAUUUAUCCAUGGAAACAACAAAGAAGCUGCCCAAAUGCUCAUGGAAGCAUCUACCAAACCUAUGGCCUUGACACACGAUAUAUUUCCCAGAGUCAUGCCUCAUGUUUACUCCUGGAUCAACAAAUACGGUGAGAAUAUGUUUUUUUUUCCUUUCUUGGGUAGUAUUUUCUGAUUAACCUCCACUUUCCAUGAAGAGAAAUCAUUUU